This 132201-nucleotide long non-coding RNA is filed under the name Medicago truncatula (barrel medic). Its description in RNAcentral is "long non-coding RNA (MTRU_LNC004411)". The stretch from base 34330 to 34497 matches the Rfam family "MIR2680 microRNA precursor family". The record is from RNAcentral. Lineage: Eukaryota; Viridiplantae; Streptophyta; Magnoliopsida; Fabales; Fabaceae.
UCUUGUAGCAAUGAAUGAUGUGGUCAAGUUCGUCCAAACAAAACGAAGAAGAGGCAUAGUUGAUAGAAAACACAGGAAUAAAAAUCCUAGACUCUUCAAUGGCCUUGAGAAGUGAUGGUGUGAUUUCAUUUCCUCUUUGAAGACCAUUGUCAUCAAUGAAGGUGUUGAUUCCCUUGUCAGUAAGAGCCUUGUAGAGAUUGCCGGUGAAACCGUACCGAGUGUCACUUCCUCUGAAACUGAGGAAUACUUGGUAUUUGUAAUCAUAGGAAAUUGAAGUGGAAGAGGAAGGUGAUUGCAUAGCCAUGAGAAUAUGAAUGAGAAGUUUUUGUGGUCUGUGAAGUCUUUGAUAAGUAACUUUAUAACUUAUGAGAAAAGUUAUGACAGAAAUGGUAUGUGAAACUUCCUAUAGUCGUGUGGACCAAUCAUUGUACUACCACCUCUUCUUCUUGCUAAUUUCUUCCAUGUCAUUACUGUUCAUCUUUUGGACAAAUCUUAUUCUUCUGCUGCAUGUAAUUUUUCACUUUGUUACUUAAUUAAUCAGUGUCUUAAAUUACAUGAGCUUAAAAUAAAUACAAGCUAUGCCAUUCAAACAUACAAUUAAAGACAGUUAGUAAUGAAAAUAUCAGAAAGUUUUGAUCAUAGUAUAGAUAUGAAAUAUUAUAGUUUCUAUUUAUUUUGAAAAUAUUACCACUUGAACCAAAUGGUUAAUUAACCAUGCACACACAAUUAUUAUUGUACAUGUUUACGUUAAAUGUUUAAUUAGCUAUCCAACAGAACUAAUAUAACAAUGUCCUAUUUUUCAUGUUAAUCUUACAUUGUACUAACAGUUAUAAAUGUUGGAAAAAUAAUGACUGAGUUGACGGCAAAAUCAGAAUGGAUAGAAAUCAAACUUGGAAGCUAUUUUUCACUGUUUUUUGGUUCUACACUUUUACCAAAUGGGAACUGGGAAGCUUCCUUCCCUUUUCCUUCUUCCAUGUAAUUUCUUUAAAGCAAUGUGAAUGUCUUAAAAGAAGAAAAAGGUAAAAAAUUAUGUCUCCUUGUAAUUGGGUAGAAUGCUGUAACCUAUAAGUAGCCAAUCUAGUUGAAUGCUGAAACUAUAGCAUCAUUUUUAAUGAUAAAUAAUAAGUGUUAUAGAACCCAACUUAAAAAAAUGGAUAAAACUAAACAAUGAAAAAGUAUAUACUAGCAAAGUUUCAUCCACAAAUUUCUACUUGUGUAAACUUUCAGGUAACUAUUGUCACUUUGUUUAUCUAAAAAAAAAAAAAAAUAGAUAAAAAUUGAUUAAUAAAUAACUCAUUAAGCUUGAUCCCAAAAAAAUAAACACCCACCCACCACUCUGCCCCCUGUCACAUAUGCACAUGGCAGUAGGCAUGUCACAAAUUUUGGCAUCUUUUUCAUAUGCUACAAUAUAAAGGUCAUCAAAACUUCUAACCAUAUCCAUAUAAAAAUAAACAAAAUGAAGCUCCAUUACACCAUCAAGAUACAUUUUGGUUACUUCUAACCAAAGAAAAAUAAGGAAAAUUUGCAUUUCAAAUAUCAUCAAAUGACAUGUUAAUUGAGUCUCACAUUUGCUUUAACUUUGCUUCCAACAGUAGUAGUAUCAACAGGACCCGGAUUCCGUGCAUUAAUAAUUGUUAAUCUUGGCCCUUUGUGAUCGGAUGGUUCAGAUUACAGAUACAUUAAUUCGGUUGUCAACCAUCUCAACCGUAGAUUUAAAUCAGACAGACUAGAUUGGGAAUCCAUUUCCAUAUCAACUACAUGAAAAACACUAAUAAAUAGACUAAAAGAAUUAUCCCACAUCAUGUACAACCAAAGAUUCCAAGUACUUCCCUUAAUUUCCAUCACAAACCAAAACAAAGAAACCAAAAGCCUAACAUUACAUCAUAUAUUGUUGUUCUAAAUUACAUCCUUGACCAUGGUUAACAAUUUGGCGAGGGAAGGGAAAAGACAAGAAUGACACAAAAUAAAAACUUCUCAAUUCAUUAUGCAGGAAUGUGAAAGUGCACAACUCUAUCCAUAUCAUCUUUAAAAUUUUGAUAAUCAAAAGCAUCAUGGAUGCAAAGGUAGUGCCUUUCCCUUUCAAUGAUUAACCUAAUCAACUUAGGGUAAUAUUGACAUCAUCACCAAGUGUGAAAAAACCGAAGAAUACUUCAAGAUGAUAUCGGUUCGUAAGGGUAUGAUAACCAGGGGUGCUUUAGAGCUUCAGAUGCAGAAGGUCGCUUCUUCGGGUUAACCUCCAGCAAAUGAUCAACAAAGUCAAUGAAGCCUUGGUCCCUUAUCGGUAAUCUAUGCCUCAAAGAUGUCUUCUUUGGAAUCAGGUAUUCUAACAUGUUGCUUUCCUGCAUAUCAAUACACAAUACCUCACUGAAUAAUUUUUCCAUGAUAAUUAAACAUACAAUGCAUGUUUAAUAUGAGCAUGUUUAGAUUGGGUUAUUUGAGCUUAUUAUCAACUUGCAUAAGCACUUAUGAGACUGUUUGGGAGAAUUUAUGGAAACAACUUAUGACAUGUUCAUAAGCUAUUUUCAAGUAAUUUCCGUAAACUCUCUAGGAUUGCAAAUGAAAUUAACUUACAGCUUAUAUGAAAAUAAUUUGACUUUAUUUUAUCUUUUAUUAUAGAAAAUAACAUAUAUAAGCACUUACAUGGGAAGUGUCUAUACUGCAAGCUUAAUUAAGUUGUUUAUCCAAACAUGGCAAUUACAAGCGAACGAAAAUAGUCAAUUUUAGAAAUUUUAGGGAGCUAUCUCUUGUUUUGCUUUUUGAAGACGGUGCAAAUGAAAAGAUAUCGCAAACUUUAAGAUUGUUCGCUGAUGCAUUUCAUAUGCAAAGACAUUUUAGAAAUGAAUUUCUUACCUGAUUCCUCUCAUAAAGCAUAUGAAUUUUUGUGAAGUACUUAGUAUCCCGUCCUUUUGCUAGCAUGCUUUGACCAAUUGGACAGAUGAUCCCAAUUACCCUAGCUAGCAGUGUUGCCGGGGAAUCGUUUUGGAAUUAUACCUACAAUUAAGAAUCAAGAUUUAUGUGUGUAUUCACUAAAGCAAAUACAGAUUUGACAUCCGCUUUCACCCAAAAAUGUAAAAACCCUACAACUGCAAGAACACAUUAGCGUCUAAAGAUACAUAGGGGGACUUGUUCUGUUCUAUUCUCUAUAUAGUUCCACUAAGACAACAGAAACUCACUAGCCACUAUUUAACAACACCCAAAUCAUUUUCAAAUUUAAAAUAUACUUAAUCAGUUAAUUUCAGGUAGUGUUUAGAACACGAAUGGAAUUAAAUGGGACAGCUUAUUUUUGCUUCAACAACUUUUCUGUUCUAUUUUUUAUUUGCUUUGAAAUUGUAGAAUAUAAAUUAUUCUAUCCUAUUCUAACCUGACUACCAAAAACUUCCUUAAGACUAAGAGUGAUACAAUCCAACUAGAGUGGGCAUGGUUCGGUAAACCCAAAAAACCAAACCGAACCGAACCGUUUCAUGUUGGCAGCUAACCGAACUGAACCAAAAUUAUGGUUUGGUUAACCAUUUGCUUACCUAUUAACCAUACCGAACCGAACCAAAACAAAUAUUUUUUAUCCAAUGAAUAAAAUCACUUUUAUUAUAAAAAAUAACAAAUUAAAAUUAAAAGUUAGAAUAGUUUAUUUCUUCAAAAACAACUUAUCUUAUACAAAACAGUUUAUUUUAAAAAACAGCUUAUUCAAAAAAAAUUAUUUUAUGAAAAACAAUUUAUUACGAUCUCUUUUUAAAAAUAGCUUAUUCGAAACCGCUUAUUUUAUGCAAAACACCUUAUUUUAAAAAAUAGCUUAUUCAAACAGCUUAUUUUAUGAAAACAACUUAUUUUAUUCAAAACAUGUUUUGAAUAAGUUGUUUUUUUUAAAAUAAGCUGUUUUGAAAAUAAGGUGUUUUUCAUAAAAUAAGUUGUUUUUCAAAUAAGCUAUUUUGCAUAAAAUUAGCUGUUUUGAAUAAGCUGUUUUUUUAAAAUAAUUUGUUUUCAUAAAAUAAGCUGUUUUGAAUAAGUUGUUUUUUAAAAUAAGGUGUUUUGCAUAAAAUAAGCUGCUUUGAAUAAGUUUUUUUUUUUAAAAUAAACUAUUUUGCAUAAAAUAAGGUGUUUUUCAAAUAAGCUGUUUUUUUAAAAUAAGUUGUUUUCAUAAAAUAAGCUGUUUUAAAAAUGAGGUGUUUUGCAUAAAAUAAGCUAUUUUAAAUAAGUUGUUUUUUUGGAAAGAUCCAACAAAAAGUUCAAGUGGUUUCCUUAAAAAAAAAAAAAAAAAACAGUUCAAGUGGUUUGGCUCGGUUCAAACGGUUCGGUUCGGGAUGGUUCAAGAACUGUUAAUAAAUUAACGGUUCGGUUCGUGAACCAUUAUAAUGGUUCGGUUAUUUUUGGUUCAGUUCGGUUCGCGCGGUUCGGUUCGGUUCAUGGUUCUUUCUGCCCACCCCUAAAUACAACAUAACAGAGCAAAUAUGUCUUACACAAAUUGGCAUCUAAACAAUGCCAUCACCGAGGGAAAAACACGAAUCAAGGAUCAAGCAGUAAAUUUUGGGGUAAAUUAGACCUAGUGUGUAUUAAAGAGCAAAACUAGAACAUCUUCAUGUACCUCUAAAACAACUACUUCCAAGAUCAAUGACCUUCACCUCACAUCGGCUGUAGCUUUUAACCAAAAUAUUCUCCGGCUUCAAGUCACAAUGUAUUAGUCCAAGGUUAUGUAAAUACUGAAGUGCUUCCUAAUAUUGAAUGGUAAUUGACUGCAAUAACUUAUGAAACUCGUAUAAGUUGGCUUUGAGUAGUUCACUCACUAUUAACAAAUGUUCCUGCAGUUCAACAAUGGAAACGAAUCAAAAGUGGUAAAGUCAGAUGAUUAAGUUGAUAGAUAUUUCUCAAACCACUUUGAAUAUAGCUUUGAAGAAUAGUCCUUAUAAUGGAAUUCAGUUCUUUCUGAAAUAUGACAAGUGUGAAUAGUUAUAUUUUAUAACAAAUUCUGGAAUGUAUCAAAAAAAUGUGAUAGUCAAAAACACAUUAAGUGGUUGUAGUUAAAAUUAUCAAAACUAUAACAAAUGUACUAUUGUUGCAGCUGCAGCACAUAUUAGUAUAGGGCCAAGUCUAUGGUGCGGGGACUUAAGUCUUGCACCAUGCACAACGUGGUUUUUACCAUUGGAUCAAUAAGGCUCAGUAUUAAAUUAAAUGAAAUAUGGUGAGAUUUAUUGAUCCAAUGGUGGCAAAUAAGCUUGUGCACGAAGCAAUACUAUUUUGCUUUUGCACAUUAGACAAGUCUUGAUAUAGAAGUAGUAACAAGAUGAGUAGCAGAUCGAAAAUCACUUACUCUGUAAUAAAAAUAAUCAUAUAAUCGCAAAAUGUGAUACUUGUCUCCAGGAUCAUGCUUAUUGACAUACUUGAGAAGUUUGAUUUCAUCAAGGCAUUGAUCAAGGAAAUCCUUGUUGUUCUUUAUAAUUUUAACACAAACAUGAUAGCGGCUAGAUACUUGGUCAUGAGCUUGUAUAGCUUUACUAUAAAUGCAGCAAAAUCCAGAUACUUGGUGACAUGAUAGCGGCCAGCUAUUACCGAAUUUAAAACAACAUGGAAAUUCUUGUCCUCCUCAAAGCCAGUUCUGAACAACAAAACAUAGUUUUAGAUAGCAUGUCAAAGCCAAAAGGAGAAACACCAUGGAAUAAUUUCAAGAAUAGCUAUUGUGCAACAUAACAAAAGUAUCUACAUAGACGAGCUCAUUGAGCCUUCUGACAUGGCAUAAAGUUAAACAGAUAAAUAUUCGGAAAAGCUUAGUAAGCAUCAGCAUAUGACUUCCCCAAUUUCAACAAUGUUUUCGAUCGAAUUAUCAUGACAACACAUGUAUGUUAUACAGUCUCGCGUACGGUAACUUCUCAAUUUCUUGUAAGAACAAAAUUAAGGAAUAGAAAAUCUUCAGGAGUUUACAGCAAUUGUCAAGUCAUGCAGAGCACAGGACUGCUUGAAUUAUUACUUUAUGCAGUCAUUUUGAUUGUGCUGAUUUCAUGACUACUACACGAGGGCACAAGUACAAGUGCACGAUAUUUCUAAAGAAAAAUAAUGAAUUUUAUUCAUCAUAAAUCAUUAAUAUUUUCAGAUCAUAAAGUCUUAGUUUCAUCUUAUUUUCCAUUAUUAACACAACCAAAUAUUUCACAAAAUGUUGUUUGUGCUUGCUAGUGUGGACAUCCAAAAGUCUGAAGAUUAACUCAAUGCGCUGUAAUGAACGGAAUAAUAAUUAAUGCAUUAUAAGGCUUUUAAAUAUCAGAUAUGCACAUGCCACUAAAAGUAGCACAAUGUCAGAAGUUUUAGAAUCUUUUCCCUAUCGUCUCUAUUCUCUAUCCUUCCGUUCACCCUUGCAAUAGUCAAAUCUUAAAUUUACACAAUCAGAUAGGACAGCCAAUAAAUCUUGUAUUGAUUUCAAAAGCUAUAGAUUUAUCAAAGAUUGUUGCAACAUCAUUAAUAUAAUCAGAAAACCAACAAUCAUUGAACAACAAAAGGCCGGCCUCCAGUUUUUACAUGUACUUCUACAAUGGUAUUAAUUCCACAACCUAUUGCAUUCUUGUAAACCUACAGUAAUGAAAGCAUCAAAUUCUAUCUGCAGCACAAGCAUCCUCCCUAAAAACUUACAUCAGGUAUCACCAUAUCAAGACAACAGUGUUGCAUUAAUUACUAUACCAAUAACAUUCACAACAACUGGAUUAUGGAGAUCAAAAGUCGCAACUCUUCCAAAAGGAUCUGAUAAAUGUCGGUUUUUGAUUCAGUUCUCCGGCUUUACUUUUUGUAGAGGAGAAAGCUCUUUUGCAGUAAGGACAGUUAAGUUUGAUAAACCCGUCCAACCAUAGUCGUUUCGACCUGUAUGCAAAUUUACAUAAAUAAAUCAAAUAAUAAUAACUUACAAUAUAUCAACAAAAAAGUAGACACAUUUGAUUAUGAAAAUUUUAGUGUAGAACAACUCCUUCCUUUCAUAAAAAAUAAAUACAUAUUUGUCCCCCCAUAUAGCUUAGAAACCAUGGAGAGAAAAGAUCGACAUUGAUUACCUGACAAAUUUUUUGUAUAUGACCUUCCAAAUCCAAUCCAUUUAGCUCACUGUAAACCUCUUGCAUGCUUAUAAGAUAGUAAAAAAAAAUUCAGUAAUGUUUCAAUUGCAAUCAUGCUAUAAUUCACAUCAAAGGUUAAAAACAUGUGUGCUAAUAAUUUUCCAUGUGUGAAAUCAUAUGACAUUGGGAGAGAUUUAUGAAACCAGGAUACGUAAUAUGGGUGUAAUACGGAUACGAUCGAGGAUGCGUUAAAUUUUUAAAAUUUAGUAUGCGAUAUGGCUAAAAUAUGUUAACAUGAUUUAAUUCAUAAAGAUACAAUAGACUUCACAUCCAAGCAGAAACCCUUGUAAAAAGUGACUUAAUAAAAACGUGUAUAGUUACUAAUAGUAAGGACACUUAAAUUCAUCAACCAAAUGUAGACCCAUAUUCAAAACAUCUACAUAAACAUGGACAUCGUAUUCAACAAUGACAACACCAAUAGUAAUUUGCAGAAAUAAGCUAUCUGAAUGCAAUAUGAUAUAUUGGCCAUUUGAACAUAUUUGAGAAACAAUAAUUGGUUUAUAAUAAUGAUAAUGAUGUACCUAGUCAUGUUGUUUUCCUUUUCUUUUUUGUCUGUAAGCACCAUGUUCUGCAUGCCUGAUGACAAUAAAGCUAGAUCUUGCUGCUGCAAACUUUCUGUCUCUGAAACUUCGAACCUUUUUACUCCAUCUGAUUUUGUUUCUUCCAAGCUCCACCUAUGCGCAGUUUCUGUCUCUGAAACUCCCACUUCCACAAAUCUAUGCUUUUCUUUUGUUUCAGUAAGCACCAAGUUCCGCAUGCCGGACACUACAGCUAGAUACUGCUGCUGCAAACUUUCUGUCUCCGAAACUUCCAAGCUUUUAACUCCAUCUGAUUUUGUUUCUUCCAAGCUCCGCCUCUGCAAACUUUCUGUCUUUGAAACUUCCACAAACCUUUGUUUUUUAAGUGUAGGACGAAAUUUCCUUAUCUUUCUAGGAGGAUUGGGGAAUAAGGCUUGGGAAUAAUAAGGCUUGGUUGUUGUAGUUGUUCUAUUAGGAUUGGUGAAUAUCACAUCCUCAGUGUUGCUUUUCUCGUGGAUUCCGAUUUGUGCGCUGCUUAAUUUUUUAAUCUCAUCAGGCACGAAUAUCUCAUCCUCACUUAAAUCAUGAUCCUUUAUGUUGCUUUUCUCCUUCACCACAUGGAUUCCCAUUUGUGCACUACGGUAGAAAUCAUCCUCCUCCGUGUCGAUUUGCUCCGUGUUGCUUUUCUCCUGGUAGUGGAUUACCAUUUGUGAACUGCUUUCAGUGAAUAUCUCAUCAUCACUAAAAUCAUCCUCCUCCGUGUCGAUUUCCUCCUCUGUGUCGGUUUCCUCCGUCCACGACACGUGGAUUCCCAUUUGUAAUCUCCUUAAUUUUUUAAUCUCAUCCUCACUGAGAUGUAAAUCAUCUUUCUCCCAAUCAAUCUCCACAUGAUUCAAUUCAUUUUUUUUAAUUGUUCGUAUCAUUUCAGGCAUAUGGUUAAAAUUGUCGUAAAUACGUGAUUUUAAUCCCAGAUCAAACAAAAAUGUAUGUUUCGACGGCAGAAGUACAUUUUCAUAGUUUAAUUCCCAAUGAAGAGGACAUUCAUCACCAUUUAGAAACAAAUUGACUUGUGGAAUCUCCACAGAUUCUGGAUUAAGAAUAAUACAAGUUAUACAAGGGAUCUUUCCAUGAAAAGAGAAAGAAAUUGGUUCGUUAACCUUGAUUUGAUACUCGAACCAAUUUGGAAUCCCCUCACUUCCAGUUGGAAAAUAAAAAUCCGUGUGUCCAGCCUUGUGUAGUUGCUGUUAGUUAAGAAUAAGAUGUAUUACAUUAUCGAUUAUAUAUCAAUAUCAAAUACUAUCUAUCAAAUACUACUGCACAAUAAAACAACAAACAAACCUGACUCAAUAACAUUCUUCUACUUGAGGAACUCAAUGAUUCACAGUCCUUUGCAUGAAAUAUUUUAAGAUUUGGUGGAAACCCUCUAAUUUCCUCAAGAAACUUGCAGCCAUCCACAUAAAUGUUUUUAAGAAGGUGACAUUCACUAAGGCACUCAGGAAGAAUUUUGAAAUUGCUCUCAGAUAAGACUAGAUUUUCCACAUUAACACACCACAUUAGAAGUAUUCGGAGAAAUUCAUCUGAGAGGUUGCUCUUUUCAAUUCUAAGAUGGUUCACAUUUGAAAAUACUAUAGAAUUCAUUUUAUCAUUUUGUUUUGGGAACCUGAGCAUUCCACAUUGAUAUAUUUGUAAGCGAUCAAGUUCACUGAGAUUUUGAAUUGAAAAUGGAAAUUCCAUGCAAGUUUCAUUCAACCAAAUAUCUUUUAAAUUUGUCAUCUUGCAUAAUAAUUCUGGAAAACUCUUGAGACUCUUACACAUGGCGAGUUCCAAUCUCUUAAGACAGGGCAGUUGUAAAGGUGGAACACUCUGGAGCUUGAUGCAAUAUUUUGCAUCUAAGAUUUCAAGUCUGUUUAGGAAUCCAACUGAAUUGUGAAUUGUAAUUAAAUUCUCACAAAAUUGAAACGAUAACUUUUCUAAAUUUGGAAGUCCUGAGACAUCGGGUAUUUGGGUUAAAUAUUGACAACUGUUCAAUUUCAAUACUUUCAUAUAGUUGAACUUCUGCAUAAAAAAUACAAAUAAUUAAGCUAAAAUUAAAAUUAUAAUCUAAUAGUGAAUUAUAAAUAUACACAAUUGAAAAAUGAAUUUAUUUCACUUGCCUUGUUCAAAAUACAAGAUGAUAGAGACUUCGAAGGACAACCAUUCCAUUUGCAAAAUCUCAAACUACUUGGAAGAUAGUCAGGACCUCUAGAAAACUGACCAUUUUCAAUGAUAAGUGUUUUGAGAUUUGUCAUCUUCUUCAUGGCCUUUCCAUUCCACUCUAUUACGUUUUCCAUUGAGGGACAAUUCAAAUGUAUCAUUUCAAUGUUCCUAGUUCCCUUUUAAGAAAAAUAAAACAACAGAAUAAACCACAAUAUAAAUAAUAUACAUGUAAUUAAGUGGAAAAAAAUAAUAGUAUGAGAUGAUCAUAUUUAGUCCAAAAAGACCAAAAGUCAUAUUAAAACUAAAUAACAAAUUGAUAUUAUAUAUCAAUCUUACUCACAGUGUUUUCUGUUAGAACAUGAACUAUAUCGUCUUGACACCAUAACCUACUUCUUUCUCCAGGCUCUUUAGGUGAUUCUUGUCGGACGACUUCUUUACCCAUGUCCUCUAUCAAGUUAUGCAGUGUCACUUUAUAAAUAGAUCCAGAAUGGUAAGUACAAAUCUGAACAAGAGAUUUUUCAGCCAACACUCCUAGAUGAUGUGUUAUGCAAUGGCCAUAAUGAGCACGAAGUAUAUCUUCAACCACUUCCAAUCCACAUCCUUUGAAGCAACAAGCAAUGUCUAGAAAGACACUCUGCUGCUCUUCCUCCAAAGCAUCAUAGCUUACUUUAAGAAUCUCGUGGAUCUUUUUAUUGGGAAUCUUCUCAUAUCCUUCUAACGUACCCUUCCAUUCUUCUAUCCUCUUUCCAAACAAGUUGGAACCCACUACUUCCAAAACUAAGGGAAGUCCUGAAGCAUAUGAAACUGCACGGUUUAAAACGUCUUCAUAAACUGAAGGUACUUUGUUAUUCUUAAAAGCCAUCCACCUCAACAAUUCAAGAGCUUCUGUCCUACACAACCCUUCUAAUGCAUACUUUCUUUCUAUAUCAUGACUGGUUAGUAAGUGUCUGUCUCGAGUGGUAAUGAUGACCCUGCUUCCAAGCCCAAACCAAUCAGGUUCUCCUGCCAAAGCCUGUAGUUGCCCCAUAUCGUCAACAUCAUCGAGAAUCAAAAGAAUCUUCAUUGAAUGCAGCCUUUCCUUUAUAUGAGAAAUUCCCUCACUAACACCUCCUAACUUAAUUUCAAGUUGAAGUGUUUUUAAAAGGAGCUCCUCCUGGAGAUGUUUCAAUUUAUUUGAAGCUGAAUUCUCUCUCACAUUUUCAAGAAAACAUGAGCAUUCAAAUUGAUCAGCAAUAAAAUUAUAAAUUGCUUUUGCAAGUGUUGAUUUACCCAAUCCUCCAGUACCAUAAAGUCCUACCAUGUGGACUCCAUCAUCAGAUCUUUCAUCAAGAAGAGAUUUCACUUGUUGUACUCGAGACUGCAAUCCAAUAGGAUAAUUGGCAACAUGUAAGGGCUGACGACUGAUCUUGUUGGAGAUUUCUUUCACUAUCUUUCCAAUAAGCUCGUAUUCAUAUCUAUUCAUGUCCAAUAAGAUAAGUUAGUAUGUAACAACAUCAUAAUCACAUCCAUGUACACUCAGAAUAUAUUAUACAUUUCUAACUAUUUUGACAUAUAAAUAACUAAUACUUGUUUAAAAACGUAAAUAAAAAAGGUAUUUGAUCUCAUUUAACCUUGAAUAUGAGAUUAUUGGGUAAUUGAAAUUGAAUAAAGAAAAUACAAAAGGGAAAAAUAGGAUUUAUGUAGUGUUGAGUACCCAGGAGGACUAUCAUGGUAGCCGGAAAAGUUAGCAGCCUGGCUCAGAGCCACUUUCCAUCGCUGCAACCUCUUUAUGUUAUCCUCAUCAUUUUGAAACCUUUUUUUAUGCUCAGCCAAUGCUUGACCGUAACUACCUUUAUGAUGUCGCACAUGAGAAGGUUCCACACCAAAGAAAACAGGCAAAACGACGCGACCCUUUGUCGUGUAGCAAUGAAUGAUGUGAACAAGUUCAUCCAAACAAAAGGAAGAAGAGGCAUAUUUGAUAGAAAACACAGGAAUAAAAAUCCUGGAUUCAUCAAUGGCCUUGAGAAGUGCUGGUGUGAUUUCAUCUCCUCUUCGAAGAUCAUUUUCAUCAAUGAAGGUAUGAAUUCCCUUGUCAGUAAGAGCCUUGUAGAGAUUGCCGGUAAAACCGUAUCGAGUGUCAGUGCCCCUAAAACUAAGGAACACUUGGUAAGUGAAUGCAUAGGAAAAUGAAGAGGAUGAGGAUGAGGAAGGUAAUUGCAUAGCCAUGAGAAUUGAGAGAAAUUGGAUGAAAAAAGAGUUUGAGAAUGCAGAAUAUGAAUGAGUAAGUUUUUGUGGUCUGUGAUUUGGAGUCUUUAAUAUAACAAGGAGAAAUUGUUCUUAAUAAAUAGUUAUUUUGGUCAUAAGUUUUUGCGGUCUGUGUUGACAAAAAUGGUUUGUGAAACUUCCUGGUCACUUCCUAUCUAUAGCCGUGUGGACCAAUCACAUACUAAAUAUCACUGUACUACACUUCUUCUUGCUAAAUUCUUCAAUGCGAUUAAUGUUCAACUUUUGGAGAAAACUUAAAUAAAUAAAUAAACAAGUGAAAACUUAUGACAAAAACAAACAUGAUUUCCGAUAUAUAUACUACCUCCGUUCCUUUUUAAUUGUCACAUUUACUACCAUAUCAUGUCUGAAACUUCCUUCUCAUCUUCUAUGUGGUCCAAUGUGGGACACUUCCUUUGAAUUUUCUACAUCUGUACGUGUGGACCAUGCACCAAUAGCAGUAUAGCACCAUUCAAAGAAAAACCUUGUAACCAUGAAUGAAGGAUGGAUAGGUGGAUGAAGACUAGUAAUACUUCUGUAAAUCAAUGUGUGCCUUAAAAGUCAAUGUUAAUGCCUUAAAAGUCAAACUGAAAUUUUCAAGUGGGAUGCUAAAAAUGAAUUGAGAGCUGUGAUAUUUUGUUUAGACCUUAAAAGUCAAAAGUCAUUAUGAUAUUUAUUGUGUUUGCGGCCGAACAAAUACUUAAUCUCAUCUUUGGAACUGACAUUUCCAACUAUUAUUCUAAUUCUAUACAGUAACUUGAUAUUUAUAUUUGAAAUUUGAUUUACCUCUUAUAAAUUCUUCAUAAAGUUUUAAAAAUAAAUAAUUAGUGUUGGAACCCAAUUUAAAAAUGAAUAAAACUAAACAAUACAAAAAAUAUAGAAGUAUAAACUAUUAAAGGAGGGGGACACAGUUCUUUGCUCCCAAUUAAAGAUUGUUGCAUCAUAAUUUAAUAUAAUCAGAGACUCAAUAAUCCUUGAACAAGAAAAGUUUGCAACAUCAACUUCAUGGUAUUUUCUUUUUCUUUCAAUUAUCCAAGGAAAGAAUAGUUUACAAACGCGUCGACAUUCGAAUACAUUAUCCAAGGAUGGCCUCCUGAAAUUUAUUCAAAUAAAAACACAAAUUGCAUUAUUAUUUUAUACUGCAUAGGUCAUGACUCUGGCAAAAGUAUUUCAUGAAUGUUGGCUCACAGAUUCAGUUCUUUAUCCCAUAUGAGUUCCUUUAGAUCAGAAUGCUUUUUUCCUGCAAGGAUAGUACGUUUAGUUUAAGAAACCCAUCCAACCAUAGCCGUUUUGAAUAAAAUAUUAAUAAAAGUACUUACAAUAGCAACAAAUACAAAACAUGUUUCAUUAUGAAAAUUUAAGGUUAGAACAAACUCUGCCCAUUCAGCAAAAAAAGAAACACAUUUGUUCCUCCCUAUAAAGCUUUUGGGAGAGGUAAUUCGAAAUACAAGUCCUCACCAGGGCAGGCAUGGAUAACACGAAAGGAAAUAUGUCGAGUUUGCAGAAGGAUCAUGUGCAAUGUUCAAUUCAUACUCAAAACAUUUCGUAUGACAAUGCAAAAAGCCAGACAACUACAGAUGAAUUUCUGUUAUUGACCUGUAAAAGAAGAAAUGAAUGCUUAGUUCACAGUUAAAGAAAGUUGCAAAAUUACUGAUAGGACAGUGUGAAAUUCUUAUACUCAUGCUCAUGCUAGGAUAGGGAAAUUGAAGGUAGAUAUUAGAAGCAUCUCAUACUCAUGCUUAUUUCAACAUGAGAGGAUCCACUAUUAAUCCACUAGAUACAUUAAAGAGAAAUGUCGAACCAAUUUGUAAGAACUUAAAAAUAAAUAGAAGAAAAAAGAUAACAAGUAGGAGAUAAAAGUAUAUUAAUUUUUGAGAAAAAUGACUUUCUUUCUAAUAAGUUAUAGCAUUUCAUUUCUCUUCUUGAUGUAUAAUCCACUCAUUACAACCAUAACGUAAUGAUUGGAAAUAAAAAACCAAAACUUUGAAAGCAUUCAUUCUGAAAGAUCUUUCAUAAAGAUUAUAUAUGAUUGAAAGCAUUCAUGCUUACUUGUAAACAGAAAUGACAAGUUGAUAGCUGUAGCCUCUCCUUUCUGCAGGUGACACACAGUCAACAGAUAAGAUCGAUAUUGAUCACUCGACGAAACGACUUUACAUAACAUGCCAAAUCUAAGUAUUGAGCCCACUGUAAAUCUCGCUUGUGCUUAUAAGCUAUUGGAGUUUUUAUCAAUUAUGAAUCAUGUUUCAAUUGCAACCACAUUGAAUUUCAUUCUUUAAGUUACUAAUAAUGCUAUGGAUGUUCCAUAUGUUUAUUGGUCAAAAUGAAAGCACAUAAAAUUAGUUAGGAGAGAUACAAGUUCCAAUUUGAAUCGUAAUUACUCAGAUCAUGAAGACUUCAACAUCGAAUGUCAACUUUAUAGGCUUAAAGUGGCUAUAUUUACAGUGAGACAGUCAAACUCUGAGAGAACCUUCAUUUUGACAUUUUAACCAUAUGAACAAGGAGAAAAUAAAAAAGUUGAUAAUAAUGAUAAUGAUGUACCUGGAGCAAGGAAUCAAUCUAGCCAUGGUGUUCCAAUUCUUUUGUUUCAUUAAGAACCAAGUUCCGCAUGGCUGACACUAAAGCUAGAUGUUGUUGCUUUUUCACUAACCUUUGCUUUUUCAGCGGUGGGUGAAAUUGUAAUAACGAAGCAUUGCGAUGUUCAUCUGAUUUUCUCUUUCUAAUAUAAGGAUCAGUGAAUACCACAUUCUUCUCCUCUGUGUUGCUUUUCUCAUUCCACACGUGGAUUCCCAUUUGACCACUCCUUAAUCUUUUAUUCUUCUCUUCCUCACUAAGUAUUUUAAAAUCCCAAUCAUCCAACUUAAACUCCACAUGGAUCCAUUCAUUUUUCAAAAGUUCUUUCUCGCAUUGUCUUUUACUGAAUCUAUUCAAUUUCGAGGUAUGAAACAAAGUUGUAUGGUCAGUCAGCAAACUAUUGUGGCAAUAUUCUGUCUCAAUAUAACCAUUCACAAAAACAUAGACCCUAUUGGUAUCAAGAAAGCCUUCCGGAAGAAUAAAUAUACAAGUUAUUGAAGGGAUUUCUUUACGAAACCAGAAAGAAAGUGUGAGUCCCCUGCUUUGGUGCUCAAACCAAUCUGGUAUCCCCUGCUCUGUUCCGUUUGGGAAUUCAAAAUAGGUGCAUCCAGCCUCAUGUAGUUUCUGUUUGUUUAUACAAAAUAAUAAUAAUAAUAAUUACACUAUGAAUUACAAAUUAAAUAUUAUAUAUAAAAUACUGUGCUAUAUAUAUAAAACAACAACUAACCUGACUCAUUAACUUUCUUUUACUUGAGGAACUCAAUGAUUUGCAUUCGCUUGCAGAAAGCCAUUUAAGAUUUGGUGGAAUCCCUCUAAUUUCCUCAAGGGACUCGCAGUCCCUCACAGUAAUUAGAACAAGAUGGUGACAUUCACUAAGGCACUCAGGAAGAAUUUUGAAAUUGCUAUAUGAUAAGUCUAGACAUGUCACAUUAACAAACCACUUGAGAAGUAUUGGGAGACAUUCAUCUGAGAGGUUGCAAUCCAUGAGAGUAAGCUCUGUCAUAUUUGAAAACACUAUUGAAUACAUCUUAUCAUUCUGUUUUGGGAACCUCAGCGUUCCAUUUGCCACUGAUAACUCUUGAAGUUCACUGAGAUUUUGAAAUGAAAAUGGCAGUUCUCUUAUGGAAGUACUAAUCAACAAAAUAUUGUCUAUCUUUGUCAUCUUGCAUAAUAAUUCUGGAAAACUAUCGAGACUCUCACAACCACUGAGAUUCAAUUUCUUAAGAGAUGCCAAACCUAAAGGUGGAAAACGUUCGAGCUUUCUGCAACCAUAUGCACUUAACCAUUCAAGUUUAUUUAGGUGUCCAAUAGAAUUGUGAAUUGUAAUUAAAUUAUCACAACAUGUAAACGAUAACUUUUCUAAAUUUGAAAGGCCUGAGACAUCGGGUAUAUGUGUUAAAUAUUCACAAUAGUUCAAUGUCAAGACUUUCAUAUUCUGAAACUUCUGCAUACACACAAGGAAGAAACAAAUCAAUAAAUUAAAACUCAAAGACAAUAAUACUUUCAUACUGAUUUCUUUUGUUGACUGAAACAAAAUCAUUGUGAAGUUAUUUCACUUGCCUUGUUUAAAAUAUUAGAUGACAGACACUUCGAUAAACAUCCUUUCCAUUUCAAUACACGCAAACUGCUUGGAAGAUACUUCAGACCUCCAGAAAAAUGGCCAUUUUCAAUGAUAAGUGUUUUCAGUUUUGUCAUCUUCUUGAAGGCCUUUCCUUUCUUGUCUAUCACGGAUUCCAUGGAGUGGAGAUUCAUAUAUAUCAUUUCAAUUUUACUAGUUCCCUUUUAACAAAGAUAAAAACAUGAAUCAACCACAAUAAAAAUAAGACAUAGAUAUAUUAACAUGUAAUUGAGUGAAAAGAAAUGCUAGUAUCAGAUGAUCAUAUUUAGUGCAAAAAGAGCAAAGUCGUAUUAAAACUAAAUAACAAAAUGAUCAUAGAUAUCAAUCUUACUCACAGUGUUUUCUCUUAAAACACGAACUAUAUCAUCCUGACAGCAUAACCUACUUCUUUCUCCAGGCUCUUUAAUUGAUUCUUGUCGGACGACUUCUUUACCCAUGUCCUCUAUCAAGUCAUGUAACAUCACAUAAUCGCGAUAUUCCCAAUAUUGGUCUAUGAGAGAUUUUUCAGCCAACACUCCUAGAUGAUGUGUUAUGGAAUGGCCAUAAUGAGAAUGAAGUGUAUACUUUGCAUCUUCCCAAUUAUAUCCUUUGAAGCAACAAGCAAUGUCCAGAAAGACACUUUGCUCCUCUUCUUCCAAAGAAUCAUAGCUCACUUUAAGUAUCUUUUGGAUCUCUUUAUUGGGAAUCCUGUCAUACCCAUCUAAUGUAUACUUCCAUUCCUCUAUGUUCUUUCCAAACAAGUUAGAACCCACUAUUUCUAUAACUAACGGAAGGCCAGAAGCAUAUGCAACAGCACGGUUUAAAAUCUCUUCGUAACCUGAAGGAACAUUGUCACUUUUAAAAGCCAUCCACCUCAACAAUUCAAGAGCUUCUGUCCCAUACAGCCCUUCCACUUUAUGCAUACUUUUUAUCCCAUGACAGGUUAGCAAGUGUUUGUCUCGAGUGGCAAUGAUGACUUUGCUUCCACGGCCGAACCAAUCAGGUCCUCCAGCCAAAGCAUGUAGUUGCUUCAUAUUGUCAACAUCAUCAAGAAUCAAAAGAACCUUCUUUCUAUGUAGCCUUUCCUUUAUAUAAGGAAUUCCCUCACUAACACCUCCAAACUUAAUUUCAAGUUGAAGUGUUUUUAAAAGGAGCUCCUCCUGAAGAUGUUUCAAUUUAUUUGAAGUUGAAUUCUCUCUCACAUUUUCAAGAAAACAUGAGCAUUCAAAUUGAUCAGCAAUAAAAUUAUAAAUUGCUUUUGCAAGUGUUGAUUUACCCAAUCCUCCAGUACCAUAAAGUCCUACCAUGUGGACUCCAUCAUCAGAUCUUUCAUCAAGAAGCGAUUUCACUUCUUGUACUUGAGACUGCAAUCCAACAGGGUAAUUGGCAACAUGUAAGGGUUGACGACUGAUCUUGUUGGAGAUGUAUUUGACUAUCUCUCCAGUAAACUCGUAUUCAUAUCUAUUCAUGCCCAAUAAGAUAAGUUAGUAUGUGACAACAUCACAAUCACAUCCAUGUUAUUCUUUAAGAUGAGAUUAUUGUGAAAUUUAAAUUAAAGAGAGAAAAUAUAAAAAAAGGUACCCAGGAGGACUAUCAUGGUAGCCGGAAAAGUUUGCAGCCUGGCUCAGAGCCACUUUCCAUCCCUGCAACCUCUCCAUGUUAUUCUUAUCAUUUUGAAACCUCUUUUCAUGCUCAGCCAAUGCUUCACCAUAACUACCUUUCUGAUGUCGCACUUUAGUAGGUUCCACGCCGAAGAAAACAGGCAAAACGAGGCGACCCUUUGUCUUGUAGCAGUGAAUUAUGUGGACAAGUUCGUCCAAACAAAACGAAGAAGAGGCAUAGUUGAUAGAAAACACAGGAAUAAAAAUCCUAGAUUCAUCAAUGGCCUUGAGGAGUGAUGGUGUGAUUUCAUCUCCUCUUGGAAGAUCAUUGUCAUCAAUGAAGGUAUGGAUUCCCUUGUCAGUAAGAGCCUUGUAGAGAUUUCCGGUAAAACCGUGGCGAGUGUCAGUGCCCCUAAAACUGAGGAACACUUGGUAAGUGAAUCCAUAGGAAAAUGAAGAAGAAGAGGAAGCUAAUUGCAUAGCCAUGAAAAUUGAGAGAAAUUGGAUGAAAAAAGAGUUUGAGAAUGCAGAAUAUGAAUGACUGGUCCGUGAUGUGGAGUCUUUAGUAUGUAACUAUAAAAGGAGAAAACUUACGACAAAAGUAGUAUGUGAAACUUCCUAGCCACUCCUAUAGCCGCGUGUACUAACUAUAUUUUAAAAUUAUAAAUGUCGGAAAAAGAAAGGCAGCAUCAAACAGCUUAAUAAACUAAUGCAUCAAAAGAGCUUAAUAUUAUCUCUUACUUUUAUGAGACUUCUUUCUCAUUUCCUAUCUUCUGUAAAACAAUGUGAAUGCCUUAAAAAUCAAACUUACAUUUUCAGGUGGGACCCUAAAAAUGAAUUAUGAGCUUAAGUGAUACUUUGUUUGGAGUUUGGACCUCAAUUGACAUUUCCAGCUGUAAUUCCAAUACAUGUUGAUAUUUCAUUACUUUGUAAACUAGUCUCUUAACAAGAAUAACACACUGAUAGACUAUAGAUAUGAUACUAUGCAAAAAGUAAACUAACUCCAUUCUGUUUUGCUAACUAACUCUGCUUAAUAAAUAAAACCAAUUUUUGCAGGAAAUUAGCAACAAUGCAAAUUGGGUAGAGUAACUUUUUAACAGACUUUUGAAUGCUAAAACCAAAGCAUCAUUUUAAACAGACUUUUUUUUAACACACUUUUGUGUGUAUUAGUAACACUUUUGUAUUAUAUUUGAACACAGAACAGAUUUAGUAAAAACUAAGCAAGGUGAUAAAUAUGGAGUAAUAUAGUUUGCAAAAAGCAACAAAUGCAUUCAUGAAAAGGCACUAUCAAUCUCUAAAGCUUGGUGCCAAUUCAUCUAUAAAACUAACAUUUCCAGCUGUUAUUCUAAGUCAAAACUUGUUUUUUUAAUAACAAAGGUUAAUUAAACUUUUUUUAAUAACAAAGGUUAAUUAUUAGUAUUUUCUUUUGUUAGGACUUUAACCCCUGAACUUUUAACUCCUCAACUUCUUUAAUCUCUUAGCUCAAAAUUGAUUUCAAUUCAUGUUGUACUUUAAUUGAGUAACUUGAUGUCUAUAUUUGAAAUUAGACUCACCUCUUCUAAGUUUUUAUUAAGUUCUAAUGAUAAAUAAUUCGUUUUACAACCCAAAAAAAAAAAAUGAAUAAAAUUAAACAUAUAAAGUAUAUACUAGCAAAGGUUCAUCCACAAAUUAUAAUUCAAUUUAUAAAAAUAUCAAAAUUGUUAAAUCGGACAUCAUGAUCGAGUUCAAACCACGACUCUUUUUUAUCAAAAAAAUUAAAAUAAAAAAGGUUGACUAAUAAAGUAACUCAUUAAGCUUGUUCCAAAAAAAAUAUACACAUUUGCUCCGGUCUAAAUUUUGGCAUAUUUACUGCAAUAUUCUCUUUGCUUCUUAUUUUACCCUGUAAUUGUUUCAUGGCACCCACCCAUCACUCUGCCCCAUGUCAUAUAUGCUCAUGGGCAGUAGGCAUGUCACAAAUUUUGGAUCUUUUCCCUAACUGCACCGGGUUUAACAUAAUUCGCAUAGUUUUCAAGAAAUGAUAUUUGAACAAUUAUUUUAUAAUAAUUUUAUGACAAUUUUCUCUCUCAUAUUCACAUUAUAUUUUUAUUAUCUUUUUCUAUUACUUUGAUUUUCGUGUCAAUACAUAUUUUUCUUUGUAAACAUAUGGUUGUCCAUUUGAUUGUCAAACAAAUAGAUGUUCAAAUAACACUGCUGAUAUUAAAUUAACCAUGCUACAAUAUAAAGGUAAUCAGAACUUUACUUUUCUUUUUCAAAAAAGGUCAACCAUUUUUUUAUGACUAGAAAUCUAGAUAAGCGUUCAAAGAGCCUUUCACGACUGAUAUCUCUCUCGAGCAUAAAAACGUAACUCAUUAAAUAAGUAAAUUUGUUCCUUUCCUGUCGAGCUCAUGGAACUUGGGAAGAAAAUAGUUGAUCAAUAGGGUUGAGAAUAGGCCAGGUCAAGCUUUGAUAGGCCUGAGCCUGACCUACGAAAAAAUUUGCAGGCCUGAGCCUGGCCUAUGGCCUUUCAUAGGCCUAUUUUUUUGGCUUGGCCUUGCCUAUUUAAAAGUCUGGCCUGGCCUGAAAGCCUAUUUACAGGCCUACUUACUAUUAAAGUCACUAAACAUUCCAUUUUAUCUACUUUUAAAUAGGCUUAAUAGACCUCAAAGCCUAUUUGAGUGUAAGACUUGUCUAUCACUAUAAGGCCUUAAAAGCUUAUUUUACUAUAAUGAUUUAAAGCCUAUUUAAAAAGUCCACUAUGAAGCCUAACAUGCAUAAACAGGCCGGCCUAUUAGGCUUCAUAGGCUUUUUUGAUAGCCUAAGUCUGGCCUAUUUACUUAAAUAGGCUUUUUAAAAAGCCUAAGCCUAACCUUUUUAAUAAACAGGCCAGGCCAGGCCAGGCCAUAGGCCCCUGUAGGCCGGCCUGACCUAUUCCCAACCCUAUUGAUCAAGUUACAUUUUAAUGAUUUUGGAUAAAAAUAGAAAUGAAAGAGAAUAUGGAUAAAAACAUAAUUGCAUAAAUUAAUAGAUAUAAUCAAAUUUUACAUAGGAGAAAUUACAAUCAAAAUGAAAGAAAGUGAACUCUUUGCAUUGUUGACUCAAAAUACUCAUAUUGCUCCAAAACUCUAAAAUACAUUUGAGAUGGGUGAAGGUUCAUAGUGUAAAAAUACAUUUGAGAAUAAACAAAAUGAAGCUUCAUUACACCAUCAAGAUACAUUUUGGUUACUUCUAACCAAAGAAAAACAAAAGGCAAAUUUACAUUUCAAAUAUCAUCAAAUGACAUGUUAAUUGAGUCUCACAUUUGCUUUAACUUGUGCUUCCAACACUAGUAGUAUCCGCAGGACCCGGAUUCCGUGCAUUAAUAAAAGUCCAUAGUUCCAUGCAGUUGUUAAUCUCAGGCAUUUGUGAUCGGAAGGUUCAAAUUACAUAUACACUAAUUUGGUUUACAACCAUCUCAGUUGUAGAUUUAAAUAAAACAGACUAGACUGGUGCAAUUACUAGUGGGAAUCCAUUUCCAUAUCAACUAAAUGAAAAACACUAAUAAAUAGACUAAAAGAAUUAUCCCACAUCGAUGAUAUCAUGUACAACCACAGUUGUCAAAAUUAGGAAUUUACUUCAGGUCGAAAGGGAAUAGUAAAAUCGGGACUCGUAAAAUCACAAUCAAAAUCGAAGGAUUUUACUCAAUGACUUGAGUAGAAACAAUAUAGGAAAUUGUAAAAUCAAAAUCGAUAAAUUUUUCCAAAAUAAUAAUAAUAUGUUAUAAAUGGUAUAUAGUCAUAAAUGAAUUAUAGUUUAUAAGAAAUCGUAAAAGACAACAAUGUUACAACCAAUUUUUGAAGACUUCCCUUUCCAUCAGAAACCAAAAGCCUAACAUUAAAUCAUAUAUUAUUGUUAUAAAUCACAUCCUGUUAACAAUUUGGAGAGGGAAGGGAAAAAGACAAGAAUAACCCACAAAAUAAAACUUCUCAAUUCAUUAUGCAGGAAUGUGAAAGUGCACAACUCUUUCCAUAUCAUCUUUAAAAUUUUGAUAAUGAAAAGCAUCAUGGAUGCAAAGGUAGUGCCUUUCCCUUUCAAUGAUUAACCUAAUCAACUUAGGGUAAUAUUGACAUCAUCACCAAGUGUGAAAAAACCGAAGAAUACUUCAAGAUGAUAUCGGUUCAUAAGGGUAUGAAAACCAGGGGUGCUUUAGAGCUUCAGAUGCAGAAGGUGCUUCUUCGGGUUAACCUCGAGCAAAUGAGAAACGAAGUCAGUGAAGCCUUGGUCCCCCAUUGGUAAUCUAUGCCUCAAAGAUGUCUUCUUUGGAAUCAGGUAUUCUAGUCUGCUGCUUUCCUGCAUAUCAAUACACAAUACCUCACUGAAUAAUUUUCCUAUGAUAAUUGAACAUACAAUGAUAAGUGUCUUGUGAGACUGAGAAUUUAUGGAAACAACUUAUGACAUGUUCAUAAGCUAUUUUCAAGUAAUUUCCAUAAAUUCUCUAGAUUUGCAAAUGAUAUCAGCUUACAGCUUAUAUGAAAAGAAUUUGACUUUAUUUUAUCUAUUAUUAUAGAAAAUAACAUAUAAAAGCACUUACAUGAUAAGUGUCUAUGAUAUAAGCUUAAUUAAUUUGUUUAUCCAAACAUGGAAAAUACAAGCGAACGAAAAUAGUCAAUUUUAGAAAGCUAUCUCAUGUUUUAAUUUUUAAAGACGAUGCAAAUGAAAAGAUAUUGAAAAUUUUAAGAUUGUUCGCUGAUGCAUUUCAUAUGCAAAGACACUUUAGAAAUGAAUUUCUUACCUGAUUCCUCUCAUAAAGCAUAUGAUUUUUUGUGAAGUACUUAUAAGUAUCCCGUUCUUUUGCUAGCAUACUUUGACCAAUUGAACCGAUGAUCCCAAUUACCCUAGCUAGUAAUGUUGCCGGGGAAUCGUUUUGGAAUAAGACCUACAAUAAGCAUAGUUGAGUUCAUUAAGAAUCAAGAUUUAUGAGUGUAUUCACUAAAACAGAUACAGAUUUGACAUCCGCUUUCACACAAAAAUGUAAAAACCCUACAACUGCAAGAACAUAUAACUUAAAAGAAAUUCACAGUACCAAAUAUGUCAAAUCAUUUUCACUUCUAAGGAUACUUCGUCAAUUUAUUUAAGGCAGCUUUUGAUGCACAGAUAAAAUGAAACAGGGCGACUCGUUCUCUUCUAUUCUCUAUAGAGUUCCACUAAAACAACAAAGAAACUCCAAGCGUUGUCAAUCGCAGAUCGCAGAAAAUAGUGGUUUGUUCCGAUUCUGCUACACAGGAGUUCAAUAGUGCCACUAGAGGAACUAUUUGACAAUAUUUUGUACUAUAAUGCGUGAUAAAGAACAAAAACGAUUUUUUCAAAUUCCGCUACGUUAUAGCCGCUAUUUAACAACACCCAAAUCAUUUUCAAAUUUAAAAUAUACUUUAUUAGUUUAUUUCAGGUAGUGUUCGGAACACGAAUGGAAUUAAAUGGGACAACUUAUUUUUGCUUCAACAAUUUUUCUGUUCUAUUUUUUAUUUGCUUCGAAAAUGUAGAAUAUAAAUUAUUCUAUGCUAUUUUAACCUGGCUACCAAAAACUUCCUUAAGACUAAGAGUGAUACAAUACAAUACAAUCAUACCCCAAUUUUUGACCUAAGAGAGCACUAACACGGGUCAUUUAGCUCCGACUGGUCUCAGCCUUUCGAGCAAAAAAAUUCGGCAGAAAGGUAUUUUAAAAUACCUCAUAUUUGAUUCCGAGUCGGGUCCUCUUCUCUCAAUUUUCAUUUAAUUUUAAUUUCCAUCUUUUAUUAACUUUAAAUUCAUUUUUUUAACCUUUAUUUUAUGAGAAUUGCUGUUCCCACAUAUAGUAUGGCUGUGCCACACGAGUAAAAUACCAAAAUGCCCUUCGGCAGUUUGCUACCGAAGUUUUAAGGAAACCGGCGGCAGUUAACUGCCGAAGAAAACCUCGGUAGUUAACUGCCGAGGAAAUCUGAACAUAACCAGAACGCAGAAACUCAGUUUUCUUCAUUCUUCAAACUUCUUCCAAACCAUCCAACUUCUCCAACUUCUCCAAAUUCGUUUUUUCAGCAAAAUCAAGUGCAUCAUCUUCAUUUAAACACAAGUAAGUAUGUUGACUCAUUUUUAAUCAUAAUGUUAGUUUGGGUAGGUUUUUUUUUUAAAAAAAAUGGUAGUUUUCAUGUGGUUAGGGUUGAUGUAGGAAUUGAAUUUUUUAUGAGUGCAUGUAGUUUAUAAUUGAAUGUAGUUGGUUUAAUUGAUGAUUGAAUGGUGUUAGGGUAUAAUAUGGUUUUGAAUGGUGGCAAAAGAAUACAUUUUGAGUAUGUUUGAUACUUUGCACACAAAGUGUUUGAUAAAAUGUGUCAAUGACAAAUUUAUUGAUUAUUUAGUUAGUUUAGGUAUUGGAUACGAUCUUGAUUGUAAUUUGAAAAAAUGUAUGUUGAAUUAAGUUGAAUGCAUAUUGAAAAACUGUAUAUUGAAUUAGGUUGAAUGUGUAUAUUGAAUUAUGUUUAGUUUAGGUUGAAUGUGUAUGAUAAUGCAUUUGAUUUUUUACGUUUGAAUGUUAAUGAUAAUGUGUAUGAUAAUGUUUAGGUUUAAUCAAUGUCUUUAUUUUGGUAAAGUGGUUUAAUGUGAAAGCGGUUAAGUUUAGGUUAUGUUUAGGUUGAAUGUGAAAGUCUAGGUUUUGUUUAGGUUUAGUGUUUGUUGAUAAAGUGGUUGAAUGAUAUUAAUUUUUUAUUUUUAUUUUUUGUAGAUAUGGCCGAUCAGGACCCCAUUGAUCCAUCGAAGAUGAUUGGUGGUAGGCGUGCCAUGACUCAGAGCCACCGUAGGGAGAGGCAGGGCGGCCACAUCCCAAAGAGGGGUAGAGGUCGAAGAGGAGAUGGCUCAGGAAGCUCUCAGGCUACACAGCCUGAGGAGUCACAGGUUGUUGACCCGCCACAGCCUGUUGACCAGACUGGGGUGGAGUACCUGAACUAUCAGAAUCAGGUACAGCAUGAUGUGACGGAUGGUGGAUAUGACCAGGAUCAUAUACCACAGCAGCAGGAUGCAGGAGACGAGGAUGACAUUGCAGCAGCUGCUGCACCGGAGGUGUUACCUACGGACCCUCCAUUUCCUGGUGGACCGGAGGACCUGUCAUUGCUCCACUCUUAUGCCGAUCAUGUGGCUUUGCCACUCUGGUAUAAUUCAAAUAAUGUAAGUGUAUUUAUUUUAAAUGUUUUUUCUUUAUGUUAAAAUAUUUUCUUUAAUUUAAAUGUGUGUUUGUUUAAUUAUUGUUAUCAUGGUUUUUGGGUGCCAAGCCAUUAAUUGGACUUGAACCUUUUGACCGUUGAUAUCUCUCUUUUUUCUUGGGAAGGGUAAAAGGAGAAAAACCCUUGAGUUUCCGAAUUCGGGGGUCGUUUUCGCUACGGGAAGGUGUUAGGCACCCGGAGCGAUUAUGGUAUUCCAUAAGAACCGCUUUCCUAAGUUUAUUUCUAUGCUUUAGUUUUAUUGCUUAUUUGUAAAAAAAGAAGGUGUGAUUAGUUAAGAACGGGGGUGAGAAGGAGUAGAAUUUGAUUUUUAUUUCGGCUUGGAUGAGUUUUGACUCAUUGCCUACGUACCGUUUUACGGGAUCAAAACCGAUCGUAGUUCGUUCUCAAAAAUGGUUUUUGUUUUUGUUGAUUGAUUUUAAGUUUGAAAAGAGAUUUUGAAGAAUAGAGAUGAGAGGCCUCAAGGGCAUAAGAUUUGGAAAAUGUGAGGUGGAAUUAGUUACUUUGCAAAAUGACGUCUAAGUAUGAUUAAAAUUUAUUAGAAAUUUUACUUAAGAAAAUAAAAGGGAAAUAAGGAGUUUUGACUCCUAUUUUAUUUUCAAAAAGGUUUUCAAGUGAGGUUAUUUGCAUGUUUUGGAAAAAGUUGGAUUUUCUCUAAGUGUUCAAAACUAAACGUUCAUCUAAUCAUGCAAUCCUAGCCAUACAUCUAUGCAUACAAUCCUAAGCAUACAUCUAGGGUGAGUGUGUGCGUGUCGGUGUGUCAUAGUGUCCAUAGUCCAUAUUACAAAAAUUCCCUAAAUACAUUCUAUGGCCCCUUUGCCAAGCUACAAACCAAUGGUAAAAUAUUACAUCACCGAAUGAAUUACAAUUUGCAAAAAAAGAAAACUAAACUAAAGGAGACAAUAGUGAAGAUGGUGAAGUGCUAUGAAGUGAUCAAUAUGAAAGGAAAUGUUAGUAGAAAAUGGUAAAAAAAGAAAGAAUGUGGCAUGAAGCGAUGGAAGAAAGUAUGGCAUAAAACAGUAAAGUGACGAUGAAAAUAAGCCGGAAACAUGUAACGAAUAAUGCACAUGAUGCAAGAACAAAACUCAACACAUCAGAACAGUGGCGUAUGCAUAGCAAACAGUAGCAAAAUUCAUAUGGAAUAGUAUGCAAAUCAAACAUGACGAACACGAUCAUCAUGCACAUGAAGUAACGGGUAAAAAUGCGAGAAAAGUGACUAAAAAAAUAGUAAAAACCCUUGACAAAACAACACUAAAAUUUUUACCAACUUUUCCAAGCAAAAUACCACUGAAAAUUACCAAGAAAAAUAGUAAAAUGACAUGGUAAAUUUCUUGGAAUUUAUUGAUAAAAAUUAACAUGAAUAAAGGGUGCAAACAGCAGGCAAGUAUGGUGCAAAUAGCAAAAAAUAAACAAAAACGUGAAAAGAAAUCUAAGCCCAACCCAAAGCCCAAUGCAGACUGGACCUGGAUCAUCCAAAGGCCUCAGAGGCGUUAGAUUGAUCCAGACCUAGAUCUGACGGUUCAAAAUAAGCAGCGCAUGGUAACACAGAUCAAGCACAUGGAAACAACGCAUCAUAACCAUUCAAAUGAAAAAACCCUAGAUCCUACGGUUCAAGAUGAAAACAAAAUAAACCGGACCGGUUCAAACGUCUAUAUAAGGACGUGGACACCGGUCCAGUCCAUUUCUUUCAUCUCUUUCUCUCUCUAAGCUUCCCUCUCCUCUCGCCUCUCUCCAGAACCUCACCGCCGGUGAGGAUGAAGCUACGGCGGAGACCUUGAAGGUCCGCCGGAAACUUCAUCUUCUCCGGCGAGACUAUGAACUUCCGGUGACCUAAAAAUUCCAGAACUUAAAGAUUUUUGCAUAUUUCGAUUCGUCCUUUAACCCUAAACACGAAUCCAGCAAUUAUUUUUUCAAAUACGGCCUGAAACGACGUAGAUCUAAAACUUUUCAUACGGUUUUGAAAAUGAUUUUGAUCUUUUUGAAAUAAAACGUUUAGAUCUUUAAAGAUCUACAUCGUUUCGUUGUUUGAUUCCGUUUCUGGUACUCGUUCUUGCUUUCAAAAUUUAGAUCCUUAUGGAUCUAGAUUUCGUGCUUACGGUUACGGUUUUCUCUUUGAAUUCUGGAAAUUUUUAGAUCUGUUUCUCGCGUGAUUUUGCAGGUUUAAAUUAUGAUUAUUUUCUGAGAAAAGAUUCUGAGUUUUACCUAAGGUUUUGGUUGAAACCUUUAAUGGAGGAAAUCUUUGGGAGAACUUGAAUCUGUUGUUUUCUGAUGAUUCUUGAUUCUUCCGCUUGCUUCACCGGUCCAGAUUCUGCAGAUUCUGCUUCUUUCCUUCUUCUUUCUCUUCACUGCUUCCUCGUGAUCAGUGCUUGAGCUCGUCGCGUUUCAGUGAUGAACUCGCACUUUGAAUUGCGAGGAAAUUGGUUCUGUGAUGAUGAUUCCGUAUUGAAUCUCUGAGAAUCAAUGAGUAAUCAAAGAAACUUUGUUGAAUUCUGUUGAAUUUGGUGUUUUUGUGUUGAUUCGGUGGAAAUCAAUGGUGGAUUGAGGUGGUUAUGGUUUCUGCCAUUGAUGAAUCUUUGAAGCUUUUUUUGUUGAUUCUGUUUUGGUGAGUUGGCACUUGGUGAAUGAAAAACGUCUGAAAUUCAUUGCCACUGUGUUGCUUUUAUAGCUGACAAGUGUACUGUCUGGCCAAUGGAAAACUGACACAUGUCCUGGACUUGUGAUUUGGGCGCUGCCUUGUAAUUUAGGACUUUGAGGACCUCCCUGCAAUUUUGUAAAAUAUGGAACUGGACUGCAAUUUUAAACAGAACUAAAAAGUAUAAAAAUUGGACAAUUUGGACUUAAAUGCAAUUUUAACAAAAUUAAGGGACUAAUAAUGCAAAAAUAAAAAUAAAAUGAAUUAAAAUUUGUAAUUUUGACCAAACGUAAAGCGAAACAAAAAUAAAAUUGACAAAACGGACUAAAACGAACCAAUGGCCUAAAUGAGGUACUUCAAAGUAACCUCUCUAUGCUAAAAUUUUAUGUGAAAUGACCAAAAUGCCCCUAGGGCUAAAAAUGACCUAAACAGACUCAAAUUGACUUGACACUGACUCAGAUGCAAGUUUGAAAUGAUUUUAGCAAGGUUUACUGAUGAAAUGUAAAAAAGAAUCAAUUUGAAAAGACUCAGAGACAGUCACAAGGAUGAAAAUGGGUCCCACUGCGGGAAAUGACCAAAAUACCCUUCUGUACAAUUUUUGCAAAUUUUGAAAUAAACUGUAGAAAAAGCAGUGUAAUGAUUCAGAGACACUUUUGAAUGACUUACAAGACAAGUAAAGACAUUCCGAAAGGUUUUAUGCAAGAAAAACAUAGGUAAAAUUGUGAUUGAAAAUACUGCGAGGCAGAGACAAUUUGAACUGUGCAGUUGAAAUUUGAUAAUUGACAAAGUUUGAAAUGAAAUUGGGCCCAGUAUUUUUAGGUCCAAAAACAGGGUAUAACAGCUGCCCCUAUUUAAGUUUCUUCGUCUGGAGAGUCAAGAGACGGAGUCUUUGGCUUGACAGGACGAAGAUACUUAAAUAUUAGCAUUUGCACUGUGUUUGGACGUAAAAAUACGCCUACCCAUUUUCAAAUAAUAUGCAUGCCAUGCAUCAUUUGGAUUAUGAAUGCAAGACCUCAUGGGGAUUGGAAUUAACAAAGUAUGUCGUAUCCAUUGCGGGAUUGGUAGACAUUGACAAGAUAACAUAUAACAGGGUAGACAGCAGACUAGAAGCAAAUUGACGGGUACAAGCUGCUCUUGGAUUGAGCUGGGCACUUGACCAAACAGAAACAUGUUGACAGGUACAAGCUGCUCUUGGAGUGAGCUGGGCACUUGACCGAUAAUGUUGAAAAGUAAACAGAUACAAGCUGUUCUUGAAUUGAACUGGCCACUUGAUUGAAAAACAAAGACACAAAGAUAGGUACAAGCUGUUCUUGGAUCGAACCUGCCACUUGACCACACAGAAACAAAGGCACGAGCUGUUCUUGGAUCGAACCUGCCACUCGACCAAAUAGAAACAAAUUGAUGGGUACAAGCUGUUCUUUGGAUCGAACUUGCCACUUGACCAGACAGAAACAAAGGUACGAGCUGUCCUUGGAUCGAACUUGCCACUCGACCAAACAGAAACAAAUUGAUGGGUACAAGCUGUUCUUUGGAUCGAACUUGCCACUUGACCAGAAAGAAAGAAAUUGACGGGUACAAGCUGUUCUUUGGAUCGAACUUGCCACUUGACCAAACAGAAACAAAGGUACGAGCUGUUCUUUGGAUCGAACUUGCCACUCGACCAGACAGAAACAAAGGUACGAGCUGUCCUUGGAUCGAACUUGCCACUCGACCAAACAGAAACAAAUUGAUGGGUACAAGCUGUUCUUUGGAUCGAACUUGCCACUUGACCAGAAAGAAAGAAAUUGACGGGUACAAGCUGUUCUUUGGAUCGAACUUGCCACUUGACCAGAAAGAAAGAAAUUGACGAGGGGAUUGGUUUGUUUUGACAAAAUAUAUAUUGAAAGUGACUUGACGUCGAUUUAAUUUGAAAAGUAGAAAUUGACCAAUAUUAUUGGCUCACAAGAUAACAGGGGUGUUGGUUAUUGACUUGAAAUUGGCAUUGCUAUUUGAAUUGAAAUUGACAUUGAUACUUGAAUUGAAAUUGACGUUGACAUUGAAUUUGAAAUUUGACAUUGAAUUGAAAUUGACAUUGAUAUUGACAUUGAAUUGAGAUUGACAUUGACAUUUGAAUUGAGAUUGACAUUGAUAUUGAAUUGAAAUUGACAUUGAUAUUGAAUUUGACAUUUGUAUUGGAAAUUGAAUGUGACAAUUGACAUUUGAACUGAAAUUUGACACUGACAUUGAUAUUGGAAAUGCAACAUGUAUGGAUGGUAUAACAAUUUUUAUCAGAUGUAUAGACAUGUAAUAUGCAUGAUCAUGCAUGUAUGAAUGAUUGAAAUGCAUGAUGGUUGACAGUUUGUAGACACGACUUCACGGGGAAGACAAGACAUUAGAGUAUUGGGCACGUAGUGGCUCGUGCUACAUCAUAGAAAUCCUCUUUGGAGAUAACGCCGUUGGGAGACGUACCAGAACCAUGGCUGAGGGUAGAUAGCUAAUCAACUUGCUGGGGAUAGAAUCUUGGAAGACCCGACUGGGGAUAACGCCGUUAUGCUGGGCAUUUCAGUGCUGGGUAUGUUGUAGAUAUCGCAUCUGUGGUCAAUGCUUUUUGCAUGUUAUAUUCUCAUUUUUCACAUCCUAUUUUUGCCUGGAUCGCCCUUUCGGGUUUUCGAUCCACCGGGAAAAUAGAUUCUUUUCUUGCCCCAUUUUUGCCUGAACUGCCCUUUUGGGGUUGUCAAUCCAGCGGGGUGCUCAUUUUUGCCUAAGUCGCCCUUUCGGGUUUUCAACUUAGCGAGCUCAUUUAUUUUCAUGCAUUUUCAUUCUGUUUUUUCAUUCUUGCCAUUGACCACAGACUAUCCUGGGGAAGAGCCUGCUUGUAACACAUAUUGAAAUAGACAUCAACAUAUACUCGCUCAUGCAUGUUUCAUUUGAAUGUACCCUGUUGCUCAGGUUUGCUUUUCAAAAUAGACAAAAAGUUUUCAAUUUUUAAAAUGUUUGUUUCAAGCAUUGUCAUUAUCAAAAUAGAAAGAAAAAUGUUUUGUAUAUAGCUUUGAAAGUAGAAGAAAAAAUAGAGUUUUCAAACAAAAGCAAAGGCUCAAAUUGAUGUAUAAGAGUGGUGGUCAGCCAAAGGCAUGACUCCACGGAUUCACAAAGCUUGGAAAAUGGUAAUUUUAUUGGUUGGUGGUACAUUGAACACAGUAACCACUACAGUUCUUAGAAACUUUGAAUUCACAAGUACAGAAGCUUCUGAUGGAGACGGUCAUUAACAGCUGCAGAUGCCCCAAGGGGAUUGUGAUUUGCCAGAUAUAGUUACUUGCCUUUUGUUUCAAUCUCAUUUUUGCAUGAACCGCCCUUUCGGGUUUUCGGCUCAUCGAGACGCUCAUUCUUGCCUGAGUUGCGUACAAUCUCAGCGAGCUUUUUCAUAUUUGUUUUUUUUGUCCCUUAUUUUUGCCUGGAUCGCCCUUUCGGGUUUUCGAUCCACCGGGAAGCGCAUUUUUGCCUAGGCCGCCCUUUCGGGUUUUCGACCUACCACGCUGUUCUUUUCAUAUAUCUAGGCGAAGUAUUUCUUGACUAUAUCAGCAUUCACAGGAUUUGGAAGUUCAACACCAUCCAUGUGAGUAAGAAUCAAAGCACCACCGGAGAAGGCCUUCUUGACAACAUAAGGACCUUCAUAGUUAGGCGUCCACUUGCCCCUUGGGUCGGGUUGCUGGCUUAUCCUCCUUUUCAAUACAAGUUCACCUUCCUUGAAUUCUCGAGGACGGACUUUCUUGUCAAAAGCAUCUUUCAUUCUUGCUUGAUAUGACUGUCCACGAGCCAUGGCAUCCAUACGUUUUUCCUCAACCAAAUUCAACUGAUCAUACCGGCUUUGGCACCAUUCAGCCUCGGAUAACUUUGCUUCCAUGAUCACACGGAGAGACGGAAUCUCCACUUCCAAAGGAAGAACUGCUUCCAUACCAUAUACAAGAGAGAAAGGGGUUGCCCCGGUUGAACUGCGCACUGUAGUACGGUAGCCAUGCAAAGCAUAGGGCAACAUCUCAUGCCAAUCUUUGUAAGUGGUUACCAUCUUCUGGACAAUCUUCUUGAUAUUCUUAUUGGCUGCCUCAACUGCGCCAUUCAUCUGAGGCCUAUAAGGAGAAGAGUUGUGAUGCUCAAUUUUGAAUUCUUCACAAAGAGCUUGCACUACAUUGUUGUUCAAGUUGGUACCAUUGUCGGUAAUGAUCUUGCUGGGAACACCAUAUCGACAGAUGAUGUUGUUCCUGAUGAACUUGGCUACCACUUGCUUGGUUACAUUGGUAUAAGAUGCAGCUUCGACCCAUUUGGUGAAGUAGUCAAUUGCCACUAAGAUGAAACGAUGACCGUUUGAAGCCUUCGGUUCAAUUCUUCCAAUCAUGUCUAUGCCCCACAUUGAAAACGGCCAUGGGGAUGUCAUAACAUUGAGAGCGUGCGGAGGCACAUGGAUCUUGUCAGCAUAAAUUUGACAUUUGUGGCAUUUUCUGGCGUGCUGGUAGCAAUCAUGCUCCAUGGUCAUCCAGUAGUAACCUGCCCGUAACAACUUUCUUGACAUAGUAUGCCCUGUAGCAUGGGUCCCGAAGGUACCGUCAUGUACAUCAUGCAUUAACUGCUCUGCUUCAUGUUCAUCAACACAUCUUAACAAUACCAUGUCAUAGUUUCUUUUGUACAGAAUAUCUCCAUCCAACAGGAAUCUACUGGCCAAUCUUCUCAGGGUCUUCUUGUCUUGUUUGGAAGCACCUGGCGGAUACUCACGGCUUAGCAAGAACUGUUUGAUGUCGUAAUACCAGGGUUUAUAGUCAACCACAUUUUCACCAGCCUGAUCGAUCACAUCCCCAAUAGCAAACACAUGUGAAGGUCUUUCAAGGCGUUGCACUCUGAUUAUUGGCACAUCAUUCCAAUGGUUCACUCGAAACAUGGAAGAUAGAGUAGCCAGAGCAUCAGCCAUUUGGUUCUCAUCACGAGGGAUAUGGUGCAACUCAACCUUUGUAAAAUAUGUCAGCAAACGUCUCGCAUAAUCACGGUAAGGAAUCAACUUGUCAUGAUGGGUCACCCAUUCACCCUUUAUCUGGUUGAUGACAAGUGCAGAAUCUCCAUAGAUGUCGAGGUGUUUGAUUCUCAUGUCAAUUGCUUCCUCGAUCCCGAAGAUACAUGCUUCGUAUUCAGCCAUAUUGUUUGUACAUUCGAAUAGAAUCCGGGCGGUAAAAGGAAUGUGAUGCCCCUGCGGGGAUACAAUGACUGCUCCGAUUCCUUUACCAUAAGCAUUGACAGCACCAUCAAAGACUAAACCCCACUUGCUAUUGGGAUCUGGACCUUCAUUAAUCAACGGUUCUUCGCAGUCUUUUGAUUUCAAAUACAUGAUCUCUUCAUCGGGGAAAUCGAACUCAAUUGGUUGGUAAUCAUCAAGAGGUUGGUAGGCAAGAUGAUCGGCAAGAAUGCUACCUUUGAUUGCCUUUUGAGUUUUGAACACAAUAUCAUAUUCAGACAAAAGCAUCUGCCAUCGUGCAAUCUUCCCAGUAACAGCAGCUUUCUCAAAGAUAUACUUGAUUGGAUCCAUUCUAGAUAUCAACCAAGUUGUAUGAUUCACCAAAUAAUGACGCAGGCGUUUGGCAGCCCAAGCUAGAGCACAACAAGUCUUCUCAAGCAUUGUAUACCGAGUUUCACGGUCGGUGAACUUCUUGCUUAGAUAGUAGAUGGCAUGUUCUUUCUUUCCAGUCUCAUCUUGUUGACCAAGUACGCAUCCCAUGGAUUCAUCAAAUACUGCCAAGUACAUAAUCAAAGGCCUUCCUUCCACGGGUGGGACAAGGAUAGGUGGUUUCAGCAGGUAAUUCUUGAUGCUAUCAAAAGCUUCUUGGCAUUCAUCAUUCCACACAAUAGGCUGAUUCUUUCUGAGUAGCUUGAAGAUCGGCCCGCAGGUUGCAGUCAUAUGAGAUAUGAAUCGGGAGAUGUAAUUCAAACGUCCGAGGAAACCUCUGACUUGCUUCUCGGUCCGUGGAGCUGGCAUUUCUCGGAUGGCCCGGACUUUAUCAGGAUCGACUUCAAUGCCUUUUUGGCUGACAAUGAAGCCUAAUAACUUUCCGGAUCUGACGCCGAAUGUACAUUUGUUAGGAUUCAAUCGAAGCUUGUACUUUCUCAACCUUUCGAACAUCUUUGUCAAAUAUUCAACAUGCUGCUCCUCAUCUGUUGACUUUACAAUCAUGUCGUCCACAUAUACUUCGACUUCUUUGUGAAUCAUAUCAUGAAACAGAGUAGUCAUUCCCCUUUGAUAGGUAGCACCAGCGUUAAUUAGGCCGAAUGGCAUCACCUUGUAGCAGAAAGUCCCCCAUGGGGUGAUAAAAGAUGUCUUUUCUCUAUCUUCAGGAGACAUUUUGAUCUGAUUGUAACCGGAGAAACCGUCCAUGAAGGAGAACACCUUAGACUGAGCAGUAUUAUCAACAAGCACAUCAAUAUGAGGUAAUGGGAAGCUGUCUUUUGGACUGGCUUUGUUCAAGUCUCUGAAGUCAACACACAUCCGGACUUUACCAUCCUUCUUUGGCACAGGUACAAUAUUGGCAACCCAUUCAGGGUAUUCAACUGUCAUGAGGAAACCCGCAUCAAUCUGUUUUUGAACCUCACUCUUAAUCUUAAGAGCCAUAUCUGGAUGAGUCCUUCUCAAUUUCUGCCUGCCGGGAGGACAUUCAGGCUUUGUGGGGAUCCGAUGCUCCACAAUUUUAGGAUCUAGACCUGGCAUAUCCUCAUACGACCAUGCAAAGAUGUCCGGAUAUUCCCGGAGGAGCUGGAUGAUCUUCUUUUUAACCCCUUCCUCUAGAGCAGCACCGAUCUUGAUUUCUCGCUUGUUUUCCUCGGUACCUAUGUUGAUAAGCUCAAUCUCUUCUUGGUGAGGCUGAAUAGCUUUCUUUUCUUGCUCAAGUAACCGAGUGAUCUCAUAUGGUAUGUCACUUUCUUCAUCUUCAGCUUCGUAUACCGGGAAUUCAAAGUUUGGAAGAGGCAUAGGAUUACUAUGUUCAAUGGGUUUAUUAUGGUUCAACCUGCAUAUAAUGAUUGGAUGAUUUUAGAAAGAGUUUUUUUUCAUGCGGGUUUUUGAAAUUAAUAAGAAAAUACAGAUGUUUUGGUUUUUUCUGGUAUUACCAUUAUUUCCAAGGAAAAAAGCACUUAAAAAAAAAGCAGUCGUGAAAGAAACGACAAUUUUUAUUCAUCAACGGCAAUGCCGAAACAAACGCGCCCUUACAGAAAAUAUCACUUUCGCUUUGGGCAGAGCGAGAGGAUUGUUAUUUUGAAAACAAAGUACUAAAGCAACAAGACGCAUUACUCGGAAACAUGCAUGAUUGAAGGAAUGUCAAUGGCAUCCCAAUCUCUAGCAAUGCCUCCUGGUAUGACAAAAAUGGGCCUGAGACCAGAUCCAGUUGCUUCUUCAGUGAUAGCAUUAACAAACCCAGCACUGUGGAAGACUCCCGAGGAAACCCUUGAUGACGGGGAGAACCCGAGACCUUCUUUACGCUUGUUCUCAUGAAGCUGUAUCACCUUGCCCCAGCCGGCAGUCUGACCUUCUUGAAUAACCCUCUGAGCAUCUUUCAAUGAAGCCAUAGCAGCCCCAGCUUUCUUAGGCUCCGCGCCUUCAAUGGUCAAACCUUGGAAAGCAGUCCCUUCAGCAGACCCUGCUUCAAUACAAGAGAAGGAAGACAGCUGGCUGACUAAAUAUGCUUCUUCACCAUGGACUGUAACGAGUUUUCCAUUCUUCACAAACUUUAACUUCUGAUGCAAGGUGGAGGUUACCGCGCCCGCGUCAUGUAUCCAAGGCCUUCCCAAGAGGCAGCUGUAUGAAGCAUUAAUAUCCAUGACUUGGAACGUGAUUAAGAAGUUCUCAGGGCCAACAGUUAUUGGCAAAUCUAUCUCCCCGAGGACAUUCUUGCGGGACCCAUCAAAUGCUUUCACUAGGAAAGUGCUUCUUCUUAGCGGAGUCUCACGGUAGCUCAACUGGUCCAGCGUUGACUUGGGCAUUACAUUCAAAGACGAUCCUGUGUCCACCAGCACAUUAGACAACAUAUCAGAUUUACAAUUCACCGAAAUAUGCAAAGCCAAAUUGUGGCACUUUCCCACUUCAGGUAACUCGUCUUCACCAAACCACAGAUUGUUACAAGCUGUAAUAUUCCCCACUAUAUCACCAAACCGAUCCUCGGUAACCUCAUGGUCGACAUACGCUUGCUCCAACACCUUCAACAAAGUCUUUCUGUGAGCCUCAGAACUCAGAAGCAAAGAUAGGACAGAUAUCUUCGACGGCGUUUGUAAUAACUGAUCCACGAUCUUAUAAUCGCUCCUUUUGAUUAUCCUCAGGAUCUCGUCCAGGUUGGAGUCCUCUAGAGACUGACUGGACUGUCCCACACCUUGAACAACGGGAGAUACAUCAGUCGGGAUUGACUUAUCAGCAGGUGAUGCAGCAGGUAUCUUUUGCUGGAACAAAGGAGGACGAACUCUUCCACUCCUUAACACCGCUGUGGUCCCUUCAACAUUGUUAUUCAUCACAACUGAGGACGCCAAAGGUGCCUCCUUUCCAUCUUCAACAACGGUAGCAUUAUACUUAUAAGGGACGGCCUUGUCUGAGGUAUAAGGUACCGGCCCAGGCAACCUUAUCACUAGUGGCACCACGUUCUCUCUCAUGGGUGAACUCCUUGCAGGCACAUCAUGGAAUACCGGCACAAUUACACAAACAUCACUAACAGUCAGAUGAUUAUCAUUCAUCAAGCUCUGGAUAUCCUCUUGCACAACGCGGCAACCCAAGGGAUUAAGGGCGCACUCGGAGCAACUGUCAUGAUCAUGUUUAAACAAAGAAGCCUGGCAAAGUUUAACAUGCAGGGGCACCAAAGGAGUCGCAACAUUACGGACAUCUAGUUUGGGCGCUUCUUCAUACGCUUCAAUCAUGUUUACUGCAGCAUGGUCUGGAAGAGGGUUAUCAAGGACAUGAGGAGUACUGUUCUCAAAAGUCAGCUUUCCUUGGUCAAUAAGCCUCUGGACAAUAUACUUUAAAGCAUAACACCUCUCAACGUCGUGACCCAAGGCCCCCUGAUGAAAGUCACACUUGAGAUCAGUACGAAACCUUGGUGGUAAUGGAUCUGGCGGAGGCCUACCCUGCCUAGUCGUACAAUGACCUCUCUGAAGUAAUGUUGGAAGUAAAUCAGCAUACAACAUCGGGAUUGGAGGAAAAGUAGGCCUAGCAAAAUGCUGCUGUUGUUGCUGUUGUUGUUGCUGAACUGGUGGUUGUUGUGGCUUCUGUUGCACAAUAGCAUUCACGGGUACCUGAGGUGGUCCUGAUGGCAAAGGAUAUUGAUGGUAAAACGGUGGGAAGAAUGGAUGCUGAGAAUAUGGUGUACAGGGGUAUGGUGGAGGUAGCUGAGCAACAUUAACAGGGGCGACAGUAGCCGUAGACUGACCUGCUCCCGAGGAUACCAUUCCAACCUCUGUUUCCUUCUUCUUGUGGUGGCCAUUGCCAUACCUCUUCGACCCACUUGUAGAAGACUCACCCUUCUCAAAUACAAUGAUACCCUCUCUGACGGCCUCCUCUAGACGAGUCCCCAUAGUUACCAUUUCAGAAAAGUUGCUAGGGGCAGCAAUAAUCAUCCUUUCAAUGUAGUCUUUCUUCAAGGUUUUCAAGAAAGUUUGGGUCAUCUCCUCUUCUUCUAGAGCGGGAGUAAUACGGGCAGCAGCUCUCCUCCAUCUUUGGGCAUAUUCACGGAAACUUUCGUCCUUCUUCUGAGAGAGGGACCUGAGAGAUUCCCUAUUUGGCUUUAAUCUGGUAUUGAACCCGUAAUGACUCUUGAAGGCAGCAGAUAACUCGUCAAAAGUAUGGAUGUCAUCCUUGCUCAAACCAGUAUACCACUCUGCAGCAUCUUCCAUCAGACUAUCCUGGAAGCAGUGGAUCAUAAGUGAGUCAUUGUCUUUGUAAUUUCCCAUCUUGCGGACAUAUUUGAUGAUAUGAUUUUGAGGACAAGUCAGCCCGUUGUACUUGUCGAACUCCGGGAGCUUGAAUUUCUUCGGAAUGUCUACUUUGGAUACCAAACAUAGGUCGCGAGCUUUGGCGGAGUCACCGCUCCUUUGACUAGCCUUGAUUUCCUGUCUGAGCUCUCUAGCAAGUUGUUCCAUCAUCUCCUCCAUAGUUCCAGUUACUGGAGUAUUCCUGCGGAGUACCUCAGCAUGUGUACCUUGGGAAGUUGUGGCCAUGAUGGGCUCAGCCAUAGUCGAAGUUGCUUGAGUUGAUGUAGUGUUGAUAGAAGUCAUAUUAAUCCCAGGAAUUGGGCCAUUGUUAGCUGUGCCAGAGGUUCCUGCUGUAGUACUUGGAGUGAAGAACGGUGGAAGCCCAUAUGGAAACCCCACUGGCAUAGUAAAGCGAGUGUCUGCAGAAGUGGUUGGGAGCACGCUUGUAGUCACCGGUGCAGUUGUGGCUGUAGGGAUAGCUGUAGCUGAUUGCUCUUGAGCGGCUAGCAGAGCAGUCAUGACAUCAUUAGCUUUAGCCAAUUCCUCCCUUAGAGUGGCUAACUCGGUGCGGAGCUGAGCGUUCUCUUCUUCCAUAGCCCUUUUCUUUCUUCUGUAUUCUCUGGUUCGAUCAAUUCUAUCAGGUUCGUAGACCCUCUGAGUACGAGCCACUUUUCACACUGCGGCAGAGGAACCAGGAGAUAGUGAGCAUUUGGGAGCCUUUGUGACCAAUGCAUGAUGCAUAUGAUGCAUGAUAUGCAAAUGCAAAUGCGAAAGACUUAUUUUUUCAUCGAAGGAUUUUUAAACAAAUUAGAAAUCUUGCAAAUAAUCAAAACUACAUAGUGUUUUCAAAAAGGAAGACUUUGAAAUUUCAACAAGAUAAACAAAUGAAGCCCUCAAGCAUAGGAAGUAGUCGGAGCAUCAUCGGACUCGGAAUCUGAAUCACCGUAUCUGGCAAAGAAGUCUCGUCGUCCUCUAGCUCUCUUGGAAUCCCUCAUAAGCAGCUCGUCUUUCUCUUCCAAUUCUCUCCGGACCUUAGCUAAUUCCUUCUUCAACAUCAGGUUAUCAUGAGUCUUCUGCUCAUCUCUACCAUCCAAAGUCAUGAUUAGAUUCUCAGCUUGAUUGUACCGAGCUUUCCACACUUGCUUCUCACGACUCUCCAUAGCUAGAUGCUCCUGAUACAUAUCCUGAGUCGUGGGGAGUAGAGGUAGAGGCAUAGAUGGAGUAGAUGAAGACACGUAUCUCAUAGCUGGAUAAGGCAUGCCAAUCUCCUCAGCUCGAUCUAUCACCCACUGAGUAUAGGCCUCGUGAGCAAUACCGGAUCUCACACCUAGAUGCUUCACACUCUUCCUUCGAACCUUGGACCAAGCAUCCAUGAAAGCUUUCCUUUGCCCGGUAGGAGCAUUCGUGUAGAAGAAGAACUCUGGAGAUGUAGCAAGACUGAUGGGCUUCGACUUCAUAGGGAAACCAAACUGUCUCAUAGCAAGCUCGGGGUUGUAGUUGAUUCCUCCACGGGUACCAAGAAGAGGUACAUUGAGAAAGUCUCCACAACCCAUAAUGAUUUCCUUCACCUGAGCGGCAGGAGUGAGCCAGACGACCUCAUUAGGAGUGAGAGCCAUAAUUCGCUGCGAGUAGGACCAAUUCUCCGAGUUGUCAUGGAAGGAACUCGGAAGGUGCGAAAUAAACCACCUAUACAAAAGAGAUAUGCAGCAAAGAAUAUACCCACGGCCCUUGAGAGUCCUGUCAUGAAUGGCGUGGUAGGUAUCUGCUAGCAAAGUAGGAACCGGGUUCUUGGAAUGGAAGAUCUCGAUAGCAUUCAUGUCCACGAAAUUGUCGAGGUUCGGAAAGAGAAUGAGCCCGUAGAUAAGCAAAGCAAGAAUAGCCUCGAGUGUAUCCUGACGAGUAGUGCUGAGAUUAGCCUGAUCAAGAAGAUACUUUGAAGUGAACCCCCGGAUGUGGGACUUGGUAAUAAGAUGGUUAGAGACGUCGGAAGUCUUGAGGUAGAGAUCUUUUGCAAUAACCAGAGGAGUAAGAGAAGUCCCGGGACCGGUGAAAGGCGUCUUCUCGGCUAUAGGUAAACCCACUAGAUUGGAAUAAGCCUCGAGCGUAGGAACCAACUGGAAGUCCGGGAAAGUGAAGCAACGGAAGCUCGGAUCAUAAAAUUGCACUAGAGUGUGCACUAGCUUCUCUUCCACAUCGGUUCGGAGCAAAGUAAGCAAUCCCCCAUACCGGAGUCGGAACCCUGUUUGACUCUUGACCUUAAGUGCCAACUCUCUCAAACUAACCAAAUCCACUUCCUUGAACUUGUAGCACUUAGUCUUCUUCAUACCUGUGAUUAUUUACAAAAAUUUCCAUUUGUUUAAGCCCUUCGAUGAAUGCAUGAAAAAUGUUUAUGCAUGAAUGCAUGUAUGCAUGAUAUUUUUUUCCUUUUCAAUUACGGAGAAAACAUGGAGGGUUGAGAUUAAAGUCGAGGAGCAAUGGGCGGACACGAUGCCCGGUAAACUAAAGUUUAGGAUAAUAGUAACCAAGGUUCCUAAUGAAGUUCCCAAACUGCAACCUCUCUUACGUAUAUCAUGGUGGCACGGGACAACAUCCGUUCCAUGCUUAUUCGUAAGAAGGUCUAGUUUGAGUGUAGUAUCGCGUGACGACUAAAGCUUGAGACAACACUCAAUUUAGCCACCGCACUACAUCUAAAAAAAAGGCCAAGGAUGGGCUUGGUAACUACGGUCCAUAGCAUCGUCGAACAAUUGAAAGCAAAAUGCCUAAGCAUGACAACACACGCCGACAAUAUUACUUUCAAAAUGCCUCAGCUAUGUGAGAUUGAUCGCAUAAUCCAAUACACGAGGCAACCCCCGGAUCGAAUUGUCGAUUAUAUCUCUACCUAAACAUAAGUUCACUCAGCCCGGGUAUAGGACUUUUGAUAUUCUCACCCCACACGUCAAAGGAAAAUAAACAAGUAUUCACAUAUGUAAGCAAUAAAACAAAGCGUAAAUAUAAACUAUGGAAAACUAGGCGUGACCCGAAUUAAUAUCCCCAGUGAAGUCGCCAUUUCUGUUAUCAUGGUUUUUGGGUGCCAAGCCAUUAAUUGGACUUGAACCUUUUGACCGUUGAUAUCUCUCUUUUUUCUUGGGAAGGGUAAAAGGAGAAAAACCCUUGAGUUUCCGAAUUCGGGGGUCGUUUUCGCUACGGGAAGGUGUUAGGCACCCGGAGCGAUUAUGGUAUUCCAUAAGAACCGCUUUCCUAAGUUUAUUUCUAUGCUUUAGUUUUAUUGCUUAUUUGUAAAAAAAGAAGGUGUGAUUAGUUAAGAACGGGGGUGAGAAGGAGUAGAAUUUGAUUUUUAUUUCGGCUUGGAUGAGUUUUGACUCAUUGCCUACGUACCGUUUUACGGGAUCAAAACCGAUCGUAGUUCGUUCUCAAAAAUGGUUUUUGUUUUUGUUGAUUGAUUUUAAGUUUGAAAAGAGAUUUUGAAGAAUAGAGAUGAGAGGCCUCAAGGGCGUAAGAUUUGGAAAAUGUGAGGUGGAAUUAGUUACUUUGCAAAAUGACGUCUAAGUAUGAUUAAAAUUUAUUAGAAAUUUUACUUAAGAAAAUAAAAGGGAAAUAAGGAGUUUUGACUCCUAUUUUAUUUUCAAAAAGGUUUUCAAGUGAGGUUAUUUGCAUGUUUUGGAAAAAGUUGGAUUUUCUCUAAGUGUUCAAAACUAAACGUUCAUCUAAUCAUGCAAUCCUAGCCAUACAUCUAUGCAUACAAUCCUAAGCAUACAUCUAGGGUGAGUGUGUGCGUGUCGGUGUGUCAUAGUGUCCAUAGUCCAUAUUACAAAAAUUCCCUAAAUACAUUCUAUGGCCCCUUUGCCAAGCUACAAACCAAUGGUAAAAUAUUACAUCACCGAAUGAAUUACAAUUUGCAAAAAAAGAAAACUAAACUAAAGGAGACAAUAGUGAAGAUGGUGAAGUGCUAUGAAGUGAUCAAUAUGAAAGGAAAUGUUAGUAGAAAAUGGUAAAAAAAGAAAGAAUGUGGCAUGAAGCGAUGGAAGAAAGUAUGGCAUAAAACAGUAAAGUGACGAUGAAAAUAAGCCGGAAACAUGUAACGAAUAAUGCACAUGAUGCAAGAACAAAACUCAACACAUCAGAACAGUGGCGUAUGCAUAGCAAACAGUAGCAAAAUUCAUAUGGAAUAGUAUGCAAAUCAAACAUGACGAACACGAUCAUCAUGCACAUGAAGUAACGGGUAAAAAUGCGAGAAAAGUGACUAAAAAAAUAGUAAAAACCCUUGACAAAACAACACUAAAAUUUUUACCAACUUUUCCAAGCAAAAUACCACUGAAAAUUACCAAGAAAAAUAGUAAAAUGACAUGGUAAAUUUCUUGGAAUUUAUUGAUAAAAAUUAACAUGAAUAAAGGGUGCAAACAGCAGGCAAGUAUGGUGCAAAUAGCAAAAAAUAAACAAAAACGUGAAAAGAAAUCUAAGCCCAACCCAAAGCCCAAUGCAGACUGGACCUGGAUCAUCCAAAGGCCUCAGAGGCGUUAGAUUGAUCCAGACCUAGAUCUGACGGUUCAAAAUAAGCAGCGCAUGGUAACACAGAUCAAGCACAUGGAAACAACGCAUCAUAACCAUUCAAAUGAAAAAACCCUAGAUCCUACGGUUCAAGAUGAAAACAAAAUAAACCGGACCGGUUCAAACGUCUAUAUAAGGACGUGGACACCGGUCCAGUCCAUUUCUUUCAUCUCUUUCUCUCUCUAAGCUUCCCUCUCCUCUCGCCUCUCUCCAGAACCUCACCGCCGGUGAGGAUGAAGCUACGGCGGAGACCUUGAAGGUCCGCCGGAAACUUCAUCUUCUCCGGCGAGACUAUGAACUUCCGGUGACCUAAAAAUUCCAGAACUUAAAGAUUUUUGCAUAUUUCGAUUCGUCCUUUAACCCUAAACACGAAUCCAGCAAUUAUUUUUUCAAAUACGGCCUGAAACGACGUAGAUCUAAAACUUUUCAUACGGUUUUGAAAAUGAUUUUGAUCUUUUUGAAAUAAAACGUUUAGAUCUUUAAAGAUCUACAUCGUUUCGUUGUUUGAUUCCGUUUCUGGUACUCGUUCUUGCUUUCAAAAUUUAGAUCCUUAUGGAUCUAGAUUUCGUGCUUACGGUUACGGUUUUCUCUUUGAAUUCUGGAAAUUUUUAGAUCUGUUUCUCGCGUGAUUUUGCAGGUUUAAAUUAUGAUUAUUUUCUGAGAAAAGAUUCUGAGUUUUACCUAAGGUUUUGGUUGAAACCUUUAAUGGAGGAAAUCUUUGGGAGAACUUGAAUCUGUUGUUUUCUGAUGAUUCUUGAUUCUUCCGCUUGCUUCACCGGUCCAGAUUCUGCAGAUUCUGCUUCUUUCCUUCUUCUUUCUCUUCACUGCUUCCUCGUGAUCAGUGCUUGAGCUCGUCGCGUUUCAGUGAUGAACUCGCACUUUGAAUUGCGAGGAAAUUGGUUCUGUGAUGAUGAUUCCGUAUUGAAUCUCUGAGAAUCAAUGAGUAAUCAAAGAAACUUUGUUGAAUUCUGUUGAAUUUGGUGUUUUUGUGUUGAUUCGGUGGAAAUCAAUGGUGGAUUGAGGUGGUUAUGGUUUCUGCCAUUGAUGAAUCUUUGAAGCUUUUUUUGUUGAUUCUGUUUUGGUGAGUUGGCACUUGGUGAAUGAAAAACGUCUGAAAUUCAUUGCCACUGUGUUGCUUUUAUAGCUGACAAGUGUACUGUCUGGCCAAUGGAAAACUGACACAUGUCCUGGACUUGUGAUUUGGGCGCUGCCUUGUAAUUUAGGACUUUGAGGACCUCCCUGCAAUUUUGUAAAAUAUGGAACUGGACUGCAAUUUUAAACAGAACUAAAAAGUAUAAAAAUUGGACAAUUUGGACUUAAAUGCAAUUUUAACAAAAUUAAGGGACUAAUAAUGCAAAAAUAAAAAUAAAAUGAAUUAAAAUUUGUAAUUUUGACCAAACGUAAAGCGAAACAAAAAUAAAAUUGACAAAACGGACUAAAACGAACCAAUGGCCUAAAUGAGGUACUUCAAAGUAACCUCUCUAUGCUAAAAUUUUAUGUGAAAUGACCAAAAUGCCCCUAGGGCUAAAAAUGACCUAAACAGACUCAAAUUGACUUGACACUGACUCAGAUGCAAGUUUGAAAUGAUUUUAGCAAGGUUUACUGAUGAAAUGUAAAAAAGAAUCAAUUUGAAAAGACUCAGAGACAGUCACAAGGAUGAAAAUGGGUCCCACUGCGGGAAAUGACCAAAAUACCCUUCUGUACAAUUUUUGCAAAUUUUGAAAUAAACUGUAGAAAAAGCAGUGUAAUGAUUCAGAGACACUUUUGAAUGACUUACAAGACAAGUAAAGACAUUCCGAAAGGUUUUAUGCAAGAAAAACAUAGGUAAAAUUGUGAUUGAAAAUACUGCGAGGCAGAGACAAUUUGAACUGUGCAGUUGAAAUUUGAUAAUUGACAAAGUUUGAAAUGAAAUUGGGCCCAGUAUUUUUAGGUCCAAAAACAGGGUAUAACAAUUAUUAUAUCCAGUUUUAUAUGUGUAUUUUUAAAUUAUAUUUUGUAUGUUUAAUUAUUAUAUCAACCUUUAUAUGUGUUUUUUUUUUAAUUAUUUUUCUUUAUGUUUAAUUAUUUUCUUUAAAUGUGUGUUUGUUUUAAUUAUUAUAUACACUGUUAUAUGUUUAUUUUUUUAAUUCUAUUUUUUAUGUUUAAUUGUUUUGUUUAUAUGUGUUUUUGUUUAAACCAUAUUUAUUUUUCUAUUAUUUCAGGUUCGUAAGACCCGCGUGCUUAAACCGAUUAAUCAUGGGGCCAAGAUUCUCACUCUCGGACGCCCUAACGCGAAUGAGAAUUGGUUUUGGGAUGCGCUUCAGCAGAGCGGGCUACAUGAUUUGGUUUACUUGGGGUACUCCACCGUGCCUCAUGCCCUGCUGCUGACUUUAUGCGAGAGGUGGCAUCCGGAGACCAGCACCUUCCACAUGCCGAUGGGGGAGAUGACUGUGACAUUGGAUGAUGUCGCAUGUCUGACGCAUCUUCCUAUUGAGGGGCGGAUGUUGGCUCAUGGGAAGAAGAUGCCCAGGCAUGAGGGAGCGGCACUGCUGAUGACGUAUCUGGGUGUGUCCCAGAAUGAGGCUGAGAAGAUCUGCAACCAGGAGUACGGCGGGUACAUUAGCUACCCGAGGCUGAGGGACUUCUAUACCUCGUACCUUGGUAGGGCCAACGUAUUGGCGGGUACGGAGGAUCCUGAGGAGCUUGAGGAGCUGGCGAGAGUCAGGACAUACUGCGUCCGGUGUUACCUUCUGUACUUGGUCGGAUGCUUGUUGUUUGGCGAUAGAAGCAACAAGCGCAUCGAGCUGAUAUAUUUGACGACCAUGGCGGACGGCUACGCAGGGAUGCGUAAUUAUUUCUAGGGAGCUAUGACCCUCGCCUACCUAUACGGCGAGUUGGCGGAUGCAUGUAGGCCUGGACACAGAGCGCUUGGGGGGAGCGUGACACUGCUCACUGUAAGAAAACUUAAAUUUUUUAUUUACGUUAACUUUAUUUUUUUGUUAACUUUUAUUUUUUUGUUAUAUUUUUCCGUGCGUAAUAAUUUAUAAAUGUUAUUUGUUUGCUUUGUGCAGGCAUGGUUUUUGGCGCAUUUUCCAGGGUUUUUUAGUGUUGAUCUCAACACUGACUACCUGGAAAACUAUCCGGUUGCAGCGAGGUGGAAGCACCAGAAGGGUCAUGGGGAGGGAAUCACGUAUCGGUCACUGCUCGAUCGUAUACAGUUAGAUGAUGUAUGCUGGAGGCCGUACGAGAAGCACAGAGAGAUCCAGGACUUCGAGGAGGUUUUCUGGUAUUCUGGAUGGAUUAUGUGCGGCGUCCGUAGGGUGUACCGUCACUUGCCCGAGAGGGUUUUGAGGCAGUACGGAUACGUGCAGACCAUCCCCAGACAUCCGACUGAUGUUAGGGACCUCCCACCGCCUUCCAUUGUGCAGAUGUUCGUCGACUUCGGCACUCACACGCUUAAGGCGGACGCUCGGGGUGAGCAGGCAGGAGAGGAUACAUGGCGGGUGGCGGAUGGCUAUGUCCUGUGGUACGCUAGGGUGUCUCACCCUCAGAUCUUGCCACCUAUUCCAAGAGAUCUUCCGAGGCCUGCAAAUGAAGAGCAGAUCAUUGCAGAGCAGUGGCAGCGGUAUGAGGCGAGAAGUUCGCCUGACACCUAUGACAUGGUCAGUGGCGUUGUUGCCUACGCUGAUGCGCAGUUAGGCCAGGAGGAGGUCAUGAGCAUGACCCCUCAGCAGUGGUUUGAGGCCAUGACCCAUAUGAGGGAGCAGAUCGCGCCGAUUUUGACCAGGAGGAGAGCCCAGAGGCCGAGGAGGAGGCACCAUCAGCAGGAUCAGGACCAGUAGUACUAUUUUCCUUUUUUAUGACUUAUUUUUUGGUUUUAGUCUUUUAGGGAUAUUUGUAUAUUUGUAUAUUUCUACUUUGAUGACAUUAUUUUUAAUUUCAUGGGCUUUUUUUACUUUGUUUAAUGUGCAAAUAUAGGUUGCUUUAAUGUGCAAAUAUAGGUUGCUUUAAGAACAUAAAACAUAAAAAUAAGUUGACAGUAGGAAAAAUAGGGAUGAGAAACAAUGAUUUUGUUUCAAAUAGUAGAACUUAAGAGAAAAAUAUAAAUUAAAUAGAUCUAAUUUAUAAUACAUUUAAAAAUAGUAGAACUUAAGACAAUGGCUGGAAAUGGUAUCUAAAAAUGAUAGGUGCUGCACAAAGGACAACUCUUUCCAUAGUUUCAGAUCAAGAAUUGGCGAAGAUGUGAGAGAACUUGAGAAUAUAAUAUAAGUGUCCCGUUCAUUUGCUCGCAAUUCGUGAAAGAAGAAUUGACGAAGAUUUGAGAGAACUUGAGAAUUUUGUGAAGUUUUGGAUGUUCAGUUUUCCUCGGCAGUUAACUACCGAGGUUUUCUUCGACAGUUUUCUUCGGCAGUUAACUGUCGAGGAUCUUCUACACUACAAAAUCUGGCAGAAUCUCCUCUCAUCCAUUAUUGAUCUUAUCUUCCAAAUAAUUUCUUCAAAUGUCUCUCAAAUUCUCUCUAAAAAACACAACCAAAUCCAACAAACUUUAUUCAACAAAAUCACAAGUAAGUAAUUAUAAUGCUAUUAACUUACAUUUUAGUUGUUAUAAAUGUUAUUAUUUUUUAGUUUUUGAGUACAUUUAUUAUUUUUUAGUAGAUUUACAUGUUAUAAUUAAAUUUUAGGGUAUAUGUUAGUUGAUUAAUGUUGUUAAAAUAUUUGCAUGAUGUUUAUGUUAUAUGAUUAAUUUUUUUAUUUUAGUAAGAGUAUAUGAUUUAUAAUUUUAGGGUUAUUUUUAUGAAUUUUAGAGUGUAUAUAUAAUGUGUUUUUGAUUGAUUGUUUUUAGUUUCUUAUUGUGUAGAUUUAAAACAAUGGUCGGGUGGAUCGACGUUCAUGCGCAAUUUAACGGCGGAGAACCUCAAAGGUUGAAGGUUCGGUGCCUUGGUGUAACGUUAAGAGGUCUCAAGGAUAAACUCACUGAAUUCAACCAAGGAGUCAACCCCAGAGACACAAGGAUGGUGGAACACAUUUGGUAUAAACGUCCAACGCUCGACGAGGGGAGAGUAUCAUUCAGUUGGGUGGAAUUAACGAACGACGAAAACGUGACGACCAUGUUUUGGAAGCACAGCAUGUUCCAGUGGAUCGAUAUGCGGGUGAAGUUGCUUAGAUCAACUGAAGAUAUCAUCAAAAGUUUGAUUCCGCCACAAGAUCGUCAUUAGUUAGGGUAAGGUGCAUUCCAACUACAACAUUUGUCUUCCUUUGAAUGAGGUAAUUCAAACUUGUCAAACAACAGGACUCAAGCAUUUCGCAAGCACCUCAUGUUUCUCCUUUGAAAAUAUUAAAUUUUUGUUAUGCUGGUUUAGAUGAAGGUAUUAAGUGUCAAGGAUUGAACCUCAAUUCGGUGGCACUUGAAUACCAUCAUCUAAAGCAAGCCUCACAAAAAUUUAUUAUUUUCAAAGGGAAAACAUGAGGUGUUUGGCGAAAUGUUUGAGUCCUGUUGUUUUGCAGGUUUGAAUUAUCUCAUUCAAAGGUAACACAAUUGUUGUGGUUGGAAUGCACAUUCCAACUGCAACAAUUGUCUUACUCUGGAUGGGGCAAUUCAAACUUGUUAGGCAGGACUCUAGUAUUCGAUGAGCAUCUUGAAUAAUGGUAUUCAAGUGUCAAGAAAUGCACCUCAUUCUUUUCACACUUGAAUACCAUCGUUCAAGAUGCUAAUCGAACACUGGAGUCCUGCUGCUUAGCAAGUUUGAAUUUGCCCCAUUCAGUGGUAAGAUGAUUGUUGCAGCUGGAAGGAAAAUUUCGGAAUCUAAUGUGUAAGGCAAUGUAAUGUGAUAACAUAUAUUUUGUUUUGAAUGGAACAAUAAUUAUCUUAUUUUUUUUUCAAAUUUAUUUAUUCCAAAUGCAAUUUUAUUCUAAGUACCAUAAUGAAACAAAAUGUGCGCGACACAAAAAUAAAACAUAAAAAAAUCCAAAACAAUUAGGCAUUAAAAGCCAUUACAUUCAUUCUUCCUCGUCACACAAAUCAAUUGGCUUGUCCGCUACAGUCCCUGCGGUACCUUGUUUUGGUUGAGGACCGAAAUAGCAUGUCCUCCCGCUCCUCCUCAACCUCGAGUGAUUGUACACCGGCACCUUCGAACCCUUCUUUUUUUCGGAACCAUCGCAAACAAUUACAUGCCACGUCAUAGGUGACUUUUCUUUUUUCGUCUCAUCAUCGUGAACGUUACCUUGAUUCUGAUUCUGAGACAUAUCUACAUUAAAAAAAAAUAUGGCGAUCAAUUCAACCUACACUAACCUAAACUAUCCUAACAUAUCAUAAAAUCAACAAAUCAAUAUAAUCAAACCUAUAUAAUCGAAAUUUAACAAAAAAUAACAUACAAUUCGACCACAAAGCAACAAUGCAAUAGGAUUCAAAAAACUUACUUGUUUUUGUGAUUAAAAUUGGCUUCUAAUGGCUUCAAAUGACUCAAAAUCGCACCUUCAAAAAUUAAAAACGCAACAAUGGAGUUUCGGAAACUCCUAUGAAGUUCUGUUCUUAUAACAUUCUCCUCAGCAGUUAACUACCGAGGUUUUCCUCGACACUGAACUGCCGCCGGUGUCCUAAAAACUUCGGCAGUUAACUGCCGCCGGUUCCUAAAAACCUCGGUAGCAAACUGCCGAGGGGCAUUUUGGUAUUUUACUAGUGUGGCACAGCCAAACAACAUGUGGGAACAGCAAUUCUCUUAUUUUAUCUUAUUUUUGUUUUAUUUAUUCUUAGUCCCUUUAUUUUAUUUUUAAUGUCCAAAAAUAAAUCAAAAUUUUGUCCGAUAAUAUCUAAACACACAGCUCAUUCACACAGCUCAAAACAGGCUGUCAUGUUCCUCUCCAAGCAACAAAAUUCUGCUUUAUAAAUACAACACACAAACCAGCCAAGAGAAAGAGGAGGGCCCAACGACAAUAACAACUUAAAAAACCUGCUACAACACAAAUCAACCCACAACCACGUAAUAACAAAAUCAAACUCAGCAACAAUCACCAAACCCUCUCAAACCCUAACCCCACAGUCACAAAAGCUAGUUUCAAACCAUCGACACAAUCACCAAACAUAAUCAAACCGAAUCAAACCUUUUCUUCAACAUACCCAAACCAACAAGUCGUACAAAAACAAACAGAUCCGAUAAAAAAAACACACAAGAAAAGGUAGUUCUUUUCAAACGUUUCAGAUCCAGGUUGUUAUAGACUUCAUUUCGAAUUUUUAAGGCUAAUAACGUAUAGAGGAGAGGGAGUAGAAGAGAAAGAACAAAAAAAAAAAAAAAGGAGUACAUCAUCACUCCGGCGCGGCGGCGCGGCCAUCUUGGCCGGCCGGCCACCGCGCCAGCCACCGGAGAAGAAGGUGGCGACGGAGAAGAAUUCUAGAGAGAAGGCAGAGCCUCUCUCUCUAGAAAUAAGAGAAGAGAGAGAAGUUUGAAAUUAAAAUGAUUAAAAAAACCGGAGCUGUGUAUUUAUAAAAGGGAUUGGAGCGGUUCAACCCCUGAACCGGUCUAUUCCAGGCCCACACGCGCCCGGCCUCACCCAAGGCCCAAAUCCUCUUCAUUUUAUUUUCUGCACCCUCCUUUACUGCUCACACACACCCCAGCAUCUCAUUUUUCUAAUUUCUAUUUCAUGCAUUUUAAUUCUCUCUCUAUCUGUUAAUCCAGAGUACUCUGGUCCUAUAUUAACUAUUAAUAUUAUAUUUUUGUUUAAUUUAAUUAUUCUCCAGAACAAUCUGGUCCUUGUUAAUUAAAUUAAUCCAGAGUGCUCUUGUCCUAUAUUAACUAUUAAUAUUAUAUUUUUUUUAAUUUAAUUAUUCUCCAGAACAAUCUGGUCCCUGUUAAUUAAAUUAAUCCAGAGUGCUCUGGUCCUAUAUUAACUGUUAAUAUUAUAUUUUGUUUAAUUUAAUUAUUCUCCAGAACAAUCUGGUCCCUGUUAAUUAAAUUAAUCCAGAGUGCUCUGGUCCUCAAUUAACUGUCAAUAUUAUAUUUUGUUAUUCUCCAGAAUAAUCUGGUCCUUGUUAAUUAAUUUAAUCCAGAGUGCUCUAGUCCUAAAUUAUUUGUUAAUAUUAUAUUUUUGUUUAAUUUAAUCAUUCUCCAGAGUGCUCUGGUCCCCUGCUUUUAUUUUCAUAACUUCGUUAGUUUAAUUUUUAUUUACUAUUCCAAAACAACAAAAACAUUCAAAUAUAAAAAAAUUCAUAAAAAGAACUUUUCAAAAUAAACCUUGAUCUUAAAUCAAGUGACCGUCUUUUUAUUUUAUUUUUCUUAAUCAAAUUUCAAAUCAAUUCUAAUUCAACUUCAAGUCAAUUUCUUUCAAUCUAAAAAACACAAAUCAAUUCUCAUUUGCCACUUGGCUUUUUAUUUCAAACCUUUUUCAAAAACUAAUAAAAAACACAAAAUCAAUCAAACGUCAAUUUCUACCCCGAACUACGAGGUUUUGAUCCCUCACGGGUACGUAGGCAGAGGACACUUGUCCUUCCCAAAUCAACUAAAAAACAAUUUUCUUUUUUCUCUUCAAUUGAAAUUAAUUUCUUUUUUUUCUUUUCAACUCAUCAUUCAAUUCUAUUUUUAUCUCUUCAAAAGCAAGCAAGUUUAAGCACAAAAAGUUAAAUAAAAUCAAGAGGUUCUCGUAGAGUACUACGAAUAUUUAGGGUGCUAACUGUUGUACCCUGAUUUUGGACCUAAAAAUACUUGUUCAAAUUUAUUUUCUACCACUAACAUUUGUUAAUUCGCUGUUAUUUUACUCCGAACAUUUACUCUUUUUUCAUCUGCAUAUCUUACUGUCUCCAUCUCGGAGUAUUUUCAAUCAUAAUUUUGUCUUUGAUUUUCUCGCAUAAAACUAUCCAAAGUGUCUGUCUUGCAUUUUUAUUUCAAAGCAUCUGCAAAAAUCAUACAAAAGGGUAUUUUGGUCAUUUCCUGCAGUGGAACCCAUUUUAAUCCCUGUAAUUGUCUCUGAGUCUUUUCAACUUGUUUUGCAAAUCAUUGUUAAAUCUCUUUUUAAAAUCAUCUCAAAAUUACAUUUGAGUCAGUUUGGGUCAGUUUAGUCCCUAGGGGCAUUUUGGUCUUUUCCUGUCAAAAUUUCGACAGGGAGGUAUUUUAAAAUACCUCAUGUCGGUAAUUUGUUCGUUUUAGUCCGUUUGUUGAUUUUAUUUUUCGUUUCACUUUACCUUUUUACCAAUUACCAAUUUUAAUUCAUUUUAUUUUUUUAUUUACAUUUCGGUCGCCCAAAAGAGUCCCAAAAUUGCAUUUUUGUCCAAUACUUUUUUUAAUUGCAUUUUUUUAGUCUUUUUUUUAUUGCAGAUUAGUCCUCAUAUUAACUUUUUUGCAGAUUAGUCCAUAAGUCCAAAACGGUCCAGAUGUCAUUUUUUCAUUGGUUCUCAGAUACACAUGGCAGGCUAUAAAUAGUAAAUGUGUCAGAUCCAUCACAAUCAGUCAGAAAAAUCAGAAUCAAUCACAAUCACUCUCAAACAGAAUCUUUUUCUCUCUCUCAUCCAUAACAUAAUCUUUUUCUCUCUCUCAUCCAUAACAGAAUCAAAACAGAAAAAAAAAACUCAGAAAAAGAGGAAGAACACCAAGAACACCUCAUCACCAAAAUCAACAGAUCUAAAUCGGAUCUGCUCAAAAUCAGCUCCAACCACCACAAAAUCAACAAAUCCGAACCGGAUUCACUCAAAACCACCGCGAAUCACCACAUCAACACCAAAACGUACCGGAUUUUCGAGCAAAAACAACACCAACGGAGGGUAUAGCGCGCGCGAAAGAGAAGAGGAGGAUUCGAAGUUUUUCCGAAGAUUUUUCUCCGUUUCACGACAGAGGUAACGCAUUUCUCUCCUCUUUUUUCUCCGUUUUCGCGCGCAUAUGUAGUGUAAAAAAGGUGUGAAAAAGUUUGUUACGGAUAUGUAUUUGUAGAUCUAGGCGUGUACGUUCGGAUUUUGAAAACUUUGAGGCCGAAUUCGGACACUAGAGAGAAAAGGAUAUCUAGAUCCGUAGUUUUUUUUUAAAAAAAGUGUGAAAAAUUUUCAAAGAAAAAAUGUAGAUCUAGUCCGAAUCGCUCCGUUCUCGCUAAAACUAACGCCGGAUUUGUGUAGAGGAGGUGGUCACGGAACUUUUGAUGUAAAAAUUUUUAAAAAAAAAAAAGAAGUUCGAAUUUUCCGGCGCGGUGGCGCCGCUGCCGGAAACCGGCCGGCCGCCGUGCCGGAAUCACCACCACCACCCACCUUCGCCGGCGGGAUUUUUAGAGAGAAGGGAGAGCUUCUCUCUCUAAGUGUGACUUAGAGAGAGAAGAAGAAGAGGUUUGUGUGUUUUUUGUGGGAAAUUCCUUUUUAUACUCCCUCCGUUCCCACGCGCGCGCGUGCAUGCUUCUGUGGUGUUCCCUCGCUCUGUGAACCAUCAGAUCUGGAUUGUUCCAAGAUCUGAUGGCUGCUGUGUGUUUGAUUUUGAAUCCUGUGUGUGAUUUUUUGUGUGGAAUAUGGUAUAUCUUCUGUUUGAACCGUUAGAUCUUUGAUCUAACGGUCACUGUGCUUCCUGCAUUUUUACACUAUCUUUUGUGCUUUUUUUUGGACCCUUGGAUCUUUGAUCCAGUGGCUGUGAUGUGAUCUUGGGAGUUAGAUCUGGACCUCUGGAUUCAUCCCGCGGUCCAGAUUAAAUCCUGCUGAGCCUCUUUUUAAUUGCUUUUUAAUUGUGUUUUAAAUACUUUUUUUACACUUUCUUGGUGUUUUAUGCUUCUAAAAAAAUUUCUAAAAAUAUUUCCCUAUCAUUUUAAUUUUUCCUCUAAGUAUUAGAAUUUAUUUGCUUAUUUUUGCAUUUAUUUUCUUUACUUUGUUCUUUUAAUUUUUGCUCAUUAAAUUCCAUAUAUGUUCUUGAUGCAUUUUUUCAUAUUGUCAUAUUUUUGCAUGUGAAAUAAUGUGUGAAAAUAUCUCUAGGAAUAUGAUAUAAUGCUUGGCUUGAGUGUACUCUUAUGAUCCUCACAUUGUAGUUUAAAUUCAAACCUUUCAAAAAUGGCUAUAAUGAGGGAAUUAUAGGUCAUAUGCAUGUAUGAGUGUUAUACCUAAAUUCUAGGUGUAUUUUUACUACUUUGUUUCAUUGCAUUAUUUUCUUUCUCUUGUGCUAUUCAAUUCUAUAUUGCUUGCAUUUUUUUUUUUAUUAUCAUUUUGUACUUGUGUUACUAACUCUUAUGCUUCAUAUCUCACUCAUUCCAUAAGCACCUAAUCUUUGUACCCUCAUUGCUCCUAGUUUAGGUUUUUCUUUUUGUAUUCAUUUCUAUGCCAAUUGGUUUGUAAUAAAUUUAGUUAGUUUAGUUUAGUUUACAUUCUUGCAAGACCAUAGCAUGUAUCUAGGACUCAAUGUAAAGGACUAUGGACACUAUAAGUGAUGUACACCGACACGAGCACCGACACAUGCACACACCCCACAUGGAUGUUCUAGAUGCAUGAUUAGGGAAUGUAUGCUUAGAUGUAUGCUUAGGUUUUACAACGCUUAGACAAAAAAAAUCAUUUUUCAAAAAUAUGAAUAACCUCAAUUGAAAACUUUUUUUUCUAAAAUAGGAGUCAAAACUCCUCAUUUCCCUUUUGUUUUCUUAAGAAAAAAAUCCCAAUGAAUUUUAAUCAUACUUAGACUUUAUUUUGCAAAAUAACUACUUCCACCUCACAUUUUCCAAAUCUCAUGCCCUUGAGGCCUCUCAUCUCCAUUCUUCAAAAUUCCUUCUUUCAAACUUAAAAUCAACCAACAAAAACAAAAACAAUUUUCGAGAACGAACUACGUUUGGUUUUGAUCCCUUAAAAGGGUACGUAGGCAAUGAGUUAAAACUCCUCCAAGCCAAGUAAAAUAAAAUCCCAAUCAUCUUCGCUUCCCCCAUUCUUCACUCAAAUAAAAUUUCUCUUUUAAAUAAGUAGGCAAUAAAAAUAAAGCGUAGAAAUAAACUUAGGAGAACGGUUCUUAUGGAAUACCAUAAUCGUUCCGGGUGCCUCACACCUUCCCGUAGCGAAAGCGACCCCCGAACUUAGAAUCUAAGGGUUUUUUCUCAAUUUUGCCCUUCCCAAGAAAAAAUAGAGAAUAUCAAAGAUUGAAAGGUUCAAGCCUAAUUAAUGACUUGACACCCGAAAAUCGCGAUAACACUAACACCUUCCCUAAAUAUAACCAACCCCCGAACCCUAAAUCUCUUCAAAAUGGGUUGUUUGUAACUUUUUCCCCUUAAAAAAAUUUGUUCAGUCGUGAGAUAAAAAGCGAGUCAAACGCCAGUCAAAUGGCCUUGACCUCCGAAAAAUGGCGCGACAAAUACAAUACAACAUAACUGUUGAGUUUUGUCUUCAAAUUUGUGGUCUGGAAGAACAGGGAAAUCGUGACACGAUUGUGGCAUCGUGACACGAUUUCGGGGUGCCGUGAGCUAGGUUGCAGGGUGCAAAAUCGUGGCACGAUUGUGAGAAAUCGUGACACGAUCGUGAAACUUGCUCGUUAAGUAUCCUUGAUAUUGACUGGUCGUUUCUUGGGUGGUACGCAGAUCGUGACACGAUUGCAAUAGAGGAAGACUAGUAUAAAGUGUUCUUGUGCAGAUUUGAAGAGAGAGUUGGAAGAGAGAGAGACUUGGGAAAUCAAAGGGAGAAACUCUAGGGUUUAGGGUUCUUUGAUUAGAGUAUCUCUUGGGUUGAAAACAUGGGAAACACCAUGUAGAGAGAAUCAUUGAGUGUCUUGGUGAGAUUGGGAAAAGGGUAGAAAUUAGGGUUUGUUCAUUGUGAACUUGUCAAGCUAAUUUCUUGUAACCUUUUGUAUCCCUUUUGUAAGAACUCUUUGAUAGUGGAUUGGAGAGUACAAACUCUCCUCCAGAGUAGAUCAAGUUUGGACCGAACUGGGUGAACAAUCUCUUGGUGCUUUUGUUUUCUUCUUCCCUCUCCUUUUAUCUUGUGUAUUGAGUUUCUCACUUGUUUCCUAGAUUAGAUCUAGGUGGUGUUUUGUUGAUUAUUGCUUGCACACACACUUUGUUCGGUGGUUACCACUCUCCUUUGCUCCACACAUCAUUCUUGUAUUGGUGUGGUUCGAUCUAGGUGAUCGGAAUUCACAACAAUAACAGAUCAAAUACGACCUGCACAAAUUGGCAUCUAAACAAUGCCAUCACCGGGGGGAAAACACGAAUCAAGGAUCAAGUAGUAAAUUUUGGGGUAAAUUAGACCUAGUGUAUUAAAGAGCAAAACUAGAGCAUCUUAAUGUUUAAAAAAUUUAUGGCAUUUUGCAAUUGAAUUGACUAUAUGUUAUACAUACUUACAUUGCCGGUACAAAGUUCUGCCAAGAUGCAUCCAAGGGACCAGAUAUCAAUCUUCUUGUCAUAUGAAAGCCCGAGAAUAACCUCAGGAGCACGAUAGGACCUCGACUGAACAUAUGAGCAAAGGUGAUCUGUCUCAAAACAACUACUUCCAAGAUCAAUGACCUUCACCUCACAUCGGUCGUAGCUUUUAACCAAAAUAUUCUCCGGCUUCAAGUCGCAAUGUGUUAGUCCAAGGUUAUGUAAGUACUGAAGUGCUUCCAAACAUUGAAUGGUAAUUGAUUGCAAUAACAAAUCAAGACAAGUUUCUAAUGAGACAGUAGUAGAAUCUAUCUAUACCUAUAUAUGAAGUGAAUACCAAUGUUUUCUGUAGUUUUUUUCUUUCAAUAUUUUUCGAUUAAAAUAACAAAUCUUCUUGCCUGUUAGAGGAAAUUUUGUUGACUAUCUGUAAUUAUGACACUAUGUCAUUACUAGUUUAGUAGACAUUUUCAUGUAAUUUUUAGGGUAAUUUAUCAAAAUUGUAGAAGCUGAAAGCACAAAAAAAAAAUGAUGAAUUCCGAUUUCCAGCAAGUUCCAAUUCGGGCCCCGAAUCCAAUCAUUCGGGCCCGAAUUCCAGCCACCAGAAGAGCAAUUUGGUGCGUGAAAAUUAUUGCUUGAAUUAGAAGUGCAAAUUACCAUAGGAGAACUUCGGAGGAUUCGAAGGUCUUAACCAUACUUCGCUCUAAUUUUCUUAAAACCAACUUUUAUUGUUUCAUCUACGUUUAUGUUAUAAAAACCAAUCCAACUGCCUAGGGCGACCAAAAAUUUAAUGCAUCCUUUCGAGAAAGAAAUUGCUGAGUAGGAAUUAACAACGGUCCUCGUGGAUUCGAUCUUAUUUAUUACUUCGAUAGUUUUAGUUCACUUGCCAAAUCUCUAUCAUGUAACUAAAAAUUUAAAGGAUUCAAGCUAGUUUGUGUUUUCUACUGUGCUGCUAUAGCUAGACCAUGGUUUUAGUUUUAGCGGCCAAACAAUAUGUUGUGGACCUUAAUAGAAAUAAUAAAAAACCUUAUUCUAAUUGUGAAUAACAGGAACAGAUUAUGAAUAAAGCAAAUUUACUGCCUAACAUAUAGAAUCAGAUAAUGGUAAUUACUGAUUACAGUAAAAGCCCUGGGGAUCUAUAAUUGACUGAAGUUCUGAUGAGAUAACAUAUAGAAAAGAUUGGAAGCCAACAUAAUAUUGCUUCCUAAGUAAAGAUCGUACCUCUAACCAUUUUUCCUAUAUUCUUUUCUCUCUCUGUCCCGUAUCUUCCACUUCUCUGUUUCCAUCCUUCCUUUCCUUUUCGGUUUUUUUUUUCUUCUUUUCCUCGCAUCAUCAAUUUUCAACCCCAAUUCAAACAUCACAAGAAUGAUAAUACAUCUAGGUAAAACUAUCGCAUAAAACAAAUGAUUUUGGGUAGCAUUUUGAGUUAGAGUUUGUGCUCUAAGAAAGGAGAAGAAUACCCAUACAUGGAAGGUGUGCUCUUUGGUGAUCCUUGAGAUUCGAUGGAAAUUGCUUUGGUGUUCAUUCCGGGAGGCAUUGCUAGGAAUGAAAUUGAUUAGCCAUAGUUGUGAGUUGAUGACGAUCCUUAUUUUAAUUAUCGUUAUUAUUGAUAUUUUGGUAAUUUUAUAAGUUAAAGUAUUUACCAAAAUGGGAAGCACACCCUUUGUUGUUGAAAUUUAUGUUUAAGGUCAUGAAUAUUGAUAUGGUCUCUAUUUGAACUUGUCUAUGAUUUAUAGAGCAAAGGUUUUAUAAUUGAGAUAUGGUUGCAUUUACUACUGACAUAAGUUUUGAGAUGUUGACAAAAAAAUGGUUUUUGAGAAAUAUGUUUUUGUUUUGAAAAUUAUUAUGAUACUAUUAUACACUCCAUUUGGAUUGGGUGUUGGAUUUACCUAUGAUUUAUGGUUUAUAAAGUAGUGAAUUUAAGAAUUGAAAUUUGAUUUCAUGUAUAUUGGCACUAGUUUUCAUACGUUGUAAAGCAUAGUUUGAAAUAUGUGUUUUUGAAAGGAUUUGAUAUAUAUGUACGCGAUUUGAAUUUGGAUUUACUUAUGAUGAUAACUAGUAGGUUUUCGAUUGAGUUCUGAUGAAAGUAUUUUGAUAUAAGUUUCGUUAUUUUGCGAAAUAUGGUUUUAGACAUGUGCUUUAAGAUUGGGGUUUUGAAAAUUACGGUUAUAAUUAAUGACGACGACCUAGGUGCACCUAGUAUGUGAUUUCGGUUAGGUAGAGUUACUCCAUUAGACGGAGCCGCCCCUAUGGAAAGGCCAGUACCAUUAGGAGGAGAGGGCUAUCAAUGAGAUGUAAACUCCCUAAUUGAAAAUGUUUUACAAUUUAUUUUGAGUCGGGAGAAAAGAGCUAUCUAUUAGAUGGAGCUACGACUAAGAGAAAGACCACUCAUAGGAAAUUUCCAUCAACGAUAUGGAGCUAGUUCUCGAUUCAUCCAUUUUGAUUAUUUUCACUAAAGUUGGAUUUUUAUACUUUCUCUGAAGUUGAUUAUUUUGGAUUCAUUUCAUUAAAUCCGAUUGUUAUAGUCUAUUUGGAUUUGAUUAUUUGGAUUCCUUUUCAUUAUACAUGAUUUCUAUAUUUCCUUUAAAGUUGUUGAUUUGGAUUCACCUCUUACGAAAUUGAUAUUUUGAUAUAGUAUUAUUUGAUUUGAUAAAUUUACAAAAUUUUCUGAAUUUUCAUGGUAUACUCUUGAUUGUGAAUUUAUUAUAUUUUUAAAACGAUUACAAGCUUUGUAAAUUAAAAUCAGAUUUGAGAAAAUAAAAUAAUUGUGCUCUCGUGUGUUUCCUUUCUAGUUGGUGGUGGUUGUUGUCUCUCACUAAGUCCUUGUGACUUACUAUUUUAUUUUCUAUUUUUAUUCCAGAUUCCCAAGCAACUAAGUAGGAAGCUGCUAGUAGAUUCGAAGUUCAGUGGUGUCACUUUUUUGGUGGGCUACCUUGAUGAAUGUCUCCAUUGUUUAUGUACAUGUUGAGUCAAAGUAUCUGCAGCUAUUUGAAGUUUAGAAAUGUCUCAUUUUGAGUUGUGCAAAUAUGUAAAAAUGUCACUUUGAAAUUCUGGUUGAUGAUAAUAGUUUAUGAACAGGAUUUAGAUCUUCGUAAUGUUGAAAAUAUAGGGGUUGCUCUGUCGAAAUUUCAGUAAACAUGAUUUUGAAUCGAAAGUUAGCUUGAAAAUUGUUUAUUAAUUCUUUGGUCAUCAGGCUUGCCGAACUAUAAGCUAUUAGUUCGUAUGCCGGUCACGGUUAUAUUUUUUUUUGGUCCUGACAAAAACCUUCACCCGUUAUUAAAAAAGUCAAAUUCCCCAAAGAAACUGUAAAGUUACAUUGCAACAAACAUACAUUUGGAAUUAAUAAUCAAAUACUCUAUUUAGAAAUAGUAGUUCAAAUCAUCGAACAUAGAUUGUGAUCUGUCAGUAUCGCAAUAUGUACAAACUCUUGUAUUCGUAAAAGCAAAUUAAUCGCAAUAUGAACACUCUGUUAAUAUGCACUAGGACUUGUGUUGUUGCUGCUAAACAAGUUCUGUCUCAAAAACUGAUUUGGCAGAAAAGUGUUUUUACACAUGAAUAACUUAUUAAUCACAAAAGUUAUACAGUGUUGUUGCUGCUACGCAAGUUCUGUCUCAGAAACUUCCAAGUUCUGAUCUUCAUCUUCUUUUCUCUUUCUAUAAGGAUAGGUGAAUAUCACAUCCUCUUCUGUGCUUCUUUUCUUGAACAUGUGGAUUCCAAUUUGUGUACUAAGAUUGAAAUCUUAAAACCUCUCAAACUGAGCUGCAAAGAAUGUCAUUAUUCAUUAGUCACUGCCCUUUGGAACAACCAAUGGAUUUUGUGGUGCGAGCAAUGUCUAGACAUAUCACAUGACAAUGCAAAUAGCCAGAUGACCAUAGAUGGUUUCCUGACAAUGUGUUGUUUCCUGACAAUGUAAAGUCAAUGAACAAGUAAAUGCUUAGUUUUGGUUAGAGAAAAGUUGCGUAUAUUACCGGCAACAGGCUGAAAUCGUUGGGAAAGGAUUCUCUAUGUUCAAUUAAUGAGAGAAAAUGUUGUUUAAACAUGGGGAUAGGGAGAUUAAGGGUAGAUAUUAGAAACAUCACUUUACUCAUGUUUAUUUCAACAUGAGAGGAUCCACUCUUGAAAUUUUCAUACACACCACUAUGCAGAAAACAACCAUUCUACCAUGUUACAAUUUUAAAAUGGAAACGUUCAGGCAAAACGAGAAAAUAAAAUGAAAUUCAUAUGAAUAAAGUAAAUAUUAAUUCAUGAGAUACAUUAAAGAGAAAUGGGGAAAAAGCAUAAUCCACUCAUUACAACAGUAACUUUAAUGCUUGGAAGCAUAAAACCAAAAUUUUGAGUUAUGAAACGAAAUUCUCCACUUCCAUUUGCCAGAUCAAAACAAAUAGUAAUCCCUGCUAUUACUCAUAGAUGUUUCUACUGCAGCAGCAGAUAAGAUCAAUAUUGAUUACUCAUGUUUGCUAAAGAGCUAGUGAAAUUUUUAUCAAUUAUCAGUAAUGUUUCAAUUGCAAUUACGUUAAGUUUCAUUCUUAAAAGUUAGAAUUGGAUGUACUACUCAAAUUAUCUAUACGUUUAGAGGUCAGGCUGAAAGCAUAUGACAUUACUCCAUAUCAAUAAUAGUAAUCCCUGUUAUUAGUGACUAAACAAGUCCAAUUUGAAUCAUAAUUAAUGAGAUCAAACAAGUUUAUCAAACAUAAAUACUUUUUUCUUUUUUACCCAAAUGAAAUGUAUAUACCUUACUGUUAAGAGUCCCACAUCGGUUAGGAGUUGGCCUGACAAUUUGUUUAUAAGUGGGGGAAAUCCUCACCUCACAAGUCGGUUUUGUGGGAUUGUGUUAGGCCCAACCACGAUUUCUAAUAUGGUAUCAGAGCCUCUUCACGAUUGUUUGGGCCACCUGUUAUCAGGCCACCCGUCAUUUAUGUUCAUGUAACAGUCCGAUUUUUAGCUAGUUUUAUUUAAUUACUCUUAUUGUUUGAUUGUAUGUGAUUAGUAUUUAAUUGUCAUUGGGUGCAUUUAAAUGGAUUACCGUAUUAGAAGGGUAUUUUGGUCAUUUGACGGGUAAGGGUAAAAUGGUAAUUUUGGUGAGAAUUAUUUUAUUAAUUGGUGAGGACCCUUAUUUUACUAAGUUACUAGUGGAGUGAUUAGUUUUUACCGUUAGUAACCGUUGGUUAUAUUUUAUCGUCGUUAGUAAUUACCGUCGAGUGUAUAGAAACUUUUGAAUUGUGUUAGAAUGGGUUAGGCCCAUUAGCAUUUUGAGUUAAGCCCAUUAAGGGGGAUAACACUAGGGUUGUCUUAGAAUUGUAUUCAUUUUCACAAAACAAUUUUCAUAGAGAGAAGGAGAGGUAGAGAGAGAAGAGGUGAAGAGAAGAGCAAGAGGGUUGAAGGGAAGCUUUAGGAAUCAAGUGGGUGACCUAGGAGCUGAAUUGAAGCAAGGGUUAGAGAUAAUCAACUUCAAAGGUGAGGGGGUUAGUGAUUAUCAUAAUCAUGUGUAAUUUUGCAUUUUCUCAUGUUGUAUGAAAAUGGAUUGAUGAACAAAUCAUGCUAAAUUCGUGCUCUUGCUGUGAUGUUAUGCUUGUAUGCAUGAAUUGAUGUUAGUUGUAUAAUUGUUGGUGAAAUUACAUGUUCAUAUAUGCAAAAAUGAUAAGUUAUGAAGAUUGUGCUAAAUUGGUGAAUUUCUCCUAAGUUGUUGUUAAUUUGAGUUGUGAUUCUUGUUCCAAUGAUGUUAUGAAUGUUAUUUGAUAUUAUGAUUGAUGAAUAAUUGCUUGGGUAUGCAUAUUCAUGGAUUAAUGAUGAGAAUUUGAAUUGUGUCGGUGUUUUGGUGAAAAUGAAGAGUUAGCUCAAAUGUCAAGUGUUUUCAAGUUUGAUUGUGUCUUUGUAAGUCUUUUUAGUCAUAUUGACCUAUAAACAUGUUCUUGAAACACAUUUGGGCAUUGAGGGAUCAAAAUUUGGGUUUUGGGGUGAAAAAUGGUUCAAACCCGUGAAAAAUUAUGCAGAAAUGAUGACUGUUCACUUAAGCGAACUGGAAGCGAGUUGUAAGCGAACAGCUACUGUAAGCAGGUCGCUUAAGCGAAGAAUCGUUCGUUUAAGCGAAAUGCCUUUUGACAGCAUUUCUGAUUUCGCGUUCUUGUGUCUUUUUCACACGUUUCUGUUUUGAAUUGGACUUUGGUGUAAACAUGAAAGUUGUAGAUAAUUUUGUUAGCUUUCUAAUGGCAUUGGUUUGACGUCCAAAUGAUUUUUAGAACUUGAGAUAUGAUUAAAUUACUACACAUGGGUCAUGUGGAUUUUUGUGAAAACUUAUCAUAACUUUCUCUAUGAGCCGUGGAACUUUUCCAAACUUGAUAUUGUGUUUAAUGAAGUACUUAGAGUGAAUAAUUUAGUAUGCAUUUAUGUAUUUGGGAAUGUGAAUGUGUUGAUGGUUUAAGAAAUAUUUCGGGCGGAGUUGAAUCGGUGAAAAUGGGUUUUGAGCUAAAUGUUGUUUUGUCUUGGUUUUUCUCAUACGAACUUGAGCUACCCUUUGAACUAAUUUCUAAUAGUUUGUAAGUGGCUUAAGUCCUUGACUACAUGAUUGAUUAAGAUUGAAUUGUAGGAUUUCAAACUUAAAUAAGUUGUCUAGCUUUAAAAAUUGUCAAUGUUGGCCGUUUGCCACAUGUUUUGGAUUUUUGUUGGAAAUGUUUCUUAAGCAAAUUGUCUUGUGAGUUAUUGAGAUUAUUCUUGUAUGACUAAGUGAAGUUGUAUGAAUGAAUGAUUGUAUUGAAUAUGAUGUUUAUCAUGAGAUGUGUAUGCUAUCUUACUUAGAAUGUAAGGAAUGCUUGAAUGGUGAAACUAUAUGUGAUAGUUGAUGUUGGAUAUGAUAUUUGUCAUGAGAUGUUGUAUGUUCUCUUACUUGGGAUAUGAGAAUUGUUUGGAAUGGUGAAACUAUAUGAUAUAGUUGAUGUUGAAUGACAUUGUUGAUUAUUGAUAAUCAUGUUGAUGUGUGAUGGUGAAUACUAUGAUUUAUUUGUGUGGGCAUGUUUUCUUGAUAAUGCAAUGUUGUGGAAAUAAUCAAUAUAAUUGGGUGUUGUCCUAUAUAUUGAGGUUGAGAUUGUGAAUUGUUGUCGCAUUAUCGAGUCCUUACACAUGUCCAUGCAUCAUAGUCGUUGUUGCUGUAAAAGGGAGGACUCUUUUACUUCGAGAUUAUUGUAAGGCAGAGGUGAGCCUUACAUGCGAUGUUGACUUGUCCAUCGGAGGUGACGACCUUGUUGAGAUUUGGUACCACAUGCAUUUAUGUGUCCAUAAGUGCAUAUCAUAGCAUGAGUCUUAUGUGAAAUAUGUGAUUGGUGAUGAAAUGAGAUGAAUGAAUGUUGAUAAUGAUUGUUCAAUGAUUGGUGUUGUGAAUGAAUAUUUAUGAUUGGGUAAUUAUUCAUGUGAUUGAUGUAUGUUGAUAUGAGAUAUCGAGUUGUGAUGUAAGUAUUUAUGUAUGACUAAUACUAUUCAAGUACAUGAUAUUAUUUGAUUUGAUUAUUAUUUGGUUAUGAUAAUGUAAUGCUUACCCCCAGUGGUUUUAACCGCCUACUUGCCUGUAUGGGUGAGUAGACGUUGUGCAGGAGUAGUGCUCGGUGAGUCUUUGCGUGGGAUAUCGGGAGCUUUCUCCGAUAUCGGGUCGUGUCGGCUCUGAUCUAGGCUUGUCGUGUCGGUCUAGAUUAGGUUGUUUAUAUUUCCUUUGGAUUAUUGUUUUGUUGGUGACUGCCCGUAUGUUUGGGUUUUGAGAUUUAUCUUAGGGAUAUAAGUUAUUUGUUCAUGGCAUGUAUAUAUUUAAUCACUCUGAUUUAUAUUCCGCUGCAGCUAUUGAGGUUUAUAUACAUGUCUGUCGGUUUUUGAAUUUUGAAUAAGAUGUAAUCUCUAUUUCUUGAAUAAAUGUAUUAUUCGCAUGUUUAAUUGCUUAAAUAGAGAUAGGAGUGUUACAGUUCACGCUUCAGAUGUGUAAUCCUGAGCGUGAGGGGGGUGUUAAGAGUCCCACAUCGGUUAGGAGUUGGCCUGACAAUUUGUUUAUAAGUGGGGGAAAUCCUCACCUCACAAGCCGGUUUUGUGGGGUUGUGUUAGGCCCAACCACAAUUUCUAAUACUUACUAAGAGUAAAGCCACUUUAUUUCAUCAACUAAAUGUAGAGAAAUAUUCAAAAACUUCUUCAUUAACCACUAAUGCUGUGUUUAGGCUAUUAACUAUUUCAGUCAAAAGCUCCAUUCAAAAUCCCCCCAUACCAAAAUAAAUAAAUAGAAGGGGAGAACAAGCUUAAGUUUUCUUAAUAUUUACAACAACAUCAAAUGUCAACUUUUCUAAGCUUAAAGUGGCUAAAAUUAACUAUAAGUCAGUCUACUUAUUGAACUUUAUGCAGUUGCAAACUCUGAGAACCUUCAUUUCAACAUUUUUAACCAUUAGAGAAGGGAGAAAAUAAAAUUAAAAAUUGGUAAGAUUUAUGUGUAAAAAUGUUUUCAUUUAUAAUUUAUAAAGCUUCCAUCAAUGAAGCGGGAAAAAAUAUCCUCCCUAUGAAGCACCGAAACAGACACGGAUACCGGACUCGACACUUACAUUGAUUUGUCAACACCAAUAGUAAUUUAAGAAAAUCAGAUGUGUCAGUAUUGGAUACGAACACCAAACAUGCUUAGCAUCAGAAGUGUUUGUGCAACAAAGCAUCCUCCACAGUAUCUUACAUAAUGUCUCAUCAUUUGAUAAACUAUUCAAGGUAGAAAUAAUUAAUUGAUUUAUAAAGAUAAUAAUGAUAAUGAUGUACCUGGACCAAGGAAUCUAUCUAGCCAUGGUGUUCCUAUUCUUGUUUCAUUAAGAACCAAGUUCUGCAUGACUGACACUAAAGCUAGAUGUUGUUGCUGCAAAAUUUCUGUCUCCGAAACUCCCACUUCCACUAACCUUCUUUGCUUUUUCAGCAGUGGGUGAAAUUGUAAUAACAAAGCAUUGAGAUAUUUUUCUAAUUUUAUCUUUCUAAUAUAAGGAUCAGUGAAUACCACAUCCUCCUCAUCCAUGUUGCUUUUCUUCUUCAACACGUGGAUUCCCAUUUGUGAACUCCUUAAUUUUUUAAUCACUUCCUCAGGUGGACUACAAAUACUCGUCAACUUAAGCUCCACAUGGAUCCAUUCAUUUUUCAAAAGUUCUUUGUCCAUUUCAGACACAAGAUUUGCACAUUUAAUCUGUUCUUUCAAUUUCAUAUCAAACAAAAAUGCAUGUGCCGAGUCGAAAACCGAUAGAAAGUGAGAACCACAGAAUAAAUAUGUAGGAAAACCACAUCGAUAUCCAUUGACAAACAAAUUGAUAUCUGGAACUAUAGUAGUAUAUCCCAAAAAAAGAAAAAUGGAAGUAACAGAAGGGAUCUUUUUACGAAACCAGAAAGAAAUUGUAUCUCCCCCUGAUUUGGUGCUCGUACCAAUCUGGAAUCCCCUCUUUUACGUUUGAGAAACGAAUAUCGGUGCAUCCAGCAUCAUUUAGGUUCUGUUUGUUUAGAAUAAGAUAUAUUACAUUGUCCAAUAUGAAAUAUUAUAUAUCAAUAUCAAAUAAUAUAUACUGCAACACAAAACAACAACAAACCUGACUAAAUAACAUUCUUCUAGUUGAGAAACUCAGUGAUACGCAUCGCAUUGCAUCCAAGUAAUUUAGAUUUGGUGGAAUCAAGGGGAUUAUAUGGUUUGUGCUGAGAAGUAUCCGUUUUGCAUAAAAUUUAUAAAAAAUAUUAUCAUCACACAUUACUAACUCACAGCAUAAAUAAAAUACUAAGCAAAACAUAAUUGUUUGGAGUGGAUGGAGGAGGAGGUGGAGAUAUAUUUUCUUGAGUAAAUAAAUUACUAAGAAAUCAAAGGUUCAAUGAAACUAAUUUACGAUUUAUGCAACAUCACAUUAAUCACCAAUUUAAAAUAUCAAAGAGUACAGCAAUAAAAUUUUAAUCAAACAUAUCUAAUGCGAGAGUAAAAGGGAUCAGCGUGAGAAUUGAAGUAGUAAUUCCUUGACAGUUUUACCAUCAGAAUAAGCCCAAGCUUCUUCUCCAUCAGAUUAAUUAGUUUUUAAUGUUUUUAAAAAAAAAAUGUUGAGUCCAUUAUAUUCAUGUGUUUGAGUCUCCAUGUCACCGACGGCAGUAAAUAAAUAUUAACAUAAACUAAUGGAUGAAAAUGACUAACCUGACACAACUUGAUGAAAUUAAAAGACCAUUUUUGCGGUAGGGGAUCAAUAAUAUGAACCCCAAAAUUAAGAUAAAUGAUCAAAAAGGUAUUUACGCCUAAUUAAUAGGUACAUUCAAACUACUCACUAACAAAGUCCAUUUGAUGUGAAUGUGGCACUGCACCCUAUUUGAUUUUUUUGGUUAUACUGAAUAAUUUAGCUUAUUACUGGUCAUUUUUGUCUUUGAAAAUGGAUCUGCAAGUAUAUCAGAAAACAAAUAACUACUUCAUUUCAUAUUUUUCAGUUUAAGAUGAUCAGAUUAGUCUUUUGAUUUGAGGUCAAAAUUCUUUUAAUUGACUUCAAAAACACACUUUAAAAUAAAAACAUCCUAGUCUUUGAGUUAACCAACCAAAUAUGAAAUCUUGUUAUCAUACUGAUGAAUUCUGGAUAUCACAUGUUUCUGCAUGACUAAAUUUUCAAUAAUAGCUUUUCUCUUAAGUUUUGUUUGGCAUAUACUAGUGGUGAAAUAUCCUUUUCACUUGCCGUUACUAUAUCAACAAAAAACUUAUUGCAAGGAAUUCUUUUUCAUAUUUAUCAAACCAUCAAGUGUCCAGCAUAUAUAUAACAUCUCACUGUUAAAAAAUUCAUUAUAAUUUACUUAUAUACAUAUCCAAAACUCAGCUCAGGCACGAGUUUCUUCUUUAUGUUAUAGCAUUUAAUCCUUUCUUCCAAUCUCAGAUGUCAUAUCAAAAAGAUAUGUUUGAUUCGAUGGAAUCUAGACUACUUUUACAUAGCCAUUGACAGACAAAUUGACUACUUUUUCAGUUAUACAAGGGAUUUCUUUACAACACCACAAAGAGUGUGUCUUAUGAUUUGGUGCUCGAACCAAUCUGGAAUCCCCUCUUAAUGCUUGUAUUGAUAUCAACAACUAAAUACUUAUUUAAUAUUGUUUCAACAUCAUUAAUAUAUUCAGAAAAUCAACAAUCAUUGAACAACAAAAGUUAAGUUAGCAACAUCGAAGUUUCUGAUAUUUGCUUUUUCAGUACACAUGCUUCUGAACAUACAAUAAUGAAAGAAUCAAAUUCAAACAAUAUCUGUAGCACAAACAUCCUCCUUAAAAACUUACAUCAUGUCUCACCAUAUAAAAACCAGAGUGCAUUGAGUAUUAUACCAAUAACAUUGAUUAGGAUUUUGGAGAACAAAAGCACGACUCUUGCAAAAGGAUCUCAUAAAUGUCGGUUAUCAGAUUUAACUCUUUACCACACAUAACUUCUUGCAUAUCCAAAAGCUCUUUUCCAGUAAGGACAGAGUUUAGUUUGAGAAACCCAUCACUUCAUAGUCAUUUCAACCUGGUAUGCAUAUUUACAUGACAUAAAUAUAGAAACUAAACAGAAGACACAUUUCAUUAUAAAAACAUUAGUAUAGAACAUCUCUUCCCAUUCAAUUAUAUAUGUUCAAUUUCUAGUUCUACCAAAUAUCUGUCAGAACACAAAAUAGCAAUUGUUUUGCCAAAGUUUUGAGGAGACAGAACAUUUUGCGAACUUUAGAGAAAAUAAUCUAAACACAUGUCCUCACCAGGGGAAGGUAUGGAUAGAACGAAUGAAAUUACGUAGAGCUGCAGAAGGAUCAUGUGAAAUGUUCAAUUCACACCCAAUGUGGCAACACAAAAUUCCAACUGAUCUGCAAAGCGUAUGAUUACCCAAUUCCCUUUCAAGCAACACCUCUAGACAUCUCGUAUGACAAUGCACAAAGAAAGGCAACUACAAAUUGUUUCCUGACAAAUGUAAAAAUAUAGGGUUAAUAGUGUUUUUCACCCCUGUAAUAUAUGUCAUUUCCGGUUUUCGCCCCUAUAAAAUUUUCGGUUUGAUUUGCAUCCUCGUAAAAAUUUUAUUUUCCGGAAAACACCCUUAAUAGGCCAUUCAAAAACCAAAAAUUCUUGAAAGAAAAUUCUGAAAAUGGCCUAUUAGGGGUGUUUUCCCGGAAAAUAAAAUUUUUAUGAGGGUGCAAAUCAAACCGAAAAUUUUAUAGGGGCGAAAACCGGAAAUGCCAUAUAUUACAGGGGUGAAAAACACUAUUAACCCAAAAAUAUAUUACUUUGGUAUAAUUAUCAAUUUCUUUUUCAGAUUAUGAUUAAAAGCAUUUAUUCUUUCAAAGUAUAAGGAUCUUACUUGUAACAACAUUCAUCUAGGAUUCGAAGCAAUUUAUUAGAUAUUGUGAGAAAGUGGCCAACCUCCACCACACCUUUUAAAAGUUCUGGACUGAAGGGAUAUAUCUGCAUUUAAAUAGAUGUUAUAAGUAACACAAUACACAGUUACACUUCAACAGAGCUUUGAGCUCAUUGUAAACUUCGAGUGUGCUUAUAAGCUACUGGAAUUUUGAUCAAUUAUGUAUCAUGUUUCAAUUGCAAUAACGCUAAAUUUCAUCAUAAAAAUAAAAAAUGCAUGCAUAUACUACAUAAAUUAUCCAUACGUUUAUUGGUCAGACUUAAAGCAUAUGCCAUUAGUUAGGAGAGAUUAAAGUUCCGAUUUGAAACAUAAUUAAAGAGAUCGAUAUGUUAGUAAUAGGAGUCCUGAUGGCAGAAGUUAUAUUAAAUUAUUAACUGCUACAUCUGCAAUAACUGCUAUCUUUAGUACUUCUAUGUAACUGCUAUAAGGAGUUAGUAUUAUAAAUAUGGAUGCNNAGGGAAAAGAAGGGCAUUGGGUUAUUUGGAUAAAGGAUUGAUAGGAAUAUAUCAAGCUCGCGAGUUCUUGACGGGGAUAGAACGAACAUUCUCGAAUUUCUUGGGAUUCUAUUGUAAUGAUUAUAUUAAUUAAUAUUUUGAUAACAGUGUAUAUCACAAUACAAGUUUAUGAAAUGUUUAUAGUUACUAAUCAUCAACUAAAUGUAGAGCAAUAUUCAAAAAGUCUGAAUCUUUAUAAUAACUCAUGAAGACUUCAACACCUAAUGUCAACUUUAUAACCUUAAAGUGGCUUAAAUUUACCUUAAGACGGUCUACUUGUUGAUCUUUAAGCAGUCGCAAACUCGGAGAACUUUCAUGUCGACAUUGUAACCAUCAGAACAUGGAGAGAAAAAAUACUUGGUAAGCAGGAAAAAAAUCCUCCAUUGAUGUAGGAGAACAAACACGAACACCGAACUCGACACUAACACUGAUUCGUCAACAUUGAUAGUAAUUUAAGAAAAUAAUAUAUUUCAAUGUAAUCACAUGUGUCGGCAUGAGACACGUGUCAGACACAUAAUCUUACAUCAUGUCUCAUGAUUUAAGCAACUUCUCCAUCUAUAAACAAUGAAUUUGUAAUUGACUAUAUACAGAAAUUAAUCAAUAUUUAUAAUAAUGAUAAUGAUUUCAACUGUAAACAGUAAAGCACAAACCUGCAAAGUUGAGAUUGAGAGGAUAACAACAAGACGGUUAACUUUAUGGCGCACCUGGAUCAAGGAAUGUACCCCACAUAUUUCUUUCAUCUUGUCCACUGUUUAAUAUUUCUUUCUCCUCUUCUUUCAUUAUAUCUUCUCUCUAUAAUAUAAGGAUCGGUGAAUAUCACAUCCCCCUCCCAUGACACGUGGAUUCCCAUUUGUGCACUAACAUGAUCAUCCUUCUCCGUGAUCCAAUUAAGCUCUACAUGGUUCCAUUCAUUAUUUUUAAAUGCUUCGUACAGUUCAGGCUUAUUUCCAAAACUCUCGUCAAUAUGGUCAUCCAAAUUCAUAUCAAACAAAAAUGCAUGUUCCGACGGCAGAACUGUCCCCUUAUAAUCGAAAAGAUAGCCAGAACCAAUAAGUUCAUUGCCAUUGACAAACAAAUUGAAUUUUUUAAUCGCCGCAAAUUCCGGAAUAAGAAUAAUACAAGUUAUAGAAGGGAUCUUUUUACAUAACCAGAAAGAAAUUGAGUUGUGUCCCCUGACUUGAUGCUCGAACCAAUCUGGAAUCCCCUCUGUUCCGGUUGGCAAAACAAUAUUGUUGCAACCAGCAUCGUGCAGUCGCUGUUAGAUUAGCAUAAGAUACAGUAUUUCAGUGUGGAUAAUAUAUGAAAUACUAAAUAUCAAAUACCAGUGCAAGAUAAAAUAAAAACAAACCUGACUCAAUAACAUUCUUCUACUUGAGGAACUCAAUGAUUUACAUCCUUCUGCAUAAAGAUUUGUUAGAUUGGGUGGAAUCCCUCUAAUUUCCUCAAGAGACUCACAGUAAUCCAAAUAAAGAUGCUCAAGAUAGUGACAUUCACUAAGGCACUUGGGAAGAAUUUUGAAAUUUUUGUCCAUUAUUACUAACUUUUGAAGUUCAUUGAGAUUUUUAAAUGAAAAUGGCAUUUCUUCUAUGGAAGUAUCACAUAACCAAAUCUCUUUUAUAUUUGACAUCUUGCAUAAUAAUUCUGGAAAACUCUUGAGACUCCUACAAAAAUGGAGUUCCAAUUUCUUAAGAGACGGCAGACAUAAGGGUGGAAAACUCUUGAGCUUCCUGCACAUGGUCGCAUCUAAGAUUUCAAGUUUAUAAAGGUACCCAACUGAAUUGUGAAUUGUAGUUAAAUUUUUACAAUUUUGAAAUGAGAGCCUUAUUAAUUCUGGAAGACCUGAAACAUCAGGUAUAUGAGUUAAAUAGUCACUACAGUCAAAGGUCAAGAUUCUCAGGUUCAUGAGCUUCUUCUGCAUAAACACCAUAAAGAAACAAACAAAUAAAAAUCAGACACUAUAUAUUGAAUUUAUAAAUAUACACAAUUGGAAAAUACAAUUAUUUUACUUGCCUUGAAUGAAAAACAAAAUGAUAGAGGCUCCGAAGUAAAUCCUUUCCAUUUCAAUACUAUCAAACUUUUUGGAAGAUACUUGAGACCUUUAGAAAAAUAGCCCUUUUCAAUGAUAAGUGUUUUGAGUUUUUUCAUCUUCUUAAAGGCCUUUUCAUUGAUGUUGAUGGGUUCCAUUGAGGAACAAUUCAGAUAUAUCAUUUCAAUUUUACUAGUUCCCUUUUAACAAAAAAUAAAACAAAAAUUAAUCAACCAUAAUACAAAUAACAUAUAGAGCUUGAACAUGUACAUGUAAUUAAGUGUAAAAAGAUUUAGUAUGAGAUGGUCAUAUAUAAGUCCAAAAAGAGGAAAGUCAUGGUAAGCUAAAAUAACAAAUUGUUCAUAGAUAUCAAUCUUACUGUGUUUUGUUUUAAAACAUGAGCUAUAUCAUCAUGACGCCACAACCUAGUGCGCUCUCCAGGCUCUUUAAUUGAUUCUUGUCGGACUAUUUCUAUACCCAUAUACUCUAUCAAGUCAUGUAAUGUAACAAUAUAAGAAGUGUAGUAUGGAUCUGGAGCACUAAUCUUUAUGAGAGAUUCAUCAACCAACACUCUAACAUGAUGUGUCAUUGAAUGGCCAUAAUGAAAUUGAAGUGUCUCUGAAACUUCUGCCAAUCACAUCCUUUGAAGCAACAAGCAAUAUCCAAAAAGACACUCUGUUGUUCUUCUUCCAAAGUAUCAAAGCUUACUUUAAGUAUCUUUUGGAUAUCUUCAGGUGGAAUUCUUUCAUACUUAUCUAAGGUUGACUCACAAUCUGCUAUACUCUUUCCAAACAAGUUGGAACCCACUACUUUUAAAGCUAAUGGAAGGCCAGAAGCAUAUUCAACUGCACGGUUUAAAAUAUAAUCAUAGCUGGAAUCAUUUUUAAAAGUCAUCUUUCUUAACAAUUCAAGAGAUUCUUCCUUAUUUAAACUGUCUGCUUCGUAUAUUUUUGUUAUCCCAUGGCAUGAUAACAAAUAUCUGUCUCGAGUGGUAAUGAUGACUCUGCUUCCUUGACCGAACCAACCAGGCUCUCCGACCAAUUUCUCCAACUGAUUUGGUUUGUCAACGUCAUCAAGAAUCAACAAAACUUUCUUCCGACAUAGCCUUUGUUUUAUGAUUUCAAUUCCUUCAUUAUCAUGUUCUAGCGGGGUGUCAUAUCCGAUUGAUUUGGAGAGGAGCUGCUCUUGGAGAUACUUUAAGCUAUGUUUAAAUGAAUUUUCUCUAACAUUGUAAAGGAAACACCUACAUUCAAAUUGAUUAACAAUUGAAUUAUAAACUGCUUCAGCAAGUGUUGUCUUACCCAGACCUCCAGUUCCAAGGAUUCCUAUUAUGUAGACUCCAUCGGUACAUCCCAAGUCUAGAAGUGAAUUCACUUCUGAUAUUCGAGAUUCGAGUCCAACAAGGUACUCAGCAACAUGUAAAUGACAACGGUUGAUCUUGUUGGAGACGUCUGUAACUAUUUCUUCAAUAAAUUUGUAUUCAUAUUUAUUUCUGUCCAAUCAUACAUAUUUAAAUAGAUGUAUUAGAAUAACAAUCACACAUAUGUAUUAAUAUAUAACAGUAAUUAUAAUAUUGCAAUUCAAAUUGUUUGAACAUAGAAUGACCAAAUUUUCUCUAUAUGUAAGAAAAAUGGAAAACAAGAUUGAAAUGAAGAGCGGUACCCAUGAAUGAAAUUGGUGAAGAGCUUCCUUCCAUUUCAGCAACCGCUCCAUGUUUUCCAUGUCAUUUUGAAACUCCACUUCAUGCUUAGCAAGUGCUUCACCAUAACUGUCUUCCAGUUUUCGCACAUGAGAAGGUUCGGUGCCAUAGAAAACAGGAAUAACCUUGGUAACCUUUUCUCUGAAGCAAUGAAUGAUGUGGACAAGUUCAUCUAAACAAAAUGAAGAAGUAGCAUAGUUCUUAGAGAAUAUAAUAAUGGCAAUCCUCGAUUCUUCAAUGCUCUUCCGGAGUGAAGGUGUGAUUUCGUCACCAGUUGGAAGCUCCUUGUCAUCAAUGAAGGUGUGGAUUCCUUUGUCAGAAAGAGCCUUAUAGAGGUUACCGGUGAAACCAAAUCGAGUGUCGGUACCCCUGAAACUAAUGAACACAUCGAAGUUGAAAUCAUAAGAGAGGGAGGAGGAGGAAGUAGGUAAUUGCAUAGCCAUGAGAAAAAAUGGCAUUGAGAGUCAAUUUAAAACAUUAGUCUUGAAACUUCCAUCUCAUCUUCUGAAUUUUUGGUUGGGUAAGGAGUUAUUAGUAGGACUGGCCCUCUUGCUUUGAUUUGGCUCUGCAGAGUCAGAAACUUCCUUUGAAUUUUCUAUAACCCUUCCAUGUGACUUCUUGGUAAUAUCUUGACUGAUAUUACUUACUUUUCAUUUUUGGACAAACACCAUUAAAAGAACCAAAUAUUAUAUAAUGUAACUACCAUUAGAACCAAACUUUUUUUUUUUUUGAGAAAGAAGAAUACUGAGAGUAGCAUCAUAUACAUUCUCUAAAUAGGAAAUAUCUUCCAAAUAACAGUCAAAUCCAAAAAUAAACGAUUAAAUGGAACAAUCCAUACAAAUUAAGAAAACUGUGUAAACUGAAGAGAGGGAAAAGUAGUACUCCCUAUGUUUUUAUAUAUAAGAAAUUUUAGCUUUUAUUAAAAAAAAUUGAUAGUGUAGUUGAUGUUUAUCAAUUUACCAAAAAAACCCUUUGGUUGUGUAUGUAGAAAAUUUUGCUUUUUCAUAUAACAAAGUUGGGCUGGGCUUUGUUUGAGAGUUUGGAUGGGAGAGGAAGAGAGGGCUUUGAGGGAAGAAAUUUUAAGGGAAAAUACAAAAAUCUUUCACAAUUUUUUAGAGUUUUUUUACAAAAUGAGUAUUUUUAUUAGAGAAUAAUAAAUUAAUGUUUAUGAUUGAUAUCUUUUAAAUUUUAAGAAUAUUAUAUUAUAGCAACAUUUUCUUUCAUAUGGCGUAAUUUGAUCCAUGUAGUCAACUAUGUUUAAUGCGAUAAGGAUUCAUUGUUGUUGUAUAGCAACAUAAAUUAAAUUUAAAAAUUUUUAUAAACCCUUCAAAACUCCUCCUCCAAAUCGGAGAGUUUGAUCUAUCAUUUAUAAAACACUAAGUAUAACAAAAUAAAAUAAAACCACACAACACGCAGGUCUAAAUCUAGUUUUGUGCAAUUUCCACAUAUUUUCAAAAUACACAAAAACUAUAUGAUAUUUAUAAUUGAUAUCAAUUUUUUAUGCACAACUAUUAUUUCUCUUUUUAUAGUAACUAUUUUAUAUCUUCAUUGUUAAUUUUAUGGUUAUAAAUGUUGGAAAAAGAAAGGUUGAGUUGAUGGCAUCAGAAUGAAUCGAGAGACUAUGUGAUAUUUAGAACUUCAGGCCUCAAUAAUCAAACAGCUUAAUCACUAAUGCAUAAAAAAGUUAUGAUAUAAUGUGAUUGGACCUCAAAAAUCAUACAGCUUAAAAACUGUAAAAAAAAGGUCGAAAAAGUUGUGAUAUUUAAUGCCACCGUAAACUAUUUAGGAUGUAUUAGUAACAUUUUUGUAUUAUUAUAUUUGUACAUAAAACAGAAAUAGUAAAAACCAAGCCAGGUGAUAAAAUAUGGAGUAGUGUAAUUUGCAAAAAGCAACAAAUAUUUGACAUACUUUUACAAACUUUUUGAAGUAGCCCAUAUGUAGAAUGUUUUAACCUUUAAUUAGCCCAUCUAGUUGAAUGCUAAAACCAAAGCAUCAUUUUUAACAUACUUUUACACACAUUUUUCUGUGCAUUAGGGUGUAUUAGUAACAUUUUUGUAUAAUAUUUGAACAUAAAACAUUUAGUAAAAACUAAACAAGGAUAUAAAUAUGGAGUAAUAAAGUUUGCAAAAUGAGUCCCCGUGAGCUUUGCUCAGUUGGUAGGGACAAAUGCAUUUUAUAUGCAGGGGCCGGGGUUCGAACCCCGGACACCCCACUUCUCCACAUUUAACUUUUUAUUUUGAAGGAACUAGAGUAACUUGAUGUCUAUAUUUGGAGUUUGACUCACCUCAUGUAAAUUUUUCAAUUAGUUUUAUGUGCACAACUCCUAACACAACCGACAAAAAUGCAUAAAUUAUGAGACCGGUCGUCGUAAUCGAGAUUUGAAUCCAAAUUCCUUUACUCGUUUGUGUAUGUUUUCAAGUGAUUUAUCAUUUUGUCUAUCUACCAAGAAAAUAUACACAUUUACUCAUGUCUUUAUAUUGGCAUAUCUAUUAACCCAAAGCAUCUAAAUGGGGGGACAUGGUUCUUUGCUCCCUAUUUUACCAUAUAACCAUUUCAUGGCACCCACCCACCACUCUGCCCCUAUCAGAUGUGCACAGGGCGCUAAUUGUACCACAACUAGGCGUGCCACAAGUUUUGGCAUCUUUUCCCUGCACACUCUAUUGCUCUACCUAGGUACUUUGGAGUUCUGUGCUGCAUGUAAAGAAAAAAAACAUGAACAUAACCUUUGUAUAAAAUAAUAGUACAAUAAUUUAGUUAUACUUUAGUUAUUUACAGUGUGCAUGCAUUUAAAUUAGAAACAUCCUUCUCAUUUUCCUUUAGCCGUGUGGACCAUUCACACAAUUAUUGUUCAACUUUUUCUUUACUGAAAAACACUGCAGAACCAUUAUUUAUAUUGUCCUCGUGCUACGUUAUUAAUUACACUUCUUAACCUUUUUCCAUUUUACUUCUACGAUCUUUCUUUGUUACUUCAUGGGACUAAAAUAAUAGUAUAAUUUUUUUUUUUAAGUCAAGAAGCAAGGAAGACGACAGACGUCAAGGGAAAUCAACGACAUCCCAAUUAGAUUGAUACCCUAAAGAACCGUAUAUAAAAUGAAAAUAAAAGUUGUUAUGUGGACUCAAACAGACAGGAAUGUUGUUGUUCUAAAGAUUUUGUCAUUUUCCUUGAUUCUAAAAAAAUGCACACAAUUGUUCACUUUUACGGUCUAUUAUCUCCUAAAAAAUAUAUUUCCACUGCUUAUAAGUUAACUGUUUCGUAAGUUAACUAAUUUAACUUGUUCCCCAAAAAUAUACGCAUUUGUUCAGGUCUUUAUUUUGGUAUCUAUCACAUACACUUCACUGCACCCUGAAGUCGUGACACCACUCUGCUCCCAAUCGAACUACUAUUGAUAUCAAUUAAACAUUCGUAUGUAAACAUAUGAACAUUCAAUAAACAUGCUUAUAAAACUUGUAUGCUAAUAAAAACAUGGAAUUCCAACAAUAUUUUACACUGGACAAACAUCCUCCAACUCUAGCAGUAGCACCAUGACUAUUUCAAAAAUGCUCAAACAGCCUUCGCUUACUCAGCUCUCUAAGCAGCAAAGGUGGACCAAAUAAACUAAACUUAAUUAAAGCAGUGGCAACUUCUUUAUAACAAGCCUGCCACUCAAAUCUGCCAACACUAUUGCUGAAGAAUUGCAGGAUCAGGUGAAGAUGAAGUUAUCCGGGAAGCAGCUUAUGGAAAUAAGCUAAAAGGAAGCAUAAGCUGAAAUAAGUGGAUGGAUACAAACAAACCAUAAAUAGUUAAUUUAAAAUAAAGCAUUUAAUUUCAAUCUUUCUUUGUUACUUCAUGAGAGUAAAAUAACAGUAUAUGAAAUAAAAAUAAAUGUAGUUGUUCUGUGGGACUCCAAAAUCAGACAAGAAUAGGAAAUUUAAGAAGCAGAAUAAUAGUAAUAAUAGAAAUGUUAGUAUCCUACUAUCUUCAUCAUUUAUGUUAUUUAAAGGACAAAGUUUAUAUUUUAUAUUGAACAAUUGUAAAAUGAUCAUUAUUGUCACAAUUAUUAAUAUUAAUUCUCCAGUUAAUUUUUAAUAAAAAAAUAUACAUCAAAAUAUAGAGUGACAUUAUAUAUUAGCUUCAUCCUUUAUUAAUUUUUUAUUUUGUAUAAUUACCACACAUUUUAAAAAUACACAAAAACUAAAUGAUAUAUAUACCAUAUCUGGUAUCAUUCCUAUUAUAACCUUAUAUCAAUGCAACAUUAACAGUAAUACAAUUUGGGAUGGAGGGAGUAUCACAUAAUUGGACAAUGAUUCACAAAUGUGUGGUAGAUGUGAUUCGAACCUGAGACAUAGAGAUGUAACAAACUUGCCUUAGCCUCUUCGGUGUAGCACUUUUUCUGUUUAAUUUUCGCAUUUACUAAUAUAUAUAUAUAUAUAUAUAUAUAUAUAUAUAUAUAUAUAUAUAUAUAUAUAUAUAUAUAUAUAUAUAUAUAUAUAUAUAUAUAUAUCGUAUUAUAAAUCAAAUAUGUACACUAAAAAAUUUCUUUUACAAUUUUGUCACACCAAACCAUCAUGUCUAGAUCUGUCCCUGGUAGGACCUGUGCUUUUAUUUGGCUCUACACUUUUACCAUGUAAGAAACUUCCUUCCUAUUUCCUAUCUUCUCUAAAAUAACCAUCACUUUUUUGCCUCCUCUUUCCAUGUAAUUUCUCUAAAGCAAUGUGAGUGUCUUAAAAAAGAAGGAAAAAAAGAUACAGUUUGAGGGAAGGCAUGAAUGGAGAGAAAAUGGGAUUGAACCUUAAAAAUCAUAUAUAGUUUAAAAACACGGAUAGAUCGGUCUCGUUUCCGGAGGGAGACCUGAAUAUAUCACCUACUUUAAAAGACAUAAUACUUUUUUUAUGAAUUUCUCAUUUAAUUAUUAGUAGCUUUUAUUUGGAUCUGCACUUUUACCAACCACUUUUUCAAGUUUAUGUGGGGGACCUAAAAAAUGAACUGACAUUUUUAAGUGGGGGUCCUUAAAAAUGAUUGAUGUAAUAUUUUUGCAUCAAACAAUAGUAAAUAUUUAUAUCGUCUCCUCAGAGACUAGUGCGAUAUCAUGGAUCGUUCGACACCAAAUAUCAUUCUAAGUUAAACGAUAAUUUGUUGUUUGUUUUAAUAACUAAGUUGCAAAUGAUAAAGUUGAGAUUAAUAAAGUGUGAAACUUGUUAGGAUUAGAGUUCCUUGAUCAAGUGUCACACGUAACCUAAUAAUCAUACAUGAAUUCUAGCUUUUCUUUGAUAUUAUCACGUAUCCCUCGACAACAUCAUUCGUGUCCAAACAAUAUUGUGAAAUCAAUUGUAUCAUUCAAUCGUCGAUGUCUCAAACUAUUGAAUGAUUCAAGAGUCGGUCUUAUCAUUUAAUCGAUGAUUUCUCAAUCAAUUGAAUGAUAAGAAAGCUUUAAGUUUGGAUACAAAAGGUGAUUAUCAAAACAUCAAUUCCAUGUCUAGAACCCAUGUUUUGAUAGAUGAUUAUUCUAAACUUAGAUUCAAAAGUAUUUAUCAAUCACAAUUAAAUCAAACAUAAGUAUUAAAGUGCAAGAAUAACAUCAAUAUCAAAUUAAAUGCUAGAACCAUAUAUUUAUAGAUCAAAAGAUUACAUGUUAAGCUAAGAUCAAGUACCUCUAAUCCGAACAAAGGAGAUUUAGCUACUCAUUACACACUUGUGAUCUCUCAACAAAAUGAUGUAGAAUCCACUUUCUAUCACUCUCACUCUAUCAAGAACAAUCCCUAUCUCUCUCUCUCUAUGAAUAUUACAAAAUGAAAACUAUGAAAAAUUAAGGAUCCUUAAUGAAAUGAUUGAAUGAGCUAUUUAUAGAAUUCUAAUUCUGCAUCAAAUCGUCUCGCGAGCUCCUUCAUUCGCCAGGGCGAGUGAAGUUCCUUCACCAUUGGGUUUGUGCCACGUCAGCCGUGAGAAGCCUAAGCCGCCCUAACUCGCCUCGCGAGUACAUUCCCUCGCCAUGGUGAGGAGAGUGAAACACUGAUGCUCUCCAAAAUUGCUCGCCUUUGAAACUCGCCUUGAUCUCGCCAUGGCGAACGUACUCGCCUUCUACUCGCCAUUGUGAGUUGGUGGUGUGUAAUCUUUGUUGCUUACUGGAAUUGCUCGCCUGUGCUGCUCGCCAUGGCGAGUUGGAGGCGAGUGACUUCAUUUCCUGCCUCUUUGUACUUUUCUCCAUUUUUUUCUCUUUGCUUGAUGUCUUGAGUUCCAAUCCUGCACAAAUGGGUGAAGUAAGAUAGAUAAAGCGUAAAAGGGCAAUAAUCACUUAUCUCUCGGCUUUUUCCUCAAUAACUUGCAAAACAAGUAAUAAAAGUGCUUUGAAUAUUAAUUUAAAAUACAACUUUCUAGCACUUAUCAAUGAUUGAGAGCUUAAGUGAUAUUUUGUUUGGAUCUCAAAAGUCUUUCUGAUAUUUAAUCACAUCUACCAAACUCACAUUUCUAGCUGUUAUUUUAAGUCAAAAUUGGAAAUCAAUACAUGUUGUAGUCUGUACAGUAACUUGAUCUCUAUAUUUGGAGUGCUAGGUGACAGUCUGGCGCUGACAUGGCACUUGCUGACUGUGUACUCUUUACCACGUGGCGCUGACGUGGCAAUCAAUUAAUUUUGAGAUUAAAGAAACAAUUUUAAAAACUUGGAAAUUAAUUUUUGAAAUAAAAACAUUGAAAAAAGGGAAAAAAAGAUUAAAAAUAAAUAAAAUGAAAAAAAUUCCAAAAUAAUUGUUUUUUAUUUUUUUCUAAAAAAAUUAAAAAAUAUGGAAAUUAAUUAGAGAAUAUUUUUCAAAAUGAAAAAAAAACAAAUUCUAAAUUAAAAGAAACAUAUUUUCAGAUUUGUUUUGAAUUUAAAAAGUUUUUUUUUUCUGGAAAAAUUAAAAAUUCUAGAAAUUAAUUUUCAUAAAUAAAAAAAAACUAAAAUUUAGAUAAUAUUUUUGAAAAAAAAAUUCUGAAAAUUUAUCUUCAGAUUAUUCAUUUGAAAUAUUUUUUUUAAUGUUUUAAAAAAAUUUAAAUUUUCUUUAAAAAAUAAAAAUCUGAAAAUUAGAUAAUGAUUUUUUUUUUUUAAAAAUUUCAAUAAAUUUUAUAAUCUGACAAAUUUUCAAAAAUUUAAAUAUAAAUUUCUAAUUUUUUUUAUUUUUAUAAAUUAAUUUCCAUUUUUUAAUUAAUCGAAAUGACAUGUCAUUGCCAAGUUGCAACUGCCACAUAUGACCUUAGAUGGGCCCAGGGAAUUUUCUUAAAAACAAAAUCUUUUGCAAGGACGCAUUUUAUUUUUUAUUUUUUACGAAGACCUAAAGCCAAAUGUGUAACUUGAAAAUCCAGGGACUUAAAAACAUUGAGAGUUUAAGUGAUAUUUUGUAUGGACCUCAAAAGUCUUUUUAAUAUUUAAUCCCAUCUACUAAAAUCACAUUUCCAGUCGUUAUUUUUAGUCCAAACUGGAAUCUAAUCACUUUUGUAGUCUAUAUACAGUAACUUGAUAUCUAUAUUUGGAGUUUGAUUUAUCUCUUGUAGAUUCUUCAUUAAGUUUUAACCAUAAAUAAUUAGUGUUAGGACCCAAUUAAAAAUGGAUAAAACUAAACAAUACAAAAAAUAUAAACUAUUAAAGAUUCCAGUUUAAUAGUUGAACAAAAAUCCAAGUUGAUAGCUAUGGCUUCUCCUUGAUCGAUAUUCAUUACUCGACAAAAUGGUUGUGCAUCAUGCUAUUAGAUAGUACACGCAAAGAGGAUAUUACUUGUAUCUCAAGCAACUAAGAUUAGAGUCUCACCUUAGUUUACUGUGUUCCUACACUUGUAUAUAAAUAAAUACUCAUUGUAUCUUCAUUCACAAGUAAUAACGAUACCACAUUUUACAUUCAUUCUUCUUCUCUUAAUAUGGUAUCAAAACUAAGCAUUAACCUCACUCUAAACCUCGUCUCGUCUGUGCUUAACCAUAUAUUAAAGGUAAUUAAUCAUAUAUUUUAACUUCAUUAACCACCCAAAUUGUUGUCAAAUAUUUUGUUACGUUUUUGUAUCAAAUUAAUGUAGCUCAAAUACAAAUAUGUAUAAGCCAGAAGCCACCAUGGAAGACAGGCCCUAGCAAUUAACAUGCAUAUCUGUUAAAUAUGAAAUCUAAUACUAAUUAAGAACCAGCAGUGGCACAUUCGACUUAACUCGGAACAGAACAAAUCCUAGGUUGUAUCUGUACAUGGUUAAUUAAUGAGUUUCUUUUAUUCCCAACUCUUCUCAUAUAAUUAAGAAUUUGAUAUAAAAGUUUACCACUCUGCAAUGCACUUGAGUUUCAUUUUUAACAUACACGUUUGGGACAAUCUUAGAAAAUCCUUCAUUCUUCUCUAUGAAAGUGGCUAAAAUUUACAAUAUGACAGUCUAUUAAUUGAACUACAGCACUUGCAAACUAUGAUUAAAAAUUCAGUGGUUUCAAAAUUCGACAUUAUGAACCAUAUGAAAAACCAUCCUCCCUAUCAAGCAUGACACCGGACUCGACACUUACAUGUAAUUGCAUGUGUCGAACACAAACACUUGUUGGGCACCAGACAUGCUUCUAUGAGAAUUGUUUGUGCUACAAAACAUCCUGCAUAUUAAAUUCAAACAAUAUUUUAGACCGCACAAAUGCAACAAUUAAUCAAUUUUUAUAAUAAGGAUCUUGCUAACCGGUGCCCUAAGGGCAAUGAUUAAAGAUUCCAUUACUAGAAAUGUUGUCUUGGAAAUACAAGUCUUUAUUUUUUGCUUAGCAAUAAUUAACCACUCUUCGAUAUAAACUUACUUAUUUUACUAAUUUAACCAAUGCUUUAAGGGCAAUGGUUAGCAUCACGGGCGUAGCCCUUCAUAUGGGAGGGGUAGCCUUGGCUACCCCAAAAAAAAUAUUAUUCUUGAAGUGUUCCGUGUGUAUUUAUAUCCAGGUACCCGAAAUAAAUUUAGUUGCAAAAAUUAGCAUAAAUAAUAAAGUAAAAAAAUUACUACAAAAUUGAUAUAUUUAUUUGUAUUGGUUUGAUACUUUCGGUCUCAAUAACAAUAAUAGAGAAACCUUUUUCAACAAUCUAUCUCAAUUUAAUUAUGUAAAGUUUAAACAGAAAACCACAAACCUGUGAUUAAUUGAGAGAAUCUUGGUGCUCUUUUUGUUUUCUGAAUCUAGCCCUGAAUUUAGGAUGCACCCAAAUCUUUUUCUGAAGAUUUAUACGGAUUGAAAAUUUAUUUCGUUUCCGUUUCUUUUGUGACAAUGAAGCAUUGAGAUAUUCAUUUGAUUUUGUCUUUCUAAUAUAAGGAUCGAUAAAUACCACAUUCUCCUCCUCCGUGUUGCUUUUCUCUUUCCACACGUGGAUUCCCAUUUGUGCAUUUCUGAAUAUUAUAUUGUCACGAUCCUUCACCUUAAACUCCACAUGGAUCCAUUCAUUUUUCAAAAGUCCUUUCUCCAUUAUAUACUCAAAUUGCCUUUUACCGAGUUCAUUCAAUUUCGGGGUAUGAAACAAAUUUGUAUGCUUAAAGUACACAUAGCUAAAGCGGGGACAAUAAUCUAUCUCAAUUUCAUAUCCAUUCACAAAAUAAUUGACUCUUGUGUCAGCCGACCAAUUAUUGCCUUCCGGAGGAAUACAAAUAUAAGUCAUAGAAGGGAUUUCUUUACGAAACCAGAAAGAAAUUGUGUCUCCCCUGCUUUGGUGCUCAAACCAAUCUGGUAUCCCCUCUUUUUCGUUUGGGAAAAGAAAACGAGUGCAUCGAGCCUCAUGUAGUUCCUGUUAGUGUAUAUGAAAUACAAAUAUAUAUUACACAUUAUCAAAUAUAAAUAUAUAUGAAAUACUAUAAAAGAUGUCAAAUACUUUAGUGCAAUAAAAAACAACAACUAACCUGACUCAUUAACAUUCUUCUACAUGAGGAACUCAAUGAUUUACAUUGAUAUGCGGAAAGCUCUUUAAGAUUUGGUGGAAUCCCUCUAAUUUCCUCAAGAGAAGAGCAGUAAUGCAAACCAAGAUGCUUAAGAUGGUGACAUUCACUAAGGCACUCAGGAAGAAUUUUGAAAUUGUUAUGUGAUAAGUCUAGCAAUUCCACAUUAACACACCACUUAAGAACUAUUUGGAGAUAUUCAUCUGAGAGGUUGCACUCGUAGAUUCUAAGCUUUGUCACCUUUGAAAACACUUUAGAAUACAUUCUAUCAUUAUGUUUUGGGAACCUCAGCAUUCUAGCUUCCCGUACUGAUAACUCAUCAAGUUCACUGAGAUUUUGAAAUGAAGAUGGCAAUUCUCCUAUGGAUAUAUUAUAAUCUAAAUCAAUCUCUUUGAUAUUUGUCAUCUUGCAUAAUAAUUCUGGAAAACUCUUGAGACUCGAACAACAACAGAUAUCCAGUUCCUUAAGAGAUGCCAACCCUAAAGGUGGAAAACGUUUGAGCUUUCUGCAACCAAAUGCACUUAACCUUUCAAGUUUGUUUAGGUGUCCAAUCGAAUUGUGAAUUGUAAUUAAAUUAUAACAACAUUCAAACGAUAACUUUUCUAAAUUUGAAAGGCCUGAGACAUCGGGUAUAUGUGUUAAAUAUUCACAAUGGUCCAAUAUCAAGAUUGUCAUAUCCUGGAACUUCUGCAUAAACACAAAGGAAGAAACUAUAAAUAAAUUAAAAAGCAAACACUAUACUUUCAUAGUGAUUUCUUUUAUGUUGGCGAAAAAGAAAUCAUUGUACAUUAUAAAUAUAUACAGUUAGAAAAUGAUUUUAUUUCACUUGCCUUGCUUAAAAUACUAGACGAGAGAGACUUUGAUAAACAUCCUUCCCAUUUCAAUGCUUUCAAACUGCUUGGAAGAUGCUUGAGACCUUUAGAACAAUGGCCAUUUUCAAUGAUAAGUGUUUUCAAUCUUGUCAUCUUUUUGAAGGCCUUUCCUUUCUUGUCUAUUACGGAUUCCAUGGAGUGCAAAUUCAUACAUAUCAUUUCAGUUUUACCAGUUCCCUUUUAACAAAAAUAAAAAUAAAAAAUGCAUCAACCACAAUAAAAAUCUUUUACAGAGAAAUUUACAUGUAAUUAAGUGGAAAAAAAAAUACUAAUAUGAGAUGGUCAUAUUUAGUCCAAAAUGAGCAAAAUUGUAUUAAAACUAAAUAACAAAUUGAACAUAGAUAUCAAUCUUACUCACAGUGUUUUCUGUUAAAACAUGAACUAUAUCAUCUUGAGACCAUAACCUGCUUCUUUCUCCAGGCUCUUUAGGUGAUUCUUGUCGGACCACUUCUUUACCCAUGACCUCUAUCAAUUCAUGUAAUGUCACUUUGAUACCACUGAAAAAGCACCAACUAAUCUUUAUGAGAGACUUAUCAACCAACACUCUAAGGUGGCUUUUUAUGCUAUAACCAUAAUGAUGAUGAAGUAUCUGUUCGACUUCUUCCAAUCUACAUCCUUUGAUGCAACAAGCAAUAUCCAAAAAGACACUCUGCUCCUCUUCGUCCAAAGCAUCAUAGCUCAGUCUAAGUAUCUUUUGGAUAUCUUUAUGUGGAAUUCUUCCAUACUUAUCUAAUGUAGACUCACAUUCUGCAAUACUCUUUCCAAACAAGUUAGAACCCACUACUUCUAUCGCUAAUGGAAGGCCAGAAGCAUAUACAACUGCACGCUUUAAAAUGUCUUCAUAACUUGAAGGAACUUUCUCAUUUUUAAAAGCCUUCCACCUCAACAAUUCAAGAGCUUCUGUCUCAUUCAACUCUUCUACUGCAUAUGUUUUUUCUAUCCCAUGACAGUCUAGUAAGUGUUUAUCUCGGGUGGUGAUGAUGACUCUGCUUCCAGGACCAAACCAAUCGAGUCUUCCAGCCAAAGCCUCUAGCUGAUCCAGUUUGUCAACAUCAUCAAGAAUCAAAAGAAUCUUCUUUCCAUGUAGCCUUUCCUUUAUUUUAGGAAUUCCUUCGCUAACACUUCCUAACUUAAUUUCAAGUUGAAGUGUUUUUAAAAGGAGCUCCUGCUGGAGAUUUUUCAAGUUAUUUGAAGCUGAACUCUCUUUCACAUUUUCAAGAAAACAUGAGCAUUCAAAUUGAUCAGCAAUAAAAUUAUAAAUUGCUUUCGCAAGUGUUGAUUUUCCCAAGCCUCCAAUCCCAUAAAUUCCAACCAUAUGGACCCCAUGAUCAGAUCCUUCAUCAAGAAGCGAUUUCAUUUGUUGUACUCGAGACUGCAAUCCAACAGGGUAAGUGGCAACAUGUAAGGGUUGUUGACUGAUCUUGUUGGAGAUGUAUUUGACUAUCUUUCCAAUAAGCUUGUAUUCAUAUCUAUUCAUGUGCAAUAAGAUAAGUUAGUGUCUAACAACAUCACAAUCACAUCCAUGUACUAAUGUAUUAUACAUUUCUAACUAUUUCGACAUAUAAAUAACUAAUAGUACUUUUAAAACUGUAUAUAAAAAAGGUAUUUCCCUUUUAACCUUUAAGAUGAGAUUAUUGUGAAAUUGAAGUUGAAGAAAUAAAAUAGAAAAGGGAAAAAUAGGAUUUAAGUAAAGUUGGGUACCCAGGAGGACUAUCAUGGUAGCCGGACAAGUUAGCAGCCUGGCUCAGAGCCUCUUUCCAUCCCUGCAACCUCUCCAUGCUUUUCGGAUCAUUUUGAAACCUCUUUUCAUGCUCAGCCAAUGCUUCACCAUAACUACCUUUCUGAUGUCGCACAAUAGUAGGUUCCACAGCAAAGAAAACAGGCAGAACGAGGCGACCCUUUGUCUUGUAGCAGUGAAUGAUGUGGACAAGUUCGUCCAAACAAAAUGAAGAAGAGGCAUAGUUGAUAGAAAACACAGCAAUAAAAAUCCUAGACUCUUCAAUGGCCUUGAGAAGUGAUGGUGUGAUUUCAUCCCCUCUUUGAAGUUCAUGAUUGUCAAUGAAGGUGUGGAUUCCCUUGUCAUCAAGAGCCUUGUAGAGAUUGCCGGUGAAACCGUACCGAGUGUCACUUCCUCUGAAAUUGAGGAAUACUUGGUAUUUGUACUCAUAGGAAAUUGAAGUGGAAGAGGAAGGUGAUUGCAUAGCCAUGAGAAUAUGAAUGAGAAGUUUUUGUGGUCUGUGAAGUCUUUGAUAGAAAUGGUAUGUGAAACUUCCUAUAGCCGUGUGGACCAAUCAUGUAGGAAAAGGGAAGGAAGCUUCCCAGUUCCCAUUUGGUAAAAGUGUAGAACCAAAAAACAGUGAAAAAUAGCUGCCAAGUUUGAUUUUGUCUUCAACUCAAUCAUUAUUUUUCCAACAUUUAUAAUUGUUAGUACAAUGUAAGAUUAACAUGAAAAAUAGGACAUUGUUAUAUUAGUUCUGUUGGAUAGCUAAUUAAACAUUUAACGUAAACAUGUACAAUAAUAAUUGUGUGUGCAUGGUUAAUUAACCAUUUGGUUCAAGUGGUAAUAUUUUCAAAAUAAAUAGAAACUAUUAUAUUUCAUAUCUAUGCUAACCUAAUCUUGUUGUUAACUACCUAAUUAACAAGCUAGUUUAAAAUGAAAAUAGUAUGAUCAAAACUUUCUGAUAUUUGCAUUACUAACUGUCUUUAAUUGUAUGUUUGAAUGGCAUAGCUUGUAUUUAUUUUAAGCUCAUGUAAUUUAAGAUACUGAUUAAUUAAGUAACAAAGUGAAAAAUUACAUGCAGCAGAAGAAUAAGAUUUGGCAAAAAGAUGAACAGUAACAAGAAAUUAGCAAGAAGAAGAGGUGGUAGUACAAUGAUUGGUCCACACGGCUAUAGGAAGUUUCACAUACCAUUUCUGUCAUAACUUUUCUCAUAAGUUAUAAAGUUACUUAUCAAAGACUUCACAGACCACAAAAACUUCUCAUUCAUAUUCUCAAACUCUUUUUUCAUCUAAUUUCUCUAAAAUCUCAUGGCUAUGCAAUCACCUUCCUCUUCCACUUCAAUUUCCUAUGAGUACAAAUACCAAGUAUUCCUCAGUUUCAGAGGAAGUGACACUCGGUACGGUUUCACCGGGAAUCUCUACAAGGCUCUUACUGACAAGGGAAUCAACACCUUCAUUGAUAAGAAUGGUCUUCAAAGAGGAGAUGAAAUCACACCAUCACUUCUCAAGGCCAUUGAAGAGUCUAGGAUUUUUAUUCCUGUGUUUUCUAUCAACUAUGCCUCUUCUUCAUUUUGUUUGGACGAACUUGUCCACAUCAUUCACUGCUACAAGACAAAGGGUCGCCUCGUUCUGCCUGUUUUCUUUGGUGUGGAACCUACUGUUGUGCGACAUCGUAAAGGUAGUUAUGGUGAAGCAUUGGCUGAGCAUGAAAAGAGGUUUCAAAAUGAUCCGAAAAACAUGGAGAGGUUGCAAGGAUGGAAAAAGGCUCUGAGCCAGGCUGCUAACUUGUCCGGCUACCAUGAUAGUCCUCCUGGGUACCCAACUUUACUUAAAUCCUAUUUUUCCCUUUUCUAUUUUAUUUCUUCAACUUCAAUUUUACAAUAAUCUCAUCUUAAAGGUUAAAAGGGAAAUACCUUUUUUAUAUACAGUUUUAAACAAGUACUAUUAGUUAUUUAUAUGUCGAAAUAGUUAGAAAUGUAUAAUACAUUCUUAGUACAUGGAUGUGAUUGUGAUGUUGUUAGACACUAACUUAUCUUAUUGCACAUGAAUAGAUAUGAAUACAAGCUUAUUGGAAAGAUAGUCAAAUACAUCUCCAACAAGAUCAGUCGACAGCCCUUACAUGUUGCCACUUACCCUGUUGGAUUGCAGUCUCGAGUACAACAAGUGAAAUCGCUUCUUGAUGAGGGAUCCGAUGAUGGGGUCCAUAUGGUUGGAAUUUAUGGCAUUGGAGGUUUGGGGAAAUCAACACUUGCAAGACAAAUCUAUAAUUUUGUUGCAGAUCAAUUCGAAGGUUCAUGUUUUCUUCAUGAUGUGAGAGAGAAUUCAGCUCAAAAUAACUUGAAAUAUCUCCAAGAGAAGCUCCUUUUAAAAACAACAGGUUUGGAAAUUAAGUUAGACCAUGUUAGUGAGGGAAUUCCAGUCAUAAAGGAAAGAUUAUGUAGAAAGAAGAUUCUUUUGAUUCUCGAUGAUGUUGACAAUUUGAAGCAACUGCAUGCUUUGGCUGGAGGACUUGAUUGGUUCGGAUGUGGAAGCAGAGUCAUCAUUACCACUCGAAACAAAGACUUACUAAGCAGUCAUGGCAUAGAAAGUACACAUGCAGUAGAAGGGUUGAAUGAGACAGAAGCUCUUGAAUUGUUGAGGUGGAUGGCUUUUAAAAGUGAUAAAGUUCCUUCAGGUUACGAAGACAUUUUAAACCGUGCAGUUGCAUAUGCUUUUGGCCUUCCGUUAGUUUUAGAAGUAGUGGGUUCUAACUUGUUUGGAAAGAGCAUAGAAGAUUGGAAGCAUACAUUAGAUGGGUAUGACAGGAUUCCCAAUAAAGAGAUCCAAAAGAUACUUAAGGUGAGCUAUGAUGCUUUGGAAGAAGAGGAGCAGAGUGUCUUUCUUGACAUCGCUUGCUGCUUCAAAGGAUAUCAAUGGAAGGAGUUCGAAGAUAUACUUUGUGCUCAUUAUGACCAUUGCAUAACACAUCAUCUAGGAGUGUUGGCUGGAAAAUCUCUCGUUAAGAUUAGUACUUAUUACCCUUCGGGAUCUAUUAAUGAUGUGAGAUUACAUGACUUGAUAAAGGACAUGGGUAAAGAAGUCGUCCGACAAGAAUCACCUAAAGAGCCUGGAGAACGAAGUAGGUUAUGGCGUCAAGAAGAUAUAAUUCAUGUUUUAAAAGAAAACACUGUGAGUAUGAUUGAUAUCUAUGAUCAUUUUGUUAUUUAGUUUUAAUACGACUUUGCUCUUUUUGCACUAAAUAUGAUCAUCUGAUACUAGCAUUUCUUUUCACUCAAUUACAUGUUAAUAUAUCUAUGUCUUAUUUUUAUUGUGGUUGAUUCAUGUUUUUAUCUUUGUUAAAAGGGAACUAGUAAAAUUGAAAUGAUAUAUAUGAAUCUCCACUCCAUGGAAUCCGUGAUAGACAAGAAAGGAAAGGCCUUCAAGAAGAUGACAAAACUGAAAACACUUAUCAUUGAAAAUGGCCUUUUUUCUGGAGGUCUCAAGUAUCUUCCAAGCAGUUUGCGUGUAUUGAAAUGGAAAGGAUGUUUAUCGAAGUGUCUGUCAUCUAGUAUUUUAAACAAGGCAAGUGAAAUAACUUCACAAUGAUUUUGUUUCAGUCAACAAAAGAAAUCAGUAUGAAAGUAUUAUUGUCUUUGAUUUUUAAUUUAUUGAUUUGUUUCUUCCUUGUGUGUAUGCAGAAGUUUCAGAAUAUGAAAGUCUUGACAUUGGACUAUUGUGAAUAUUUAACACAUAUACCCGAUGUCUCAGGCCUUUCAAAUUUAGAAAAGUUAUCGUUUACAUGUUGUGAUAAUUUAAUUACAAUUCACAAUUCUAUUGGACACCUAAAUAAACUUGAAUGGUUAAGUGCAUAUGGUUGCAGAAAGCUCGAACAUUUUCGACCUUUAGGGUUGGCAUCUCUUAAGAAAUUGAUACUCUAUGAGUGUGAGUGUCUUGAUAAUUUUCCAGAAUUAUUAUGCAAGAUGGCACAUAUAAAAGAGAUUGAUAUAUCUAAUACUUCCAUAGGAGAACUGCCAUUUUCAUUUCAAAAUCUCAGUGAACUUCAUGAGUUAACAGUGACAUCUGGAAUGAAGUUCCCAAAAAUAGUGUUUUCAAAUAUGACAAAGCUUUCUCUCUCCUUUUUCAACCUCUCAGAUGAAUGUCUCCCAAUAGUUCUCAAGUGGUGUGUUAAUAUGACACAUCUAGACUUAUCAUUUAGCAAUUUCAAAAUUCUUCCUGAGUGCCUUCGUGAAUGUCACCAUCUUGUUGAAAUUAAUGUGAUGUGCUGCGAGUCUCUUGAGGAAAUUAGAGGGAUUCCACCAAAUCUAAAAGAGCUUUGUGCUAGAUAUUGUAAAUCAUUGAGUUCCUCAAGUAGAAGAAUGUUAAUGAGUCAGGUUAGUUGUUGUUUUAUAUAGCACAAUAUUUUAUAUAUAAUAUUUAAUUUGUAAUUCAUAGUGUAAUUAUUAUUAUUUUGUAUAAACAAACAGAAACUACAUGAGGCGGGAUGCACCAAGAUUUAUUUCCCAAAUGGAAGAGAGGGGAUACCAGAUUGGUUUGAGCACCAAAGCAGGGGACCCAUAAUUUCUUUCUGGUUUCGUAAAGAAAUCCCUUCAAUAACUUGUAUAUUUAUUCUUCCGAAAGGCAAUGAGUAUGCCACAAGUGUCAAUGUUUUUGUGAAUGGAUAUGAAAUUGAGAUAGGUUGUUAUUGGUCUCUCUUUUUCUUCACGGACCAUACAACUUUGUUUCAUACCUCAAAAUUGAAUGAACUCAUUAAAACACAAUGCGAGUAUAAUAUAGAGAAAGGACUUUUGAAAAAUGAAUGGAUCUAUGUGGAGUUUAAGUUGAAGGAUCAUGAGAAUAGUGUUUAUGCACAAAGGGGAAUCCACGUGUGGAAUGAGAAAAGCAACACGGAGGAGGAGAAUGUGGUAUUCACAGAUCCUUGUAUUACAAAGACAAAAUCAGAUGAAUAUCUCAAUCAGAGCAAUAAUACUUCAUUAUCACAAUUUGAGCCUCCUCUAAAAAAGCAAAGAUUGGUGGAAGUUGGAGUUUCAGAGACAGAGGAGGAUAUCAAUGCUUCAUUGCAACAACAGGAAUUGAUGAAAGAGGAACAAAGAAAGACAUGGGGUACAUUCUGAAACACACCGCUUCAUUAAAAUAAUAAUAAUAAUAAUAAUAAAAUAUAUAUAGAAGUUACUAGACACACGUGGAAAAAAAAAAGAAAAAGAAAAGCAUAACACUUCCCUCAUUCUUUCUUUUCCUCCCGUAGCUCUCUCUGUUCUCACUUUUCUUUCCAUUUUGCUUCUUCCCUUUCCAUAAUCAACCAAUUCCACACACUAAUCAAACACCCAUAAGAGAAAUUAUUCACCAAAGUAAAACAAUUUCAUAUUACAAGUUAAUUUGGGUUUGAUUUUGGAGAUUGGGGUUAGGGUUCUGAGAAGAAAAAUACCCAUUUUGUGAAGGUUGCUCAUUGAGACUUUUUAAGGUAUAUUUAUCAACUUAUAUUUCAAUUAAUGCAUAUUUAGACAUGAUUAGUGAGUUAGAAAUUAAUUUGAGAGUAAAGUAUAAAAGAUUUCAACAUAUAAAUAUGACAUGGACUUUCAUUUACUUUGAAUGGUUAUAUAUAUAAUUUAAGCAAUGUAGGCACAUUACUUCUGCUAUUCGUUCCUUGUAGAAUAAGCAUUUGUGUCAUAUUCAAUCUAAAACAAAAGUUGGGAAUAAAUUAAUAAAUUCUGGAAGCCUAUAUGUUAUCAAUAAUGCGAUAAUACAUAUUCAACUUGCAUUUCAUGGUCAUCUAGUGCUACUAAAGUUCUGGAAUGAGUUUCUAAUAUAUGUGAAAACAUUAUUAAUGCUCAGAUACGAUGCCGGAUGCUUCACAUGCUUCUCCCGGGAUGGUUGGAGAGCACGCUUAGUUGAUUCAUCGUAACAGUGAGUUGAUGACGAUCAUUAUUGCUUAUUUUCAAUAUCGUUAUUAUUGAUAUUUUUAUGAUUUUAUAUGUUAAAAGUAUUUACAAAAAUGGGGAACACACCCUUCGAAUAUUUUUCUCGUUUUUGACACAUUUUUAAAAGUCAUUGAUAUUAUUGUGGUCUCUAUUUGGAUGUUAUCUGUAACUUCUAAGCAAAGGAUUGCAAAUUGAAAUUUGAUUGUGUACGUUUGACACAAGUUUGAUGUUUUACAAAAUCAUGGUUUUUAAACCUAUGUGUUCGAGAAAAAUGAUUAUCAUUAUGACGACCUAGGUGCACCUAGUAUGUGUUUUCAAUUAGGUAGAGUUACCCCAUUAGAUGGAGCCGCCCCUAUGGAAAGGCCGCCAUUAGGAGGAGAGGGCUAUCAAUGAGUGGUAAACUCUCUAAUUGAAAAUGUUUUACACUUUGUUUUGAGUCGAGAGAAAAGAGCUAUCCGUUAGAUGGAGCCGCCCCAUGGAAAGGCCACCAUUAGGAGGAGAGGGCUAUCAACGAGAUGGAGCUAGUUCUCGAUUCACCCAUUUGACUAUUUUCAAUAAAGUUGGAUUUUAUACUUACUUUUAAUUAAAUGGAAUUUGAUUUUAUAUUCUAUUUGGAAUUGAUUAUUUCGAUUCCUUUUUCAUUAUACGCGAUUCUAUAUUUUCUUUAAGUUGUGGAUUUGGGUUCACUUCCUUACGACAUUGGAAUUUUAAUAUACUUUUAUUUGGUUUGAUUAAGUUACGAUGUUUUCCGAAUUUUCAUGGCACACUCGAUUGUGAGUUUAUCAUAUUUUUAUACGGGUACUAGCUUUGUAAGUUAAAAAUUAGAUUUGAGAAAAAUAAAUAAUCGUGCUCUUGUGUGUUUCCCUUCUAGUCGGUGGUGGUUGUUGUCUCCUCACUAAGUCCUUGUGGCUUACUCUUUCUUUUCUAUUGUUUUUCAGAUUCCCGAGCAGCUGAGUAGGAAGCUGCAAGUAGAUCCGAAGUCCAUCAUUUCUAUUUUUGGUAGGCCUCCUUGAUGGAUGGCUUUUUAUUUAUGUAAAUAUUCAGUCAAUGUAUCUGCAGCUAUAUGGAGUUAGAGUGCCUCAUUUUGAGUUGUAAAGUUAUGUAAAAAUUGUCUUUUUGAGCUUCUGGAUGAUGUGACAGGUUUAUGGACAGGAUUCAUAUCUUGGUAACGUUAAAAAUACAAGGGAUACUCUGUCCAAAUUUUUGUAAAUAUUAUUUUGAUGAAAAAAAUGGAUAUCUGUAAAUUAUUUAUGUCAUUUGUCGAGUUUGGUCGUUAGGCUUGCCGGACUAAAAUGUACAAGUCUGUGCGCCGGUCACGAUUUUGUGCUUGGGUCGUGACAAAGUUGGUAUCAGAGCCCGGUUUUAGGUCCAAAUAGCUGCAGACAUAGAGUGAUAAUAGAUUUUUGCUAGUAAAUUGUGAACCGCGGCACCAUUUACUCGCAAAAAGCUAUUAGAACUCUAUGGUAGUCUCAUUUGUUGUCCGAAUUUGUGUCUUUGAUUCAUGUGGUCUUUGAUUGGUGUCACUUUCCUCGUUGUCUGCUUCUUUUUCUGAUCAAUGUUACUUUCUUAGGUGAGGAUGCCACCCAGGAAUAGGAACCGUCCUAGAAGGGAAGUUGUUGAUGAGUCAAAUGCACCACCUCAAGGCACUCGUCAUAGAGGUCGAGGCCGUGCUCGAGGUGGACGUGGGGUUAACGUUAGGGGACGUGGAGUUAAUGCAGGCAGGCAUGCCUUUGAUGAAGAGUUAUUCGAUGUUGAGGUUCCUAGAAGAAGACGUGGAAAUCCAGUUGUGGAAAAUGCUAACCUACAGGGUUUACAACAGGUUGUACAACAACUUGUUGAAAUUGUUGCUGGGCAGCAACAAGGAAACCAAACACAUGAAAAUUUAGAAGGUCAACAAGAAGUUAGACAGGUUGAUCAGGUGGUGGUAGCUCCAACAAGGGGAAUUGAGGUUACUUUAGCAGAAUUUUUGAAACUUAAACCACCUACUUUUUCCGGGUCUAGUGUGAGUGAAGAUCCACAACGAUUCAUUGAUGGACUAGAGAGGUUAUGGAGAGCAUUGGGAUGUUCAGAUGUAAGGGCAGUGGAAUUGACAUCUUAUCAGUUGGAAGGUGUGGCACAUGACUGGUUUGACACAGUGACACAUGGAAGACAAAUGGGAUCAUCUCCCAUGGCAUGGAAAGAAUUUUCUAAAUUAUUCAUGGCUCGUUUUCUUCCUCAAAGUGUUAGAGAUCAAUUAGCUCAUGAGUUUGAGAUAUUCGAGCAAACGGAGGGAAUGUCGGUUUCAGAGUAUAGUGCCCGUUUCACACAGCUUUCUAGGUAUGCUGCCUACUGUGUCACGGAAGAGAUGCGUAUCAAGAAGUUCAUCAGAGGGUUAAGGGAAUACAUAUUCAGAUCAGUGGUCGGUUCUAAUUGUCAGACUUUUGCAGACGUUUUAAGUUUGGCACUUCAGAUUGAGCAGCGACAGAAGGAUAAAGGAGGUACUAGACAAGAUCCUCGCAAGAAACAACGAGUGGAAGGAUCUCACAGUAAUUAUUCUAAUCGUGGGGGUGGAUCUAUGUUUGGAUAUCAGGGGCAACAAAAAUCAGUAUCACAGAAGGGUGGUUUUAGUGGACAAUCAUCUGGUACAGUGCAAAGUCAUAGGUCGGGUCACAGGGGAUCCACGGGGUCUACUUUUCCUCAUAGGCAUUCUAGUGGUACAACCAGAGCUUGUUCUGUUUGUGGUAGAUUUCAUUCUGGAACUUGUUUUAAUGAUGACAGAGAGUGCUUUCAAUGUGGUCAAAAGGGUCACAUUAAGAAGAAUUGUCCUAUACCUACAACACAACCAUCAUCUAGUCGUGCAUCAGCACCUGUAGCUUUAGCAUCUUCUCAUUCCCCUUCUGCACCUGUGAGACAAGAGGGAAAUUCUUUUGUUCGGGGUUCAGGAGCAUCUCAACAUGGAGGUAGAGGACCUGGAGGUAGAGGUCAGUCACAAGUAGGGAGAGGUCAUGCUCGGGUUUUUGCUUUGACCCGACAAGAUGCUCAGGCAUCUAAUGCAGUGGUUACAGGUACACUUUCUGUUUGUUCCCAAGAUGCACAUGUUUUGUUUGACCCUGGCGCUACAUAUUCUUUUGUAUCAUUAUACUUUGCUCCUCGACUUGGUAAAAGUUCAUCUUUUCUAGAUGAGACCUUAGUUGUGACUACACCUGUUGGUAAUAAUGUGCUAGCAAAGUCUGUGUAUUAUUCAUGUGAUGUAUCUAUUGAGGGCAAAGUAUUACCUGCGGAUCUAGUGGUCCUUAAUAUGGUAGAUUUUGAUGUGAUUCUGGGUAUGGAUUGGUUGUCUUUACAUCAUGCCACCGUAGACUGUCAUAAUAAAGUUGUGAAAUUUAAACCACCUGGGGAAGCAACCUUCUCGUUUCAAGGAGAACGCAGUUGGGUACCAAAUAAUUUAAUCUCAUCAUUGAGAGCUAACAAACUUCUAAGUAGAGGUUGUCAAGGGUACUUAGCAUUGGUUAGGGAUGUUCAAGCGGGUGAAGAAAAGUUAGAAAAUGUUCCCAUAGUGUGUGAGUUUUCAGAUGUUUUCCCAGAAGAACUUCCUGGAAUACCACCUGAUAGGGAAAUUGAGUUCUCUAUAGACUUAAUUCCUGGCACUCAACCUAUAUCUAUACCUCCUUACCGAAUGGCCCCGGCAGAAUUGAAGGAGUUAAGGGAGCAACUACAAGAUCUUCUUGACAAGGGUUUUAUUCGUGCUAGUACUUCUCCGUGGGGUGCACCAGUAUUAUUUGUGAAGAAGAAAGAUGGAUCCAUGCGAUUAUGCGUAGACUAUAGACAGCUGAACAAGGUGACAAUAAAGAAUAAAUAUCCUUUACCCCGUAUUGACGAGUUGUUUGACCAACUUCAAGGAGCCCAAUGUUUUUCUAAGAUUGACUUACGGUCUGGGUAUCACCAAUUGAAGAUUAAGAGUGAGGAUAUAUCAAAGACAGCUUUUCGCACUCGUUAUGGACAUUAUGAAUUUCUUGUUAUGUCUUUUGGGCUUACAAAUGCUCCAGCAGCUUUUAUGGAUUUGAUGAACCGUGUUUUUAAACCAUUCUUGGAUCGGUUUGUGAUUGUUUUUAUUGAUGACAUCCUUAUUUAUUCCAAGAGUAGAGAGGAGCACGAGCAACAUCUCAGGUUGGUUUUGCAAACUUUAAGGGAGAAGCAAUUGUAUGCCAAAUUCUCUAAAUGUGAAUUUUGGUUGGAGAGUGUGGCGUUUCUAGGACAUAUUGUGUCAAAGAAUGGGAUAAGUGUUGACCCUAGCAAGGUUGAGGCAGUGCAGAAUUGGCCCAGGCCCACUUCAGUGAAGGAGAUUCGAAGUUUUCUUGGUUUAGCUGGCUAUUAUCGUCGUUUUGUGAAGGAUUUUUCCAAACUUGCGUUCCCAUUGACUAGAUUGACCCAAAAGAAAGUUGAGUUUAAAUGGACUGAUGCAUGUGAAGAAAGCUUUCAAAAGUUAAAGGAAUGUUUGAUUUCAGCACCUAUUUUGGCAUUACCAACGAGUGGUGGAGGUUAUGUUGUUUAUUGUGAUGCUUCUAGAGUUGGUCUUGGUUGUGUUCUUAUGCAGCAUGGUAAAGUUAUCGCCUAUGCAUCUAGACAACUUAAAAGGCAUGAGCAGAAUUAUCCUACACAUGAUUUAGAGAUGGCAGCAGUGAUUUUCGCUCUUAAAAUUUGGAGGCAUUACCUAUAUGGAGAGACUUGUGAGAUUUACACCGAUCACAAGAGUCUUAAGUAUAUUUUUGAGCAGCGCGAUUUGAAUCUAAGACAGAGAAGAUGGAUGGAGCUCUUGAAAGAUUAUGACUGUACGAUCUUAUAUCACCCUGGUAAAGCAAAUGUUGUUGCGGAUGCUUUAAGUAGGAAGUCCAUGGGUAGUCUUGCUCAUUUGACAGCAAUUAAGAGGCCAAUUGUUAAAGAGUUUCAAGAAAUUGUUGAAAGUGGAGUUCAAUUUGAGAUUGAUCAUUCAAGGACAUUGUUAGCCCACAUGAAAUUUCGUUCUACCUUAAUUGAUGAUAUCAAACAAGCUCAAAGUCAAGAUUCGGAGUUGAUGAAGAUGGUGGAUAAUGUGCGAAAUGGUAAAGUUUCAAACUUCUCAGUUGACUCCGAGGGUGUUUUGUGGUUGAAGUCUCGAAUUUGUGUCCCAAAUGUUGAUGAUUUAAGGAGGAAAAUCUUAGAGGAGGCUCAUCAUUCUUCUUAUACUAUUCAUCCAGGUUCUAAUAAGAUGUAUCAAGAUUUACGAGAAUUUUAUUGGUGGGAAGGAAUGAAGAGAGAUGUAGCGAAUUUUGUCUCUAAAUGUUUAGUGUGCCAGCAAGUGAAGGCUGAACACCAGAAGCCUGCGGGUUUACUUCAACCUAUUGAAAUACCUAAAUGGAAGUGGGAAGGCAUUGCUAUGGAUUUUGUUACAGGUUUGCCACGGACUCAGAAAGGUUUUGACUCUGUAUGGGUGAUUAUAGACCGUUUGACAAAGUCUGCACAUUUCUUACCUGUGAAGACUACCUAUACUGCUUCUCAGUAUGCUAAGAUUUAUUUAGAGGAGAUUGUUUCUUUGCAUGGUGUACCAAUUUCUAUUAUCUCUGAUCGUGGGGCUCAAUUUACCGCUCAAUUUUGGAAGUCUUUUCAAGCGGCAUUAGGAACUCGUUUGAAUCUUAGUACAGCUUUUCAUCCUCAAACUGAUGGUCAAUCUGAGAGAACUAUACAAAUUUUAGAGGAUAUGCUUCGUGCUUGUGUUCUUGAUCUUGGAGGAAGUUGGGAUCGAUACUUACCGAUGAUGGAAUUUGCAUACAAUAAUAGUUACCAAUCAAGUAUCCAAAUGGCACCUUUUGAGGCAUUGUAUGGUAGGCGAUGUAGGUCUCCUAUAGGAUGGUUUGAAGUUGGAGAAGCUAAGCUAGUGGGUCCCGAGUUGAUUCAGGAUGCCAUUGAUAAGGUUAAGUUGAUUCGAGAUCGUUUAGUAACUGCUCAGAGUAGGCAAAAAUCUUAUUCUGACAAGAGGCGACGUCCCUUAGAGUUCACAGUGGGGGAACAUGUAUUUUUACGUGUUUCGCCUAUGAAGGGCGUUUUGCGGUUUGGAAAAAAGGGCAAGCUAACUCCAAGAUUCAUUGGGCCGUUUGAGAUUUUGGAGAGAGUCGGACCUGUAGCUUAUCGAUUAGCACUUCCACCAGAUCUCUCACGAGUUCAUCCGGUCUUUCAUAUUUCUAUGCUUCGGAAAUACAUUUAUGACCCUUCUCAUGUGAUUAGUCAUAAAGAUGUGCAAUUGGAUGAAAAUCUGUCAUACACCGAACAUCCGGUAGCUUUAGUUGAUAAGGGAGUGAGACGUUUACGCUCAAAAGAUAUUGUGUCAGUGAAAGUUCUUUGGAAAGGUCCGUCGGGUGAAGAAACCACUUGGGAACCCGAAGAAACUAUACGUGGCAAGUAUCCACACUUAUUUGAAAAUCAAGGUUAGUAGUGUUUGCGAUGUAGCAAAAUUCGAGGACGAAUUUUCUUAAGGGGGGAAGACUGAAACACACCGCUUCAUUAAAAUAAUAAUAAUAAUAAUAAUAAUAAUAAUAAUAAUAAUAAAAUAUAUAUAGAAGUUACUAGACACACGUGGAAAAAAAAAAGAAAAAGAAAAGCAUAACACUUCCCUCAUUCUUUCUUUUCCUCCCGUAGCUCUCUCAGUUCUCACUUUUCUUUCCAUUUUGCUUCUUUCCUUUCCAUAAUCAACCAAUUCCACACACUAAUCAAACACCCAUAAGAGAAAUUAUUCACCAAAGUAAAACAAUUUCAUAUUACAAGUUAAUUUGGGUUUGAUUUUGGAGAUUGGGGUUAGGGUUCUGAGAAGAAAAAUACCCAUUUUGUGAAGGUUGCUCAUUGAGACUUUUUAAGGUAUAUUUAUCAACUUAUAUUUCAAUUAAUGCAUAUUUAGACAUGAUUAGUGAGUUAGAAAUUAAUUUGAGAGUAAAGUAUAAAAGAUUUCAACAUAUAAAUAUGACAUGGACUUUCAUUUACUUUGAAUGGUUAUAUAUAUAAUUUAAGCAAUGUAGGCACAUUGCUUCUGCUAUUCGUUCCUUGUAGAAUAAGCAUUUGUGUCAUAUUCGAUCUAAAACAAAAGUUGGGAAUAAAUUAAUAAAUUCUGGAAGCCUAUAUGUUAUCAAUAAUGCGAUAAUACAUAUUCAACUUGCAUUUCAUGGUCAUCUAGUGCUACUAAAGUUCUGGAAUGAGUUUCUAAUAUAUGUGAAAACAUUAUUAAUGCUCAGAUACGAUGCCGGAUGCUUCACAUGCUUCUCCCGGGAUGGUUGGAGAGCACGCUUAGUUGAUUCAUCGUAACAGUGAGUUGAUGACGAUCAUUAUUGCUUAUUUUCAAUAUCGUUAUUAUUGAUAUUUUUAUGAUUUUAUAUGUUAAAAGUAUUUACAAAAAUGGGGAACACACCCUUCGAAUAUUUUUCUCGUUUUUGACACAUUUUUAAAAGUCAUUGAUAUUAUUGUGGUCACUAUUUGGAUGUUAUCUGUAACUUCUAAGCAAAGGAUUGCAAAUUGAAAUUUGAUUGUGUACGUUUGACACAAGUUUGAUGUUUUACAAAAUCAUGGUUUUUAAACCUAUGUGUUCGAGAAAAAUGAUUAUCAUUAUGACGACCUAGGUGCACCUAGUAUGUGUUUUCAAUUAGGUAGAGUUACCCCAUUAGAUGGAGCCGCCCCUAUGGAAAGGCCGCCAUUAGGAGGAGAGGGCUAUCAAUGAGUGGUAAACUCUAAUUGAAAAUGUUUUACACUUUGUUUUGAGUCGAGAGAAAAGAGCUAUCCGUUAGAUGGAGCCGCCCCAUGGAAAGGCCACCAUUAGGAGGAGAGGGCUAUCAACGAGAUGGAGCUAGUUCUCGAUUCACCCAUUUGACUAUUUUCAAUAAAGUUGGAUUUUAUACUUACUUUUAAUUAAAUGGAAUUUGAUUUUAUAUUCUAUUUGGAAUUGAUUAUUUCGAUUCCUUUUUCAUUAUACGCGAUUCUAUAUUUUCUUUAAGUUGUGGAUUUGAGUUCACUUCCUUACGACAUUGGAAUUUUAAUAUACUUUUAUUUGGUUUGAUUAAGUUAAGAUGUUUUCCGAAUUUUCAUGGCACACUCGAUUGUGAGUUUAUCAUAUUUUUAUACGGGUACUAGCUUUGUAAGUUAAAAAUUAGAUUUGAGAAAAAUAAAUAAUCGUGCUCUUGUGUGUUUCCCUUCUAGUCGGUGGUGGUUGUUGUCUCCUCACUAAGUCCUUGUGGCUUACUCUUUCUUUUCUAUUGUUUUUCAGAUUCCCGAGCAGCUGAGUAGGAAGCUGCAAGUAGAUCCGAAGUCCAUCAUUUCUAUUUUUGGUAGGCCUCCUUGAUGGAUGGCUUUUUAUUUAUGUAAAUAUUCAGUCAAUGUAUCUGCAGCUAUAUGGAGUUAGAGUGCCUCAUUUUGAGUUGUAAAGUUAUGUAAAAAUUGUCUUUUUGAGCUUCUGGAUGAUGUGACAGGUUUAUGGACAGGAUUCAUAUCUUGGUAACGUUAAAAAUACAAGGGAUACUCUGUCCAAAUUUUUGUAAAUAUUAUUUUGAUGAAAAAAAUGGAUAUCUGUAAAUUAUUUAUGUCAUUUGUCGAGUUUGGUCGUUAGGCUUGCCGGACUAAAAUGUACAAGUCUGUGCGCCGGUCACGAUUUUGUGCUUGGGUCGUGACAUAUACUAGCAAAGUUUCAUCCACAAAUUUUACUUGUGUAAACUUUUCAGGUAACUAUUGUCACUUCGUUUAUCUAAAAAAAAAAUACAUAAAAAUUGAUUAAUAAAUAACUCAUUAAGCUUGAUCCCAAAAAAAUAAACACAUUUGCGCAAAUCUAUUACCCCAAAUCAUAUUGAUGAACAAUAAGCUUAUUAACUUUUACCCUUUAAUAAUUUCAUAGCACCCACCCAUCACUCUGCCCCCUGUCAUAUAUGCACAUGGCAGUAGGCAUGUCACAAAUUUUGGCAUCUUUUUCAUAACAAUAAAAGAAGCUCCAUUACACCAUGAGGAUACAUUUUGGUUACUUCUAACCAAAGAAAAACAAAAAGGAAAAUUUUGCAUUUCAAAUAUCAUCAAAUGACAUGUUAAUUGAGUCUCACAUUUGAUUUAACUUGUGCUUCCAACAGUAGUAGUAUCAACAGGACCCGGAUUCCGUGCAUUAAUAAAAGUCCAUAGUUUCAACUUUCAUGCAAUCGUUAAACUCCACCCUUUGUGAUCGAAUGGUUCAGAUUACAGAUACACGAAUUCGGUUUUCAACCAUCUCAACCGUAGAUUUAAAUCAGACUAAAUUGGUGCAGUUACUACUGGGAAUCCAUUUCCAUAUCAACUCCAUGAAAAACACUAAUAAAUAGACUAAAAGAAUUAUCCCACAUCAUGUACAACUAAAGAUUCCAAUGACUUCCGUUUCCAUCACAAACCAAAACAAAGAAACCAAAAGCCUAACAUUACAUCAUAUAUUGGUUGUUCUAAAUUACAUCCUUGACCAUGGUUAACAAUUUGGAGAGGGAAGGGAAAAGACAAGAAUGCCCCACAAAAUAAAAACUUCUCAAUUCAUUAUGCAGGAAUGUGAAAGUGCACAACUCUUUCCAUAUCAUCUUUAAAAUUUUGAUAAUGAAAAGCAUCAUGGAUGCAAAGGUAGUGCCUUUCCCUUUCAAUGAUUAACCUAAUCAACUUAGGGUAAUAUUGACAUCAUCACCAAGUGUGAAAAAAUCGAAGAAUACUUCAAGAUGAUAUCGGUUCGUAAGGGUAUGAUAACCAGGGGUGCUUUAGAGCUUCAGAUGCAGAAGGUCGCUUCUUCGGGUUAACCUCGAGCAAAUGAGAAACGAAGUCAAUGAAGCCUUGGUCCCCCAUCGGUAAUCUAUGCCUCAGAUGUCUUCUUUAGAAUCAGGUAUUCUAAUAUGUUGCUUUCCUGCAUAUCAAUACCCAAUACCUCACUGAAUAAUUUUUCCAUGAUAAUUAAAGAUACAAUGCAUGUUUUAUAUGAGCAUGUUUGGAUUGGGUUAUUUGAGCCUAUUAUCAACUCGCAUAAGUACUUGUGAGACUAUUUGAGAGAAUUUAUGGAAACAACUUAUGACAUGUUCAUAAGCUAUUUUCAAGUAAUUUCCGUAAACUCUCUAGGAUUGCAAAUGAAAUCAGCUUACAGCUUAUAUGAAAAUAAUUUGACUUUAUUUUAUCUUCUAUUAUAGAAAAUAACAUAUAUAAACACUUAUAUGAGAAGUGUCUAUGUUGUAAGCUUAAUUAAGUUGUUUAUCCAAACAUGAUACAAGCGAAUGAAAAUAAUCAAUUUUAGAAAUUUUAGGGAGCUAUCUCUUGAUUUGCUUUUUGAAGGCGAUGCAAAUGAAAAGAUAUCGAAAAUUUUAAAAUUGUUCGAUGAUGCAUUUCAUAUGCAAAUACAUUUUAGAAAUGAAUUUCUUACCUGAUUCCUCUCAUAAAGCAUAUGAUUUUUUGUGAAGUACUUAUAAGUAUCUCGUCCUUUUGCUAGCAUACUUUGACCAAUUGGACCGAUGAUCCCAAUUACCCUAGCUAGUAAUGUGGCCGAGGAAUCGUUUUGGAAUAAGACCUACAAUAAGCAUAGUUGAGUUCAUUAAGAAUCAAGAUUCAUGAGUGUAUUCACUAAAAUGGAUACAGAUUUGACAUCCGCUUUCACCCAAAAAUGUAAAAAAUCCUACAACUGCAAGAACACGUAACUUAAAAGAAAUUCACAGUACCUAAUAUGUCACAAAUCAUUUUCACGUCUAAAGAUACAGGGCGACUUGUUCUGUUCUAUUCUCUAUGUAGUUCCACUAAGACAACAGAAACUCACUAGCAUUGUCAAUCGUAGAUUGCAAAAAAUAUUGGUUUGUUCCGAUUCUGCUACACAGUAGUUCAAUAGUGCCACUAGAGCAACUAUUUGACAAUAUUUUGUACUAUAUAAUGCGUAAUACAGAAUAAUAAUGAUUUGUUCAAAUUCUGCUACGUUAUAGCCGCUAUUUAACAACACCCAAAUCAUUUUCAAAUUUAAAAUAUACUUCAUCAGUUUAUUUCAGGUACUGUUUGGAACACGAAUAGAAUUAAAUGGGACGGCUUAUUUAUUCUUCAACAAUUUUUCUGUUCUAUUUUUUAUUUGCUUCGAAAACGUAGAAUAUAAAUUAUUCUAUCCUAUUCUAAACUGACUACCUAAAACUUCCUUAAGACUAAUAGUGAUACAAUACAACAUAACAGAGCAAAUACGACUUACACAAAUUGGCAUCUAAACAAUGCCAUCACCGGGGGAAAAACACGAAUCAAGGAUCAUGCAGUAAAUUUUUCUGUUCUAUUUUUUAUUUGUGAAGAUUGCUUCAGAAACAGCAGAAAAUAGAUAAGACUUUGCCUUUGAUUUUCGCUGCUUUCUCUCCUUAUGAUUUUUGAUUUGUGCAAUUGUUGGAUUGUCUGGUAAUGGCUCAAUCUCAUAAUCAUCCUCAACAGCCUCCCAAAGAUCAUGAGGGUCAAGAUAAGCCUCCAUUUUGGUUGCCCAAAGGUGAUAGUUCUCACCCUCAAAGAUUGGCAAUUUUAUGGCUGAGUUAUCGGAGUGCAUUUUCAACUCUUUGGUAAGUGUUUGGGUGUUUAGUGGAACUCUCAACCUCACCAGGUCCCUCAAGAACAAGAGUGCUCUUGAUACCACUGUUGGAAUUUAGAAAAGAAAUUAAGCAGAUUUAUGAGUUCUGAAAACUGAAACACACAAAUUUCAUUCCUUCUAACAACCUUUAAAUACAAGAAAUUCAUAAUCAGAAAUAAACAAAAGAAAAACUGCCUAUAAAUUUGUAACAGACAACAUAAAUCUAUAACCUCCCAUAAUUCCUAUAAUUAAAAUCAUAACAGUCAUAACCAUAAAUACUACAACAAACUCUAAUAAUAGGUUCUGAUCCAUAUUCUCAACAGAAACUCCCACUUCCACCAAUCUUUGCUUUUUAAGAUAAGGAUCUGUGAAUACCACAUUCUCCUCCUCCGUGUUGCUUUUCUCAUUCCACACGUGGAUUCCCAUUUGUGCAUAAACACUAUUCUCGUGAUCCUUCGACCUAAACUCCACAUGGAUCCAUUCACUUUUCAAAAGUCCUUUGUCCAUAUUAUACAUGUGUUGUCCUUUACAGAGUUCUUCCAAUUUCAUAUCAAACAAAGUUAUAUGGUCCGGGAACAAACGUUGAGAGCGAUAACAACCUAUCUCAAUUUCAUAUCCAUUCACAUAUAAACUGAAAUUUGAGGCCCAACGGCGUUCCGGAAGAAUAAAAAUACAAGAUAUAGAAGGGAUUUCUUUAUGAAACCAAAAAGAAAUUGUGUCUCCCCUGCUUUGGUGCUCAAACCAAUCUGGUAUCCCCAGCUCUGUUCCGUUUGGGAAAUCAAAACGAGUGCAUCGAGCCUCAUGUAGUUGCUGUUAGUAUGUAUGAAAUACAAAUAUAUAUAUUACACACUGUCAAAUAUAAAUAUAUAUGAAAUACAAUAAAAGAUGUCAAAUACUAUAGUGCAAUAAAAAACAACAACAAACCUGACUCAUUAACAUUCUUCUACAUGAUGAACUCAAUGAUUUGCAUUCAUAAGCAUAGAGACUUCCAAGAUUUGGUGGAAUCCCUCUAAUUUCCUCAAGGGACUUGCAGUACCUCACAAUAAUUUCCACAAGAUGGUGACUUUCACUAAGGCACUCUGGAAGAAUUUUGAAAUCGCUAUAUGAUAAAUCUAGAUAUGUCAUAUUAACACACCACUUGAGAAGUAUUGGGAGACAUUCAUCUGAGAGGUAGCAAUCGAAGAGAGAAAGCUUUGUCAUAUUUGAAAACACUAUUGAAUACAUCUUAUCAUUAUGUUCUGGGAACCUCAGGAUUCCAUAUGACACUGUGAACUCAUCAAGUUCACUGAGAUUUUGAAAUGAAAAUGGCAGUUUUCCUAUGGAAAUAUAAAAUAUAUCAAUCUCUUUUAUAUGUGCCAUCUUGCAUAAUAAUUCUGGAAAAUUUUCGAGACACGAGCCACCCAUGAGAUUAAGUUCCUUAAGAGAUGCCAAACCUAAAGGUGGAAAAUGUUUGAGCUUUCUGUAACCAGUUACACUUAACCUUUCAAGUUUACUUAGGUGUCCAAUCGAAUUGUGAAUUGUAAUUAAAUUCUUACAAUGUUCAAACGAUAACUUUUCUAAAUUUGAAAGGCUUGAGACAUCGGGUAUAUGUGUUAAAUAUUCACAAUCGUCCAAUGUCAAGAUUUUCAUAUUCUGGAACUUCUGCAUAAACACAAGAAAGAAACAAUAAAUAAACUAAAAAUCAAAGACUAAUAUUACUUUCAUACUGAUUUCUUUUGUUGACGGAAACAAAAUAACUGAAGUUAUUUCACUUGCCUUGUUUAAAAUACUAGUUGACAGACACUUCGAUAAACAUCCCUUCCAUUUCAAUACACUCAAACUUCUUGGUAGAUGCUUGAGACCUUCAGAAAAAUGGCCAUUUUCAAUGAUAACUGUUUUGAGUUUUGUCAUCUUCUUGAAGGCCUUUCCUUUCUUGUCUAUCACGGAUUCCAUGGAGUGGAGAUUCAUAUAUAUCAUUUCAAUUUUACUAGUUCCCUUUUAACAAAGAUAAAAACAUGAAUCAACCACAAUAAAAAUAAGAUAUAGAAAUAUUAACAUGUAAUUGAGUGAAAAGAAAUGCUAGUAUCAGAUGAUCAUAUUUAGUGCAAAUAGAGCAAAGUCGUAUUAAAACUAAAUAACAAAAUGAUCAUAGAUAUCAAUCUUACUCACAGUGUUUUCUCUUAAAACCCGAGUUAUAUCAUCCUGACAGCAUAACCUACUUCUUUCUCCAGGCUCUUUAGUUGAUUCUUGUCGGACGACUUCUUUACCCAUGUCCUCUAUCAAGUCAUGUAAUGUCACACAACCAUAUUCCCUAUAUUGGUUUAUGAGAGAUUUUUCAGCCAACACUGCUAGAUGAUGUGUUAUGGAAUGGCCAUAAUGAGCAUGAAGCAUAUAUUUGGCAUCUUCCCAUCCAUGUCCUUUGAAGCAACAAGCAAUGUCCAGAAAGACACUUUGCUCCUCUUCUUCCAAAGCAUCAUAGCUCACUCUAAGUAUCUUUUGGAUCUCUUUAUUGGGAAUCCUGUCAUACCCAUCUAAUAUAUACUUCCAUUCUUCUAUGUUCUUUCCAAACAAGUUAGAACCCACUAUUUCUAUAACUAACGGAAGGCCAGAAACAUAUGAAACUGCACGACUUAAAAUCUCUUUGUACCUUGAUGGAACAUUGUCACUUUUAAAAGCCAUCCACCUCAACAAUUCAAGAGCUUCUGUCCCAUUCAACCCUUUUACUGCAUACGUUUUUUCUAUCCCAUGAUGGUCUAGUAAGUGUUUAUCUCGGGUGGUGAUGAUGACUCUGCUUCCAGGACCAAACCAAUCGAGUCCUCCAGCCAAAGCCUGUAGCUGAUCCAGUUUGUCAACAUCGUCGAGAAUCAAAAGAAUCUUCUUUCUACAUAGCCUUUCCUUAAUGAUUGGAAUUCCGUCACUAACAUGGUCUAAAUUAAUUUCCGAUCCAGUUGUUUUAAAAAGGAGCUUCUCUUGGAGAUGUUCCAAGUUAUUUUUAGCUGAAUUCAUUCUCACAUUAUGAAGAAAACAUAAACCUUCAAAUUGAUCAGCAACCAAAUUAUAGAUUGCUCUUGCAAGUGUUGAUUUUCCCAAGCCUCCAAUCCCAAAAAUUCCAACCAUAUGGACCCCAUCAUCAGAUCCAUUAUCAAGAAUUGAUUUCACUCUUUGUACUUGAGACUGUAAUCCAACAGGGUAAUUGGCAACAUGUAAGGGCUGACGACUGAUCUUGUUGGAGAUGUAUUUGACUAUCUCUUCAAUAAACUUGUAUUCAUAUCUACUCGUGUCGAGUAAGAAAAGUUAGUAUGAAACAACAUCACAAUCACAUCUAUGUACUCAGAAUAUAUUAUAAAUUUCUAACUAUUUCGACAUAUAAAUAACUAAUACAAAAGGGAAAUAUAGGAUUUAAGUAAAGUUGGGUACCUGGGAGGACUAUCAUGGUAGCCGGACAAGUUAGCAGCCUGGCUCAGAGCCUCUUUCCAUCCCUGCAACCUCUCCAUGUUUUUCGGAUCAUUUUGAAACCUCUUUUCAUGCUCAGCCAAUGCUUUGCCAUAACUACCUUUAUGAUGUCUCACAUUAGUUGGUUCCACACCGAAGAAAACAGGCAAAACGAGGCGACCCUUUGUCUCGUAGCAGUGAAUUAUGUGGACAAGUUCGUCCAAACAAAAUGAAGAAGAUGCAUAGUUGAGAGAAAACACAGGAAUAAAAAUCCUAGAUUCAUCAAUGGCCUUGAGGAGUGAUGGUGUGAUUUCAUCUCCUCUUUGAAGAUCAUUGUCAUCAAUGAAGGUAUGGAUUCCCUUGUCAGUAAGAGCCUUGUAGAGAUUUCCGGUAAAACCGUGCCGAGUGUCAGUGCCCCUAAAACUGAUGAACACUUGGUAAGUGAAUCCAUAGGAAAAUGAAGUGGAUGAGGAAGGUGAUUGUAUAGCCAUGAGAAUUGAGAGAAAUAGGAUGAAAAAGAGUUUGAGAAUGCAGAAUAUGAAUGAGUAAAUUUUGUGUUCUGUGAUGUGAAGUCUUUGAUAAGUAACUUUAUAACAAGGAGAAAAAUGGUCUUUGAAACUUUCCUGACCACUUCCUAUAGCCGUGUGGACCAAUAUCGUUGUACUGCUUUUAUUUUUAUUCAUCUGCUGAAUGUAAUUUUUCACUUUGUUACUUAAUUACUCAGUGUGUUAGAUAAAAAUAAAUUAGGUUAGCAUAGAUAUGAAAUAUUAUAGUUUCUAUUUAUUUUGAAAAUAUUACCACUUGAACCAAAUGGUUAAUUAACCUUGCACACACAAUUAUUCCAGUAUAUAUUUAGAAACUUCCUUCCCAUUUCAUAUGUCUGUAAAGUAACCAUCACAUCCUUCUUCCAUGUAAUUUCUUUAGAGCAAUGUCAAUGUCUUAAUGAAAAGAAAGGAAAAACAAGGCAAAGUUUCAUCCACAAAUAUCUACUUGUGUAAAUACUUAAGAGUUAUUUAUGAGUUUCCAUUGAGAAGAAAUAGAAGCAAGAAGUGUGAAACUUCCUUAGCAUUUCUUAUGUAUAUACGUGUGAACCAAUAACACAAUAAAAUAUAUUUACCAACUCUUUCUUUUUUCUCUUGUCUAUUUCCGCGUGGGUUGUGUUGUCCCAAAAAGACUACCUUAUAAAUUUAAAAUUCAACCCUUUAGGUGUUAGUGUUCUUCUUUCUCCCUAACUUUAAAAUUAACAAUUCCUUUACUUUUUUCUGAUAUCUUUUUGGAUAUUUUUUUUUUAUAUUGCAAUGACGUUCUCCAUAUUUUUUUCUAUUUAUCUAAAAAAGAUAUUAAGGUUUUUUAUUUGGUUAAAGACUAUCACCUAGUGGGUAACUUCCUUCCCAUUUCAUAUCUUCGGUAAAGUAAAAAAGUAUCAUUUUUCCUACAUCAUUCUUCCAUGUAAUUUCUUAAUCCCUCAGCAAGAAUAGAUUUGAUGUGAUCUUAUAAUAAGCAAGAACUAAGAAGUCACAUAAGUGAUCAUAUAAUACUCAUAAUUAUAUGGUUCAAAUUUCUUAGACUUUAAAUAGAUAACUCUAAAUCAAAAUACUCAUUAAAUUAUGGUUUCUAGUUCAAAUUUGCUGAUUGGUCUCUAGUUUUGAAUUUGGAAGGCCCUCUAUAUGUGAGGAAAUUUAUUUGGGUGUAUAUUAAUUGUAUUUUUUACGAACUAUAAUAAAGCUUGUAAAAAAAAAAAUACUUUACCUUCAAAAUUGUGUUCAACGUGGGGAUUAUGGUGAAAAUACUUGACAUAUUUUUGUUACUUUUCUAAUUGCUACAGAGACUUGAAGAGGUUUAGGUGUAUGGAUUUGAUUGAACCAUAUAUUAUGACAGUUGAUGGUAUUGUUAAUUGAUUUUUUACUGUUGCAAACAAAUUGCAUAUGGUAAAAAGCGUAUAGUAUGUGUCUGCCAUCAUCGUAAUCUUGUGUUUGAGUCUCCAAAAUACCGGGUCAAUAUCACAUAAUUGUGAGACUUGAGAGGUCAAAAGUACAAUUAAACCUAAAUCAUAUUGUUUAGUCUUUUGUGUUUGAGUCUCCAUUAUUUCUGAUGUGUUGGAAAAAGAAAGGUUGACUUGAAGUCAACAUCAGAAUGAAGUAAGUAACCAUCACUUUUCCUACAUCCUCCUGCCAUGUAAUUUCCAUAAAGCAAUGUAAAUGUCUUAAAGAAAAAGAAAGGAAAAAAAGGUAAAAGUUUGAGGGAAACAUCAAUAUGAAAGGACCUCAAAAAUCAUAAAGCUUAAAAACAGUACCUAAAGGGAUCAAAACGUCUUGAUUCUUAAUCCCAUUGUAAACUAGUUUGUCAACAACACUCCUAUAAGCAUGGUUGUAAACUUUUUUUUUUACUGGAGCAUGGUCGUAAACUUAAGCAAGUAAAAACAGCAAAUUCCAAAAAUAUUUUAGAAUGCAUCAUAUCUAACACUAGAUCACAUUAUAUCUGACCAAUAGCAGUUCAUUAAGUCGGAUUCUAGAGAACAAAGGUCACGACUCUUGCAAAAGGAUCUCAUAAAUGUUGGUUCUUAGAUUUAGUUCUUUAUCACACAUUACUUCUUCUAGAUCAAAGCGAUCUUUUCUAGUAAGGACAGAGUGGUUUGAGAAAUCCAUCCAACCAUAACCUUUUUGACCUGGUACGCUACAUAAAAUAAUGUCAAAUCAUUUUCAUAUAAGCUAAGUUGCAUUCAAAUAAGCUAUAAGCCGAUUUAAAACAAGUUUCACAAGUGCUUCUAUCAGUUUAUAAGCUCAAAUAAGUCAAUCGAAACAAACCGUAAAUAGUUAAUUAAUUUUCAAAAUCCAUUAAAUGCAUGAUUAGGCCUAACAGCACCAAAUUGACUACAGAAACAGAAAUAAUUAAAAUCAUAACCAAAACCAUUAACUUAAAUUCAAAUUUUAAUUGCUCCAUCCAAUAAACCUCAUAACCAGCCAAAGCUCUACUCUAGCACGCGACUUCCUUGAACGCAAUUCUCUUAUCACACCGAUCACGCUUCCACUUCUUCUUCUUGCUUGUCUACCUCUCCUCUCUCUCCAUUCCAUCGGUGGUAAGAGAUUUUCAUCGAUGUCACGUUACUGAGCCAUAGAGGAACGGAAGAGAAGAUUUUGGUUCGUCGGAGGACGGUGGCACCUUCUUUUGUUCCACCGGAUAAGUAAUUGAUCAUUUAAAAUUUUACAAGCUAUAGCCAUGGAAAACUGGUCAUGACAUGAACUUAAUUUUUGAAAUUAAGAGGAUCAGAGGAAUGUUUUAAUUUGAGGUAAAAAUUCAUUUAAUUGACUUAAAAAACACGCUUUAAAAUGAAAAAUAAGUUCACCAUAUCCCAAAGAAAAGAGGUAACUAUAUUUUUCUCUAGAGCAAUUACUAGCAGCACAGAACCAACCACUGGACCUGAAUAGUGCAAUAGGGAGGCAUAUUCACAAUAUCUUACCACUUCUAAAUAGAUAUGUUUGAUUCAAUGGAAUCCAGACUAUUCUUUGAUAGCCAGUGACAGACAAAUAGACUACUUUUUCAGUUGAAAACUUGAACCAGAGAAUAACAGAAGUUACAUGUAACAGAAAUUACAUAAGUAGCCUAGCAAUGAGUAAGAAAUAUUAGUGAAUUAGCCUAUUUUAAGUAUUAGUUUUACUUAAAAUACGUACGCUAAUUAUCCUGACUUUUAGUGUUUUUGUGCCUUAUAAAAGAAAAACUAAUAUUUCUUGUAUUGAUAUCAAAAGCUAAUAUAUCAACUUUGCUAAGGAUUUAUUAAAGAUUGUUGCAACAUCAUUCAAAUAAUUUAAAAAAUCAACAAUCAUUGAACAAAAAAAGGUUGCAACAUCAAUGUUCCUGAAAUUUGCUUUUUUCAGGACAUAUUUACAAGCAGGUAAAAUGUUCAAAUACAUUAUCCAAAUUGUGUACUAAGAUGGAAAUUCUCAAAGCACUCCAACUGAGCUGCAAAGCAUAUCAUUACUCACUGUCCUUUCGAACAACCAACGGAUUCUGUGCUGUAAGCAACCUCUAGACUUGUCGCAUGACAAUGCAAAUAGCCAGAUGACUACAUGUCGUUUCCUGACAAUGUACAGUCAAAAAACAAGAAAAUACUUAGUUUUGGUUAGAGAAAAGUUGCGUAAAUUACAGACAACAGGCUGAAAUCAUCGGGAAUGGAUUCUCCAUGUUCAACUUUAUGAAUGAUUUUUAGAAACAUCACUUUCUCAUUUUAUGAUAUAAGAUGAAGUUUGUAUCUAAUUUGACCUGUGGGAUAAAAGCUACACGUUUACAUUAACGGUCUUUUUCAAAUAAUCUUUCAUAAAGAUUAUGAUUAAAACCAUUUAUGCUUUCGAAGUAUAAAGAUCUUACUUGUAAAACCAUUCAUCUUGGAUCCAACACAAUUUAUUAGAUGUUGUGUGAAAGUGGCUAACCUUUCAUUAGACCUGAUUGCUUCUGAUGUCUCUGAAGCACCCUUAUGUAAUAGUCAAACAAAAGUUCAAGUUGAUAGCUACGGAUUCUCCAUUCUGCAGGACACAAGCAUUUAUAUAUCACUGUAAGCCUUUUGCGUGCUUAUAAGUUAGUGGAACGUCAACUAUGUAUCAUGUUUCAAUUGCAAUCACGUUAAAUUUAUUCUAAAAUCCAACUACUUUGUUUAGCCUAUUAAUUAUUUCACUCAAAAGGUCCAUUCAAAAUCCCAUAUUAAGAUACAAUAACUCAUGAAGAAUUCAACAUCAAAUGUCAACUUUAUAAGCAUCCCCAAAUGUAAAUAGAAACAAUAUUUUAAGAUUGCACAAACAUAAUCCAGAAAAUCUUAAAUCAUGUAUCAUCAUUUGAAUAACUUCUCCAACUAGAAACAACGAAUUUGUAAUUGACUAUAUACAGAAAUUAAUCAACAUUUGUAAACAGAAAAUCACAAACCUCCAAUGUUGAGAUUGAGAGUUAACUUUAUGAUGGAGCUAGACCAAGGAAUGUACCCCACAUCAUUCUUUCAUCUUGUGCAUUGUUUAAAAUUUCAAUCUCAUCCCCAUGCGUGUUGCUUUUUGAUGCACCUAGACUAAGGAAUGUACCCCAUGUCUUUUUUUGUUCCUCUUUCUUUAAAUCCUGUUGUUGCAAUGAAGCAUUGAUAUCCUCCUCUUCCUCUGUCUCUGAAACUCCCAUUUCCACCGAUCUUUGCUUUUUUAGAGGAGGCACAAAUUGUGAUAAUGAAGUAUUAUUGCUAUAAGGGUUGAGAUAUUCAUCUAAUUUCAUCUUUCGAAUAUAAGGAUCGAUGAAUACCACAUUCUCCUCCUCCGUGUUGCACUCAGGAAGAAUUUUGAAAUUGUUGUACAUUAAGUCUAGAGAUGUCAUAUUAACACACCACUUGAGAAGUAUUGGGAGACAUUCAUCUGAGAGGUUGCAAUGGCAGAGAGUAAGUUGUGUCACAUUUAAAAACACUAUUGAAUACAUCUUAUCAUUCUGUUUUGGGAACCUCAGCAUUCCAUUUACCACUGAUAACUCAUCAAGUUCACUGAGAUUUUGAAAUGAAAAUGGCAGUUCUCCUAUAGAAGUAUGCUGCAACCAAAUAUUAUCUAUAUUUGUCAUCUUGCAUAAUAAUUCUGGAAAACUAUCGAGACUCUCACAAUAACGGAGAUUCAAUUCUUUAAGAGAUGCUAACCCUAAAGGUGGAAAACGUUUGAACUCCCUGCAACCAAAUGCACUUAACCUUUCAAGUUUAUUUAGGUGGCCAAUCGAAUUGUGAAUCGUAAUUAAAUUAUCACAAUAUUCAAACGAUAACUUUUCUAAAUUUGAAAGGCCUGAGACAUCGGGUAUAUGUGUUAAAUAUUUACAAUGGUCCAAUGUCAAGACUGUCAUAUCCGGGAACUUCUGCAUAAACACAAAGGAAGAAACUAUAAAUAAAUUAAAAAGCAAACACUAUACUUUCAUAGUGAUUUCUUUUAUGUUGUCGAAAAAGAAAUCAUUGUACAUUAUAAAUAUAUACAGUUAUAAAAUGAAGUUAUUUCACUUGCCUUGCUUAAAAUACUAGACGAUAGAGACUUUGAUAAACAUCCUUCCCAUUUCAAUGCUUUCAAACUGCUUGGAAGAUACUUGAGACCUUUAGAACAAUGGCCAUUUUCAAUGAUAAGUGUUUUCAAUCUUGUCAUCUUCUUGAAGGCCAUUCCUUUUUGGUCUAUUAUGGAUUCCAUGGAGUGAAAAUUCAUAUACAUCAUUUGAAUUUUACUAGUUCCCUUUUAUAAAAAAUAAAAAUAAAUAAAUAAAUAAAUAACAUGAAUCAGCCACAACAAAUAUAAGAUAUAGAGAAACUUACUUCGAAUUAAGUAAUAAAAAAUACUAGUAUGAGAUGGUCAUAUUUAGUCCAAAAAGAGCAAAGUCAUAUUAAAACUAAAUAACAAAAUGAUCAUAGAUAUCAAUCUUACUCACAGUGUUUUCUUUUAAGACAUUAACUAUAUCAUCAUGGCAGCAUAACCUACUUCUUUCUCCAGGCUCUUUAAUUGAUUCUUGUCGGACGACUUCUUUACCCAUAUCCUCUAUCAAGUUAUGUAAUGUCACAUAACAAUAAUUUGUGUCUAUGAGUGACUUUUCAGCCAACACUCGUAGAUGAUGUGUUAUACAAUGGUCAUAAUGAGAAUGAAGUAUAUUUUCAACCUCUGUCAAUCUAUACCCUUUUAAGCAACAAGCAAUGUCAAGAAAGACACUCUGCUCCUCUUCUUCCAAAGCAUCAUAGCUCACUCUAAGUAUCUUUUGGAUCUCUUUAUUGGGAAUCCUGUCAUACCCAUCUAAUGUAUUCUUCCAUUCUUCUAUGUUCUUGCCAAACAAGUUAGAACCCAUUACUUCUAAAACUAACGGAAGGCCAGAAGCAUAUGCAACUGCACGGUUUAAAAUGUCUUCAUAACCUGAAGGAACGUUGUCAUUUUUAAAAGCCAUCCACCUCAACAAUUCAAGAGCAUCUAUCCCAUUCAACCCUUCUACUGGAUAUGUUUUUUCUAUCCUAUGAGAGGCUAGUAAGUGUUUAUUUCGAGUGGUGAUGAUAACUCUGCUUCCAGGGCCAAACCAAUCAACACUACUAAAAAAACAAAAAUUAGUGAGGGAAAUUUUGUGAGGGAAAACGUGAAAUCCCUCUCUAAUUCCGUCACUAAAUUUUGCGACCAUGGAAUUUGUGAGGAAUUUCAUUUUUUCCGUAACUAAUUUUGCUUUUUCUACUAGUGCAAGUCCCCCAGCCAAAGCAUGCAGUUGCUUCCUAUCGUCAACAUCAUCGAGAAUCAAAAGAAUCUUCUUUCUACACAGCCUUUCCUUUAUGAAUGGAAUCCCCUCACAAACAUGAUCUAACUUUAUUUUCGAUCCAGUUGUUUUUAGAAGAAGCUUCUCUUGGAGAUGUUUCAAGUCAUUUUGAGCUGAAUUCUCUCUCACAUCAUGAAGAAAACAUAAACCUUCAAAUUGAUCAGCAACAAAAUUAUAAAUUGCUCUUGCAAGUGUUGAUUUACCCAAGCCUCCAAUGCCAAAAAUUCCAACCAUAUGGACCCCAUCAUCAGGUCCCUCAUCAAGAAGUGAUUUCACUUGUUGUACUCGAGACUGCAAUCCAACAGGGUAAGUGGCAACAUGUAAGGGAUGUCGACUGAUCUUGUUGGAGAUGUAUUUGACUAUCUUUCCAAUAAGCUUGUAUUCAUAUCUAUUCAUGUGCAAUAAGAUAAGUUAGUGUCUAACAACAUCCCAAUCACAUCCAUGUACUAAGAAUGUAUUAUUCAUUUCUAACUAUUUCGACAUAUAAAUAACUAAUAGUACUUGUUUAAAACUGUAUAUAAAAAAGGUAUUUCCCUUUAAACUUUAAGAUGAGAUUAUUGUGAAAUUGAAGUUGAAGAAAUAAAAUAGAAAAGGGAAAAAUAGGAUUUAAGUAAAGUUGGGUACCCAGGAGGACUAUCAUGGUAGCCGGACAAGUUAGCAGCCUGGCUCAGAGCCUCUUUCCAUCCCUGCAACCUCUCCAUGUUUUUCGGAUCAUUUUGAAACCUCUUUUCAUGCUCAGCCAAUGCUUCACCAUAACUACCUUUACGAUGUCGCACAAUAGUAGGUUCUACACCAAAUAAAACAGGCAGAACGAGGCGACCCUUUGUCUUGUAGCAGUGAAUGAUGUGGACAAGUUCGUCCAAACAAAAUGAAGAAGAGGCAUAGGUGAUAGAAAACACAGGAAUAAAAAUCCUAGACUCUUCAAUGGCCUUGAGAAGUGAUGGUGUGAUUUCAUCCCUUCUUUGAAGUUCAUGAUUGUCAAUGAAGGUGUGGAUUCCCUUGUCAUCAAAAGCCUUGUAGAGAUUGCCUGUGAAACCGUACCGAGUGUCACCUCCUCUGAAACUGAGGAAUACUUGGUAUUUGUACUCAUAGGAAAUUGAAGUGGAAGAGAAAGGUGAUUGCAUAGCCAUGAGAUUUUAGAGAAAUUAGAUGAAAAAAGAGUUUGAGAAUAUGAAUGAGAAGUUUUUGUGGUCUGUGAAGUCUUUGAUAAGUAACUUUAUAACUUAUGAGAAAAGUUAUGACAGAAAUGGUAUGUGAAACUUCCUAUAGCCGUGUGGACCAAUCAUUGUACUACCACCUCUUCUUCUUGCUAAUUUCUUCCAUGUUGUUACUGUUACUGUUCAUCUUUUGGACAAAUCUUAUUCUUCUGCUGCAUUUAAUUUUUCACUUUGUUACUUAAUUAAUCAGUGUGUUAAAUUACAUGAGCUUAAAAUAAAUACAAGCUAUGCCAUUCAAACAUACAAUUAGUAGGCAUGUCACAAAUUUUGGCAUCUUUUCCAUUACACCAUCAGGAUACAUUUUGGUUACUUCUAACCAAAGAAAAACAAAAAGGAAAAUUUGCAUUUCAAAUAUCAUCAAAUGACAUGUUAAUUGAGUCUCACAUUUGAUUUAACUUGUGCUUCCAACAGUAGUAGUAUCAACAGGACCCGGAUUCCGUGCAUUAAUAAAAGUCCAUAGUUUCAACUUUCAUGCAAUCGUUAAACUCCACCCUUUGUGAUCGGAUGGUUCAGAUUACAGAUACACUAAUUCGGUUUUCAACCAUCUCAACUGUAUUGUGAUCGGAUGGUUCAGAUUACAGAUACACUAAUUCGGUUUUCAACCAUCUCAACCGUAUAUUUAAAUCAGACUAAAUUGGUGCAGUUACUACUGGGAAUCCAUUUCCAUAUCAACUCCAUGAAAAACACUAAUAAAUAGACUAAAAGAUUGUUCACUAAUGCAUUUCAUAUGCAAAGAAACUUUAAAAAUUAAUUUCUUACCUGAUUCCUCUCAUAAAGCAUAUGAUUUUUUGUGAAGUACUUAUAGGUAUCCCGUCCUUUUGCUAGCAUACUUUGACCAAUUGGACCGAUGAUCCCGAUUACCCUAGCAAGUAAUGUUGCCGGGGAAUCAUUUUGAAAUAAGACCUACAAUACAACAAGCAUAGUUGAAUAUCAAUAGGGAAAGAAAAAUUUAUGGGUGUAUUUAACACAAGAGAAACCAAAUAAAGCACUGUACUAUAACAGAUACAGAUUCAAUAUCCGCUUUCACAGUUUCACCCAAAAAAGAAUAAUAAUCCUACAACUGCAAAGAGCAUACAACAAAAAAGAAAUUCACUGAGCCUGAUACGUCACCAAUCAUUUUUACGUCUACAAGAUACUUUGUCAAGUUAUUUAAGUCAUCAUCGUUUCACACACAUAAUAGAUUAAGAUAACAUGUCCUGUUCUACUGUCCAUAUAGUUCCACUAAAACAACACAGAAACUAACUUGUUUUCCCAAUCAUAGAUAGCAGAAAAUAGUGGUUUGUUCAAAUUCUGCUAUUCAACAGUUCUAUAGCACCACUACAGCGAUAAUGCAUAACAAUGGUGAUUUCGUUCAAAUUCCACAUCAUUUUCACAUGUAAAAUACACUUCAUCAGUUCAUUUGAGUGGAACACAAAUGGAAUGAAAUGGGACAGCUUGUUUUGGUUCAACAUUUUUAUUUUAUAUCAUUUUAUGUUCUACUUUUUACAUGCCUGAAACACGUAGAAUAUAAAUUAUUCUAUCCUACUCUAACCUGUCUACCAGAUACCUACUCUAACCUGUCUACCAGAUACUUCCUAAGAGUGAUUCAACAAAAGUUGGUAUCUAAACAAUGCCAUCACCAGGGGAGAAAAUGAAAUUUCAACGAUCAACAGUCAAUUUCAGUCUAAAUUAGACCUAAUGUAUUAGAGAAGAAAACUUGAGCAUUUUUAUGUACCUCCAACACGAAUUUGACAUGAAUCUUAACAUGCUUAAGUUUGAAAACUAUAUAUUAUACUUACAUUGCCAGUACAAAGUUCUGCCAAGAUGCAUCCAAGGGACCAGAUAUCAAUCUUCUUGUCGUAUGAAAGCCCGAGAAUAACCUCGGGAGCACUAUAGGACCUAGACUGAACAUAUGAGCAAAGGUGAUCUGUCUCAAAACAACUACUUCCAAGAUCAAUGACCUUCACCUCACAUCGGCUGUAGCUUUUAACCAAAAUAUUCUCCGGCUUCAAGUCACAAUGUAUUAGUCCAAGGUUAUGUAAAUACUGAAGUGCUUCCAAACAUUGAAUGGUAAUUGACUGCAAAAACAAAUCAAGACAAGUUUAUAAUGUUUUUAGUGUGACAGGAGUAGAAUCUAUGUAUACCUGUACAUAAAGAGAAUACUAAAGUUUGCUGUAGCUUUUUCUUCCAAUUUCACCCUUCAUUUAAACUCUUCUUUGUACAUUUUUACCCUUCAAAUUUGAUCUAAUCUAAUCCUAAUUAAAUUUUAAAUCAAAUCUAAUAAAAUCCUUAAAUCAAUCUAAAAAAUCAAAUCUAAACCAACCUUAAUUCAAUUUUGAAUUAAAAAUAUCUUAAUCAAAAUAAAAAUAACAAUACUAAAUAAUAAAAUUUCGUGCAGGGCAACAACAGAAAGAAAUGAAAGGUGGUAAGUCAGAUGAUUAAGUGAAUCGAUAUAUCUCAACAUCACUUUGUACAUAGCUUAACGUUUAGUCCUCGUAAUGUAAUUCAAUUCUUUCAAAAAUAUGACACCAGUGUGAAAAAUUAUAUUUUAUAACAAAUCCUGGAAUGUAUUGAAAAAUACCAUAGCCACAAACACAUUAAGUGGCUAUAGAAGAAGUAAAAAGUAAAUAUCAAUACCACAGCAACAACCUUUAUUCAGUUAUAUUAAAGAAGAAAGUCAACGUCAAGUCAGAACAAAUAAAUAUUUAGUCAUCUAUAUAUCUCGUUAUCAAAUUAAUGUUAAAAUUGCCUAGGAAGGACAGUAUCUAAUGUUGCACUAAUAGAUGAGACGUAAAAUGUAAUAGUAUUAACAAGAUCAAUAGCACAUGCAAAAUCACUUACUCUAUAAUAGAAAUAAUCAUAUAACCGCAAAAUGUGAUACUUGUCUCCAGGAUCAUGCUUAUUGACAUACUUGAGGAGUUUGAUCUCAUCAAGGCUUUGAUCAAAGAAAUCCUUGUUGUUCUUUAUAAUUUUAGUACAAACAUCCACGCCUGUGUGCAGGUCAUGAGCUUGUAUAGCUUCACUAAAUGCAGCAGAUCCCAGAUACUCGGUGACAUGAUAGCGACCAGCUAUUACAGAAUUUAAAACAACAUGGAAAUUCUUGUCCUCUUCAAAGCCAGUUCUGAACAACAAAACAUAGUUUUAGAUAGCAUGUCAAAGCCAAAAGGAGAAACACCAUGGAACAAUGACAAGAAUAUCCAUUGUGCAACAUAACAAAAGUAUCUACAUAGACGAGUUCAUUGAGCCUUCUGACAUGGCAUAAAGUACAAGUGCACAAUAUUUAUAAUGAAAAAUAAUUAAUUUUAUUCAUCUCAAAUCAUUAAUAUACUCGGAUUUGUAUUUUAACAAAGCAAGGGAUUUUUUACGGAUCAAGAAUGAAAUAGAAACUCUGCUGCCAUCUUAGUUUCACUUUAUUUUCAUCAUUAAUACAACCAAAAAAUUCACAAAAUGUUGUUUGUGCUUGCUAGUGUGGAUUGAAUUAAUGCCUGUUAUCAACUGAUUAUUGUAUCAUAAAUUUAAAUGUAAAGAGAUUGAAGGUUUCAAGUUCCUCCUCCUGAGCCUUUAUUUGCCUUACCUGCUCUUGCACAGCAGCAAUCUCUUCAUCCUCUUGUGAAACACCUAAAUCAUCUUCCCUUGUAAUGUCAACUUCUUCAUCAUCCUUUUCUAGCUUGACAUGCUCUUUAUCAGCGUACCCGUAAUUAUCGACAGUAGUUGGAGACGAGUUCGAAGAUCUAACCGCGUGAGCAUUAUUCUCAUCCCUAGAACUUUUCUCGGGUGAAGAAUCACUACUCUUCUGCCUCCACGAAGAAAGCAUUUCAUCAGAUCCUUCAAAAGCAUUCAUACAGUCAUCGGUUUCAUCCGCAUUACAAUUAUUUAACCAUGGCGACUUACUGGAACCACCACCCUGAAUCAUCUGGCUAUCUAUAAGAGACUGAGGAAAUGAAAAGUUGCCUUCAGUAUGUGUUUUUCUUUGUGAGUGUCCAUCUUUAUGACCUCCAAAGACAUAUUUAUUCGACUCAAUCUCGUCAUUUUUCUUCUUAUUUUUAAAUGAUUUGUCCAUAGAAUUCUUUCCGAAAUCAUGAUGAGAGUGUUUAUAAUCCCCCAAGUCCACUAUCACGAUCACGGAAAUAUUCUAAAUCCCCUUCACUGCUACCACCAAUAAAACUUCCAUGCACUUCACUGCCGAUAUCGGCAGCAUCACUGUUGAAACCCACCCCGAUUGACCUAACUGAACCGUGUUGAUCAUCUUCCAUUUGCUCGAGUCGUGAUCUUCCACUAUGAUUCAUAACUAUUCCAUCUCCCAACAUGAUCAGGUCGUUUGUCUGAGGGAAAAAUCCCUGCAUAACAGGUUCCGCGUGCAUCAGAUUGCAUUCCUCUACGUCCAUCAAUUCCCUGUCAUAUUGAGCCAUUAAAUCAUUACCAUUAGCCCUUCCAUACAUAUUAGUAACUGUUAUACAGAUAGGAUCAUCUGACCCUAUGACUGGCUCAACAUUCUUUGCUUGAAGAUAUUGCUCUCCCGAGAAAUAAGAAUCCUCUUCAGCGAAACAUUGAUCAUCAUCAUCCUCUUUGGCAGGACCUCUUUCCUGAGGAUCUAGAACGCUUCCAUGCCCAGUUCCCUUUUCAUUUUCACUAGGGUAAUCAAUUUCGUGCGCCAAAAACCAGGCUUAAUACUCAAUAGGUUUUCUCAUGUACCAGGGGAAACUCUGCAAAAUCUGUCAAAGAACAUGUUCCAGGGGAAAUCCUGGAACCAAAACAGGAUGUUACUGAAGUAAAAGCACAAGUUGAUGCCAUAUGGGAACAAAUGAAUAAAGGCCUGUCCAAUAACGUUAUUAACAGUUUUAAAAGCAAGCCUAAAUCUUCUGCUGUGGAUGUUGUCCUUGUACAAAUCAAGAAGAAAACAGAACCUGAAAUUUUUGUAGGUUAUAGCUCAUCUUCAAAAGUCUAUAGAAUCUAUCUUCCACAAAGCAACAAAGUAAUUGUUAGCAUAGAUGUCAAAUUUCUUGAGUCAGAUAGUUGGAAUUGGGAAGAUUGUGAGAAGUUUGAAUUUCAGGAGGAGAAUGAAGAUGUUGAUGAUGAACCUAUUAAAGGAACUAGAUCACUUUCAGACAUGUACCAAAGGUGCAACGUCGUUGUCAUGGAACUAGAAGGAUAUGAUAAAGCUAGAUAUGAAUUCUUGACACAAAUGCUUGGUGUAUGCAGUUUCAGAGUCAAGGAGGAGUGUAGACUGGAUGACUAUGAAACUACUGUUUUAAGUUCCUAAAUUUUAGGAUCUAUUAUCUUUUUAUGUUAUUAUUAGGCACUCUCUGAUAUGCUCUAUUUGUUACCAGUUUUUUAGGCAUUUAGUUUUCAAAUAGUAGUUUCUUUAUGCAUUAUUUUAGGCUUUUCUUUAUGUAUAAAUAUGAUGGUUAUCAUUCAAUAAAAAUAUUCCUUUUAUGCUGUUCACAUAACAUAUUUUUUCCACGUUAAACCUUUCUAUAUCCAACAUGGUUUCCCAAAUUUACAAGUACUUCUACAAUACUGUUGAUUUUACAAGUGAUAAGCACGGUUGUAAACUUAAGUAAAUAAAAACAGAAAAUUCCAGAGAAAAAAACUCACCACUCUUGCAAAAGGAUCUCAUAAAUGUUGGUUCUUAGAUUUAGUUUUUAUCAUGCAUUACUUCCUCUAAAUCAGAAAGCUUCCAGUAAGGACAGACUUUAGACUGAGAAAUCCAUCCAACCAUAUCAGUUUUGAUCUUGUACGCAAAAAGCAAAUAUGUCGAGCUGCAUAAGGAUCAUGUGCAAUGUUCAAUUCAUAUCCCAUGUAGCAAUGCCACAGUACAACUGAAUUGCAAAGCAUAUCAUUACUCAGUGCCAUUUCAAACAAGCCACGGAUUCUGUGGUUUGAGCCACCUAUAGACAUCUCGUAUGACAAUGCAAAAAGCCAGACAACUAUAGAUGGUUUUUUGUCAAUGUACAAUAAAAGAAGAAAUGGAUGCUUAGUUAAUAGUUAGAGAAAAGUUGCUAAAAUUACUGACAGAACAGUCUGAAAUAGCCAUACACACCAUUAUGCAGAAAACCAAAAACCUAGCUUGCUACAAUUGUAAAAAGAAAAUGUGCAUUCAGAAUGAGAACAAAUAAGAUUCAUUACAUCGGAUAAAAGUAAAUUAAUUUUUCAGCAAAAAGACUUCGAUUCUAUUAAGUUAUAGAAUUUCAUUUCUCUUUUUGAUGUACAAAACUAAAACAUUAUGAGACAUGAUAUAAGAUGAAGUUUCAAUCUGGUAAGGGUGUUCAAAUGAAGAUCUAUUACUUUGCCUUUUAAAGCUUAUCAACCUAUCUUGGAACUCUGCAAAAGCUAACCAAACGUUUUCAUCAUGUGGGCGAUCCCUUGUCAGUUUGGUGAUGAAAUUUUAGAGUCGGAUUCUCUUUCAAACAACUCCAAGAAAUGCACCAACAUCUGAUAACGGUAUAAACUCAUCUUCUCCUGUAUGAGGAUCCAAUUUUGGACCAACAAGACGAAGGUGCUUGAAGCUGUUAUGUCGUUCUAAAGCCAAAUUCAUGUAUGAUUUAUUGUCCUUUGCAUCCUCUCUAACUGAUGUCAAUAAGUUAUCAAUUUCUUAGAACCAAAUAAUGUCAUGGCAUGAUUCAAGUUCUAAUAUAUAAGCUAUUGAUAUAUCAAAAGAUAAAAUAAAGUCAAAUUCUUUUCAUAUAAGCUACAUUGCAUUCAAAUCACAAAUAAGUCGAUUUCAUAAGCUAAUAAUCCUGACAAACAUAAUUAUAAAAGUAAAUUCCCCUGACAAACAUACAUUUGGAGUUUUUAUUUUCUUCUUUUGUUUGAUGUGGAAAUUGCCAUUUAGAAUUUGGCUAAACUUGGUAUCAAAUGCCAUAUACAUUGAAAUACAAAAUGUCAUGUUAUCAUAGUUAAUAAUCAAACACUAAUUAAUUUGAGAAAUGGAUCAUUGGACAGUGAUUUGGUUGAAACAUCUGUCGGUAUCACAAUAUGUACAUACUCUUGUAUUAUUAAAAGCAAAUUAAUCAUACAUACAUAUGUUGUUGCUGCUACACAAGUUCUGUCUCAGAAAACUGAUUUGGCAGAGAAGUGUUUUUACACAAGAAUAACUUAAUAAUCACAAGAGACAUACAGUGUUGUUGCUGCUACACAAGUUCUACUCCUUCUAUAAGAAUUGGUGAAUACCGCAUCCUCUCUCAUGCUUCCUUUCUUGUUGAACACGUAGAUUCCAAAUUGUGUACUAAGAUUGAAAUUCUCAAAGCACUCCAACUGAGCUGCAAAGCAUAUCAUUACUCGCUGCCCUUUCGAACAACCAACGGAUUCUGCGCUGUAAGCAACCUCUAGACUUGUCGCAUGACAAUGCAAAUAGCCAGAUGACUACAUGUGGUUUCCUGACAAUGUACAGUCAAAGAACAAGAAAAUACUUAGUUUUGGUUAGAGAAAAGUUGCGUAAAUUAUGAUUAAAACCAUUUAAGCUUUCGAAGUAUAAGGAUCUUAUUUGUAACACCAUUCAUCUUGGAUCUGGCACUAUUUAUUAUAAGUUGUGUGAAAGUGGCCAACCUUUCAUUAGACCCGAUUCCUUCUGAUGUCUCUGAAGCACCCUUAUGUAAUAGUUAAACAAAAAUUCAAGUUGAUAGAUAUGGCUUCUCCUUUCUGCAGGGCACAAGCAUUCAAGUAGAUGUGAUAAGUAACAUAAUAUACAGUUAUGCUGCAACAGAGAUGACCGAUAUAUAUAAGCUAAGAAAUUAUAUCGAUAUAAGCAAAGUAUUUAGAUCACUGUAAACCUUUUGCGUGCUUAUAAGUUAGUGGAAUGUCAAUUAUGUAUCAUGUUUCAAAUUUCAAUUGCAAUGACGUUAAAUUUCAUUCAUAAAAAGUUAAAAAUCCAAGUACUUAGUUUAGGCUAUUAACCAUUUCACUGAAAAGGUCCAUUCAAAAUUUGACAUUAAGAUACAAUAACUCGUGAAGAAUUCAACAUCAAAUGUCAACUUUAUAAGCUUAAAGUGGCUAAAAUUUAAAAUAAGGUAGUCUACUUGUUGAACUUUGUUGCAAACUCUUUCAGAACCUUCAUUUCGACAUUUUCUACCGUUAGGAAAGGGAGGAAAAUUUAAAAAAAUGUUUUCAGAAAAUGUGAUGAUAAAGUGUUGCAAUAAUUGAGAUGUUCCACAUGCCUUGCAUCAUUAUUAUAAACCACUGAGAUCUCAAUGGUUUAUAAUAAUGAUAAUGACGUAAACAGCAAAGCACAAACCUGUAUUCUUGAGAUUGAGAGAAUAACAAGAAGACGAUUAACUUUUUGUUCCUCUUUCGUCAAAUCCUGCUGUUGCAAUGAAGCAUUGAUAUCCUCCUCUGUCUCUGAAACUCCCACUUCCACCAAUCUUUGCUUUUUUAGAGGAGGCUCAAAUUGUGAUAAUGAAGUAUUAUUGCUAAUUUAGAUAAGGAUCUUUGAAUACCACAUUCUCCUCCUCCGUGUUGCUUUUCUCAUUCCACACGUGGACUCCCAUUUGUGUAUAAACACUAUUCUCGUGAUCCUUCAACUUAAACUCCACAUGGAUCCAUUCACUUUUCAAAAGUCCUUUGUCCAUAUUAUACUCAUAUUGUCUUUUACCUAGUUCAUACAAUUUCAUAUGAAUCAAAGUUGUAUCCUUCGAGCUCACAUACUGGUAACAAUAAUCUAUCUCAAUUUUAUAUCCAUUCACAUAUAAACCGACAUUUGAGCCCCAAGCGCAUUCCGGAAAAAUAAUUAUACAAGUUAUAGAAGGGAUUUCUUUACGAAACCAGAAAGAAAUUGUGGGUCCCCUGCUUUGGUGCUCAAACCAAUCUGGUAUCCCAUCUGUUCCGUUUGGGAAUUUAAUAUAGGUGCAUCCAGCCUGAUGUAGUUUCUGUUUGUUUAUACAAAAUAAUAAUAAUAAUUACACUAUGAAUUACAAAUUAAAUAUUAUAUAUAAAAUACUGUGCUAUAUAAAACAACAACUAACCUGACUCAUUAAUAUUCUUUUACUUGAGGAACUCAAUGAUUGACAUCCUUGUGCAUUAAUCUCUUUUAGAUUUGGUGGAAUCCCUCUAAUUUCCUCAAGGGACUCGCAGUACCCCACAUUAAUUUCAACAAGAUGGUGACAUUCACUAAGGCACUCAGGAAGAAUUUUGAAAUUGCUAUAUAAUAAGUUUAGAGAUGUCAUAUUAACACACCACUUGAGAACUCUUCGGAGACAUUCAUCUGAGAGGUUGCAAUGGUAGAGAGUAAGCUGUGUCACAUUUGAAAACACUAUUGAAUACAUCUUAUCAUUCUGUUUUGGGAACCUCAGCAUUCCAUAUGUCACUGAUAACUUAUGAAGUUCACUAAGAUUUUGAAAUGAAAAUGGCAGUUCUCCUAUGGAAGUAUUACACAACCAAAUAUUGUCUAUAUUUGUCAUCUUGCAUAAUAAUUCUGGAAAACUCUUGAGACUCCUGCAAGAACUGAGAUUCAAUUCCUUAAGAGAUGCCAAACCUAAAGGUGGAAAAUGUUCGACCUUAUUGCAACCAUAUGCACUUAACCUUUCAAGUUUAUUAAGGUGUCCAAUCGAAUUGUGAAUUGUAAUUAAAUUAUAACAUCUUUCAAACGAUAACUUUUCUAAAUUUGAAAGGCCUGAGACAUCGGGUAUAUGUGUUAAAUAUUUACAUCGGUCCAAUAUCAAGACUUUCAUAUCCUGGAACUUCUGCAUAAACACAAGAAAGAAACAAUAAAUAAACUAAAAAUCAAAGACUAAUAUUACUUUCAUACUGAUUUUUUUGUUGACGGAAACAAAAUCAUUGUGAAGUUAUUUCACUUGCCUUGUUUAAAAUCCUAGAUGACAGACACUUCGAUAAACAUCCUUUCCAUUUCAAUACACUCAAACUGCUUGGAAGAUACUUGAGACCUUUAGAACAAUGGCCAUUUUCAAUGAUAAGUGUUUUCAGUUUUGUCAUCUUCUUGAAGGCCUUUCCUUUCUUGUCUAUCACGGAUUCCAUGGAGUGGAGAUUCAUAUAUAUCAUUUCAAUUUUACUAGUUCCCUUUUAACAAAGAUAAAAACAUGAAUCAACCACAAUAAAAAUAAGAUAUAGAAAUAUUAACAUGUAAUUGAGUGAAAAGAAAUGCUCGUUUUAGAUGAUCAUAUUUAGUUCAAAAAGAGCAAAGUUGUAUUAAAACUAAAUAACAAAAUGAUCAUAGAUAUCAAUCUUACUCACAGUGUUUUCUCUUAAAACACGAACUAUAUCAUCCUGACAGCAUAACCUACUUCUUUCUCCAGGCUCUUUAAUUGAUUCUUGUCGGACGACUUCUUUACCCAUGUCCUCUAUCAAGUCAUGUAACAUCACAUAAUCGUCAUAUUCCCGUAAUUUCUUUAUGAGAGAUUUUUCAACCAACACUCCUAGAUGAUGUGUUAUGCAAUGGCCAUAAUGAGAAUUAAGUAUAUAUUUGGCAUCUUCCCAUUUACAUCUUUUGAAGCAACAAGCAAUGUCUAGAAAGACACUUUGCUGCUCUUCCUCCAAAGCAUCAUAACUUACUUUAAGUAUCUUUUGGAUCUCUUUAUUGGGAAUCCUGUCAUACCCAUCUAAUGUAUUCUUCCAUUCCUCUAUGUUCUUUCCAGAUAAGUUAGAACCCACUAUUUCUAUAACUAACGGAAGGCCAGAAGCAUAUGCAACUGCACGGUUUAAAAUCUCUUCGUAACCUGAAGGAACAUUGUCACUUUUAAAAGCCAUCCACCUCAACAAUUCAAGAGCUUCUGUCCCAUACAACCCUUCUACUUCAUGCAUACUUUUUAUCCCAUGACAGGUUAGUAAGUGUUUGUCUCGAGUGGUAAUGAUGACUUUGCUUCCACGGCCGAACCAAUCAGGUCCUCCAGCCAAAGCAUGUAGUUGCUUCAUAUUGUCAACAUCAUCAAGAAUCAAAAGAACCUUCUUUCUAUGUAGCCUUUCCUUUAUAUAAGGAAUUCCCUCACUAACACCUCCAAACUUAAUUUCAAGUUGAAGUGUUUUUAAAAGGAGCUCCUUCUGAAGAUGUUUCAAUUUAUUUGAAGUUGAAUUCUCUCUCACAUUUUCAAGAAAACAUGAGCAUUCAAAUUGAUCAGCAAUAAAAUUAUAAAUUGCUUUUGCAAGUGUUGAUUUACCCAAUCCUCCAGUACCAUAAAGUCCUACCAUGUGGACUCCAUCAUCAGAUCUUUCAUCAAGAAGCGAUUUCACUUGUUGUACUCGAGACUGCAAUCCAACAGGGUAAUUGGCAACAUGUAAGGGUUGACGACUGGUCUUGUUGGAGAUGUAUUUGACUAUCUCUCCAAUAAACUCGUAUUCAUAUCUAUUCAUGUCCAGUAAGAUAAGUUAGUAUGUGACAACAUCACAAUCACAUCAUGUUAUUCUUUAAGAUGAGAUUAUUGUGAAAUUUAAAUUAAAGAGAGAAAAUAUAAAAAAGGUACCCAGGAGGACUAUCAUGGUAGCCGGACAAGUUAGCAGCCUGGCUCAGAGCCACUUUCCAUCGCUGCAACCUCUCCAUGUUAUUCUUAUCAUUUUGAAACCUCUUUUCAUGCUCAGCCAAUGCUUCACCAUAACUACCUUUCUGAUGUCGCACGUUAGUAGGUUCCACGCCGAAGAAAACAGGCAAAACGAGGCGACCCUUUGUCUUGUAGCAGUGAAUUAUGUGGACAAGUUCGUCCAAACAAAACGAAGAAGAGGCAUAGUUGAUAGAAAACACAGGAAUAAAAAUCCUAGAUUCAUCAAUGGCCUUGAGGAGUGAUGGUGUGAUUUCAUCUCCUCUUUGAAGAUCAUUGUCAUCAAUGAAGGUAUGGAUUCCCUUGUCAGUAAGAGCCUUGUAGAGAUUUCCGGUAAAACUGUGCCGAGUGUCAGUGCCCCUAAAACUGAGGAACACUUGGUAAGUGAAUCCAUGGGAGAAUGAAGAGGAUGAGGAAGGUGAUUGUAUAGCCAUGAGAAUUGAGAGAAAUAGGAUGAAAAAAGAGUUUGAGAAUGCAGAAUAUGAAUGAGUGAAUUUUUGUGUUCUGUGAUGUGAAGUCUUUGAUAAGUAACUUUAUAACAAUGAGAAAAAUGGUCUCUGAAACUUUCCUGACCACUUCCUAUAGCCGUGUGGACCAAUCAUACAAUAUUAUAGUUAAUUACUCAGUGUGUUAAAUAAAAAUAAAUUAGGUUAGCAUAGAUAUGCAAUAUUAUAGUUUCUAUUUAUUUUUAAAAUAUUACCACUUGAACCAAAUGGAUAAUUAGCUAUCCAACGGAACUAACAUAAUUGUUUAUUCAUGUUUAUUUUACUUUGUACUAACGAUCACUUUAAUGAAAUAAAAAGGUAUUUGUCAAUAUUUAUAUUUUAGAAAACAUCAUUUCAUAAGAAAAACCAUCAUUUCAUUGUUUAUAAGGAUUAUAUUAAAAAAAUUACAUUUUAUCAUAAAAAAUAAUCAAUAUUCAUUGUUAUGAGUAAUAAAAAUUCUUAAAAAUUAAAUUUUAUUUCGUCGAAGCUUUUGGUAAAUAAAAUUUAAUUAUCUUAGUUGUCAAUGAUAGAAAAUAAUUAUUUUUCUUCAAAAAAACAACUGAUUUAUUAUUAAUUUUACGACUUGGUGUACCGAUACACUCAAACACCCAAAUUCAUUGGGUGUACCAUAGAAUUUACCUUAUAAAUAUUGGAAAUCAAACUUGCCAGCUAUAUUUAGAAACUUCCUUCCCAUUUCAUAUGUCUGUAAAGUAACCAUCACAUCCUUCUUCCAUGUAAUUUCGUUAAAGCAAUGUCAAUGUCUUAAUGAAAAAAAAGGAAAAACAAGGCAAAGUUUCAUCCACAAAUAUCUACUUGUGUAAAUUUUGUAACUAAUGUCACUUUGUUUAUCUAGAUCUCAAAAACAUAAAUAAAUAACUCAUUUAAUAGAGAUAAAUAUGAAACGAUGGAGUGAUGGCGCACACAAGGCUCACAACAAAUUUGUCAUUAUAAAGAAGGCUUAAUUGAACUCCCGGUCCUUUAACUUAAUUCUUUUCUUCAAGUUAGUUCCAUAGCUGUUAAAAUCAUCAACUUGGUCCUUUAUCUUUGUUUUCGUCUAUUAAUUUGAUCCAAUUUUGAUGAUUUUAAUCCCCUAAAAAAGAGACCGUUGGAUUACGGAGGUCUAUCAGAUUUUAUAGUGUAUCACCAACACCUAAUUUAUUUAGGCUCUGUUUGGUAAAAAUAGCGGAUAGCUGAUAAGCUAGCUGAUAGCUUUUAGCUGAUAAGCUAGCUGGUAGCUUUUAGCUAAGAAGUUAGCUGAUAGCGGAUAAGCUAACUGAAGUGUUUGGUAAAAUUAGCGGUUCAACUAGCUUAUAAAUGUAAAAUGACAUAAAAGGAUAUUUUUAAUUCAUUAUAAAAUUUGUAUCAAUUGAUAUUUAAAAUAUUUAAAAUUUCAUAGUUUAAAUAUAUUAAUCUAAUAUGUUUUUCAUAUGUUAUUUUUAAAUUCAUAAAUUGGCUAAUGUUUUAUUUAAAAUUGAUUUUAUUUCAGUUUUUAGACUUUAUAAAAAAAUUAAACAAAACCUUUAAAAAAAAAAAAUUGUUACCCUCUAAAACAAAUUUAAACGUAUUGAUCCAAAAUCAAACAAAAUUUUGUUUUUAGACUUAAAAACGAAAUUAAACAUAACGUAAUAUGAUUUAUUUAGAUAAACGUAACAUAUAUUUUUUUAAGGAAAAAUGUAGUUUUUAUUUUUGUAAACAUGAGCAUAUAUUUUAUAAAAAAUAAAUAAAAGCGUGAGCAUAUAUAUUUAGUUAAAGUGAAAUCUUGAAUUAAAAGUGCUAUGUUUUUCUUCAACGUAGUUAUUUAUUACAAAGGGUAGAUAUGGAUUUUUGAUAAAUUGAUAAGGGUAAAAAUGAGACAAAAAUGAGAAGCUAUAAGCUAUAAGCUCAAACUGUUAUCAUCAAAACUUAUUAGGGUUUAUUGAUAUGGAAUUAUACACUCUGUAUUGAAGGUGAGAAAAACACAAGAAGAGGGGGGUUGAAUUGUGUUUUCUUUUUCUCUUUAAAAAUCUUCUUCUGAGAUUACUUCAGAAGCUGUUUGAAUGAGCUUCUGAUGUGAUGUUCAAAAUUAGAUAUGCAGCGGAAAAGAACAGAGCAGAGAAAAGAAAGAUAGACAGAAACAGUUAUACUGGUUCCUUCCACAAUCCGGAAGUAGCCCAGUCCCUGUAACACCCCGUUUUCCCAACGUGAAAAUUUCAUUUAUUUAAUCAGAGUAAUUCACAAAAACGGAAUGCUACACUUCUUUUCUUAAAAUCAUAAACUGAAUAAAUAACUAUUUAUCCUUUAAAUUUCAAUAACUAAAAAGUCUUUAAUACUUCGCAGCGGACAUUAUUCAAUAAUCAAAACAGUCUUUGGCACAAGGCCUCAUCAUUAAUAUCUCAUACAAAUUUGAUCAACAUCUUAUUCAUGAAAAUUCUUUGAGCAAUACGUAAGGAAUAGAAAGACAACAUUAAAAUUCNNNNNNNNNNNNNNNNNNNNNNNNNNNNNNNNNNNNNNNNNNNNNNNNNNNNNNNNNNNNNNNNNNNNNNNNNNNNNNNNNNNNNNNNNNNNNNNNNNNNNNNNNNNNNNNNNNNNNNNNNNNNNNNNNNNNNNNNNNNNNNNNNNNNNNNNNNNNNNNNNNNNNNNNNNNNNNNNNNNNNNNNNNNNNNNNNNNNNNNNNNNNNNNNNNNNNNNNNNNNNNNNNNNNNNNNNNNNNNNNNNNNNNNNNNNNNNNNNNNNNNNNNNNNNNNNNNNNNNNNNNNNNNNNNNNNNNNNNNNNNNNNNNNNNNNNNNNNNNNNNNNNNNNNNNNNNNNNNNNNNNNNNNNNNNNNNNNNNNNNNNNNNNNNNNNNNNNNNNNNNNNNNNNNNNNNNNNNNNNNNNNNNNNNNNNNNNNNNNNNNNNNNNNNNNNNNNNNNNNNNNNNNNNNNNNNNNNNNNNNNNNNNNNNNNNNNNNNNNNNNNNNNNNNNNNNNNNNNNNNNNNNNNNNNNNNNNNNNNNNNNNNNNNNNNNNNNNNNNNNNNNNNNNNNNNNNNNNNNNNNNNNNNNNNNNNNNNNNNNNNNNNNNNNNNNNNNNNNNNNNNNNNNNNNNNNNNNNNNNNNNNNNNNNNNNNNNNNNNNNNNNNNNNNNNNNNNNNNNNNNNNNNNNNNNNNNNNNNNNNNNNNNNNNNNNNNNNNNNNNNNNNNNNNNNNNNNNNNNNNNNNNNNNNNNNNNNNNNNNNNNNNNNNNNNNNNNNNNNNNNNNNNNNNNNNNNNNNNNNNNNNNNNNNNNNNNNNNNNNNNNNNNNNNNNNNNNNNNNNNNNNNNNNNNNNNNNNNNNNNNNNNNNNNNNNNNNNNNNNNNNNNNNNNNNNNNNNNNNNNNNNNNNNNNNNNNNNNNNNNNNNNNNNNNNNNNNNNNNNNNNNNNNNNNNNNNNNNNNNNNNNNNNNNNNNNNNNNNNNNNNNNNNNNNNNNNNNNNNNNNNNNNNNNNNNNNNNNNNNNNNNNNNNNNNNNNNNNNNNNNNNNNNNNNNNNNNNNNNNNNNNNNNNNNNNNNNNNNNNNNNNNNNNNNNNNNNNNNNNNNNNNNNNNNNNNNNNNNNNNNNNNNNNNNNNNNNNNNNNNNNNNNNNNNNNNNNNNNNNNNNNNNNNNNNNNNNNNNNNNNNNNNNNNNNNNNNNNNNNNNNNNNNNNNNNNNNNNNNNNNNNNNNNNNNNNNNNNNNNNNNNNNNNNNNNNNNNNNNNNNNNNNNNNNNNNNNNNNNNNNNNNNNNNNNNNNNNNNNNNNNNNNNNNNNNNNNNNNNNNNNNNNNNNNNNNNNNNNNNNNNNNNNNNNNNNNNNNNNNNNNNNNNNNNNNNNNNNNNNNNNNNNNNNNNNNNNNNNNNNNNNNNNNNNNNNNNNNNNNNNNNNNNNNNNNNNNNNNNNNNNNNNNNNNNNNNNNNNNNNNNNNNNNNNNNNNNNNNNNNNNNNNNNNNNNNNNNNNNNNNNNNNNNNNNNNNNNNNNNNNNNNNNNNNNNNNNNNNNNNNNNNNNNNNNNNNNNNNNNNNNNNNNNNNNNNNNNNNNNNNNNNNNNNNNNNNNNNNNNNNNNNNNNNNNNNNNNNNNNNNNNNNNNNNNNNNNNNNNNNNNNNNNNNNNNNNNNNNNNNNNNNNNNNNNNNNNNNNNNNNNNNNNNNNNNNNNNNNNNNNNNNNNNNNNNNNNNNNNNNNNNNNNNNNNNNNNNNNNNNNNNNNNNNNNNNNNNNNNNNNNNNNNNNNNNNNNNNNNNNNNNNNNNNNNNNNNNNNNNNNNNNNNNNNNNNNNNNNNNNNNNNNNNNNNNNNNNNNNNNNNNNNNNNNNNNNNNNNNNNNNNNNNNNNNNNNNNNNNNNNNNNNNNNNNNNNNNNNNNNNNNNNNNNNNNNNNNNNNNNNNNNNNNNNNNNNNNNNNNNNNNNNNNNNNNNNNNNNNNNNNNNNNNNNNNNNNNNNNNNNNNNNNNNNNNNNNNNNNNNNNNNNNNNNNNNNNNNNNNNNNNNNNNNNNNNNNNNNNNNNNNNNNNNNNNNNNNNNNNNNNNNNNNNNNNNNNNNNNNNNNNNNNNNNNNNNNNNNNNNNNNNNNNNNNNNNNNNNNNNNNNNNNNNNNNNNNNNNNNNNNNNNNNNNNNNNNNNNNNNNNNNNNNNNNNNNNNNNNNNNNNNNNNNNNNNNNNNNNNNNNNNNNNNNNNNNNNNNNNNNNNNNNNNNNNNNNNNNNNNNNNNNNNNNNNNNNNNNNNNNNNNNNNNNNNNNNNNNNNNNNNNNNNNNNNNNNNNNNNNNNNNNNNNNNNNNNNNNNNNNNNNNNNNNNNNNNNNNNNNNNNNNNNNNNNNNNNNNNNNNNNNNNNNNNNNNNNNNNNNNNNNNNNNNNNNNNNNNNNNNNNNNNNNNNNNNNNNNNNNNNNNNNNNNNNNNNNNNNNNNNNNNNNNNNNNNNNNNNNNNNNNNNNNNNNNNNNNNNNNNNNNNNNNNNNNNNNNNNNNNNNNNNNNNNNNNNNNNNNNNNNNNNNNNNNNNNNNNNNNNNNNNNNNNNNNNNNNNNNNNNNNNNNNNNNNNNNNNNNNNNNNNNNNNNNNNNNNNNNNNNNNNNNNNNNNNNNNNNNNNNNNNNNNNNNNNNNNNNNNNNNNNNNNNNNNNNNNNNNNNNNNNNNNNNNNNNNNNNNNNNNNNNNNNNNNNNNNNNNNNNNNNNNNNNNNNNNNNNNNNNNNNNNNNNNNNNNNNNNNNNNNNNNNNNNNNNNNNNNNNNNNNNNNNNNNNNNNNNNNNNNNNNNNNNNNNNNNNNNNNNNNNNNNNNNNNNNNNNNNNNNNNNNNNNNNNNNNNNNNNNNNNNNNNNNNNNNNNNNNNNNNNNNNNNNNNNNNNNNNNNNNNNNNNNNNNNNNNNNNNNNNNNNNNNNNNNNNNNNNNNNNNNNNNNNNNNNNNNNNNNNNNNNNNNNNNNNNNNNNNNNNNNNNNNNNNNNNNNNNNNNNNNNNNNNNNNNNNNNNNNNNNNNNNNNNNNNNNNNNNNNNNNNNNNNNNNNNNNNNNNNNNNNNNNNNNNNNNNNNNNNNNNNNNNNNNNNNNNNNNNNNNNNNNNNNNNNNNNNNNNNNNNNNNNNNNNNNNNNNNNNNNNNNNNNNNNNNNNNNNNNNNNNNNNNNNNNNNNNNNNNNNNNNNNNNNNNNNNNNNNNNNNNNNNNNNNNNNNNNNNNNNNNNNNNNNNNNNNNNNNNNNNNNNNNNNNNNNNNNNNNNNNNNNNNNNNNNNNNNNNNNNNNNNNNNNNNNNNNNNNNNNNNNNNNNNNNNNNNNNNNNNNNNNNNNNNNNNNNNNNNNNNNNNNNNNNNNNNNNNNNNNNNNNNNNNNNNNNNNNNNNNNNNNNNNNNNNNNNNNNNNNNNNNNNNNNNNNNNNNNNNNNNNNNNNNNNNNNNNNNNNNNNNNNNNNNNNNNNNNNNNNNNNNNNNNNNNNNNNNNNNNNNNNNNNNNNNNNNNNNNNNNNNNNNNNNNNNNNNNNNNNNNNNNNNNNNNNNNNNNNNNNNNNNNNNNNNNNNNNNNNNNNNNNNNNNNNNNNNNNNAUCAUUUUGAAACCUCUUUUCAUGCUCAGCCAAUGCUUCACCAUAACUACCUUUCUGAUGUCGCACGUUAGUAGGUUCCACGCCGAAGAAAACAGGCAAAACGAGGCGACCCUUUGUCUUGUAGCAGUGAAUUAUGUGGACAAGUUCGUCCAAACAAAACGAAGAAUAGGCAUAGUUGAUAGAAAACACAGGAAUAAAAAUCCUAGAUUCAUCAAUGGCCUUGAGGAGUGAUGGUGUGAUUUCAUCUCCUCUUUGAAGAUCAUUGUCAUCAAUGAAGGUAUGGAUUCCCUUGUCAGUAAGAGCCUUGUAGAGAUUUCCGGUAAAACCGUGCCGAGUGUCAGUGCCCCUAAAACUAAGGAACACUUGGUAAGUGAAUCCAUAGGAAAAUGAAGAGGAUGAGGAAGGUGAUUGUAUAGCCAUGACAAUUGAGAGAAAUAGGAUGAAAAAAGAGUUUGAGAAUGCAGAAUAUGAAUGGUAAAUUUUUGUGGUCUG